Non-coding RNA from Podarcis lilfordi (Lilford's wall lizard), 94244 nucleotides. The record is from the annotation of a GenBank genome assembly. Lineage: Eukaryota; Metazoa; Chordata; Lepidosauria; Squamata; Lacertidae.
CUCUUCCAGUGAGCACUCAGGGCUGAUUUCCUUCAGAAUGGAUACGUUUGAUCUUCUUGCAGUCCAUGGGACUCUCAAGAGUCUCCUCCAGCACCAUAAUUCAAAAGCAUCAAUUCUUCGGCGAACAGCCUUCUUUAUGGUCCAGCUCUCACUUCCAUACAUCACUAGUGGGAAAACCAUAGCUUUUACUUUGUUGGCAAGGUGAUGUCUCUACUUUUUAAGAUGCUGUCUAGGUUUGUCAUUGCUUUUCUCCCAAGAAGCAGGGAGUUAAAGACCACCAAAAAAAGAUCCUGUAAUACAUGGAUCAGUAUGGGGAGAAGACUUAGGGAUCCUAAUUGCAGACCACAGAUGGCAAUCAAUUUGGCACAACCCAUCCCUAUGAACAAUCUCUGCUCAUUUGCAGGAGGCUUCUCUCUAAAUUAUCUUUCGUUGCCCUGGACUCCAUUACAUUUAGCCAAAAAACAAAAACAAAACAAAGUAGCAGCAUCUCUCCCCUAUGCUGGAAAGUCUGUGGAGAGUAAGGCGAAUAUUUUCAUGCAUGGAGGUGUUGCAUGUUGGUAUACUCUUUAGGGAAAAGGUGUUCCACAUUUUUUCCAAAAUUACACAGUAACCCCUCCCACCCAGCUCCUGCCUUAUUAUCAUUACAUUAUCAUUAAACAAUAACCUUAAGUGCAGAGAAUUAGUAUUUUUUCUGUUGUCAACAACCCGAUUAACACUGGGCCAAUACUGGAAACAAUCUAUAGGAAUCCCUAUUGAAAUCUGGUUAAAUAAUAUUUGGAAUGUAGCUCUAUUGGAAUGCCUUACUCACCACUGAAGGGUAAUUAAAGGCACUUCAAGGGUAGACGCUUUUGGUGAGACUUGGCUUCCUUUCUUUUCCUUUAUAAAUGAUACUUUUAUUCCAUCCUCAACCCAAGAAACUACUUGAACUGAUAGUACACAAGCAAUACGUUUAUUUAUGUAUUAUGUACAACUUAUGCAUCUUAAUAAGAAUGUACCACUGGACAAGUUAUGGGGGGAGUAGAAUUUUGUAAUAGCCUUCCUCAAAAGUCAUUUGUUUGAAAUAAGUAACUGUGAAUUACUUAUUUCCAUGUAAAUUCACCCCUGCCAGCAGUAUAAAUGACAAGGCAUAUAAAAAACAGUAGUGCCAGCCAGCAACCAAUUGCACUUGCCAAAUUUAAUGUACCCCUGGAAAUUAUCAUACCUAUGGUACUUAAAUGUUGACCCUUUCUUUUCUCCCAUCUACAAAAAAUCUUCAGGUCGGGUCGUGUUUCCACUGUUCAAACAGGGCUUUUUUAGUUAUAGCUCCAAGGCUUUGGAACAGUCUUAAAUAAGACAUCUAUAAAUAUUCCUUCCCUUUGGUUGUAUAGAAACAGUGCAAGUCCCAUUUAUCUGGCAGCUAAGAGAGAAAUCAAAUUUGAUCUCUUUUCCUAGUGGCUGUUCUAGUAUCUUCUAAAGCAUUUUUCUUUUAAAAAAGUUUUAUUGGUGCUUUUGUUUUUGUCAAGGUGCCUCAAACAGCAGAAGUGGUGGAAAAAUAUGUAUUUUCUACUUUCUUAAAAGUCAGAACAGUACAGAAUCUUCAUUGCUGAAUGCUAAGCCUAUAGAUGAACAAGAAAAUUGGGGAGGUGGAACAGAAUCAAUUCCUCCAUGUUAAACAUGUAUAUAGUUAUGAAAUGACAGAUUCAGUCUGGAGACAUUUCUCCUGUGAAUUAGAUAGUAAUCAUCUAAAUCCCUUUAUCAAAAUUGGUGAAUAUCUUACAGUGACCUAGACAGAAGUCACAAGCCAUUUCUUGCAUGAUAUUGUUUAAAAGGAUUUUGUAAUAUGAAGAUGCAUGAAAAAAGGCUUUGUCCAGUUAUUGCAACAAUUAGAAUGGAUGGGGGGUUUUUUGGGGGGAGGGGGUUGGAAUUUGUGUGUGUAUUUAAAUCCAAGCCAGUAGGUUACAACUUUGCAUGUCCACAGGGUGCUAAAAUAAUACUCUUUACAGAACAGCAGGUGGACUAUUUUAGGCUUCAGCUUUCUAAUUCUAAGCAGGCGUUUUUUUUUAAGAAUUAAAGAUGCUAAUCACAAUCUCAAAUUGUGCAUUGCUGAGUGGGAAAAAAUAUGAGACCACAAACUGACAUGACAGCAAAGCAUUGUGCUGCUAAGAAGGGGACAUAAAUAGGUGGAAAACUCAAGAUGUGAGGUCUGGCUGGGCUUGAUGGAUCACAAAGGUCAACAUAAUUGGCCACAUACAGCAGAAUCAGCCCCCACCUUCUCUCCUCAGCAACUUGGCCACAGGGGGAGCCCUGUUUUCCUACAGGGCUAAGUGAUGCCCUGAAGCAGGAGAAAUGGGGGGAUUCGAAAUAUUAGAUGUAAAAAUUAAGAAACACUGAAGGUGCCAUCAAAUUCAGCCUUUAAGAUGCCUUGUAACCAGCUGAGCUGCUGGGGCUGCAAUCCACCACCUAUUUACUCUAGAGGAAUCCCAUUGCUCUUGGAGAUUGUUUGGGAGAGGAGAAGGUCUGGAUUUGCUUUGUUUUACAGGGAACAGUACAAGGGAAGCAUGUUUAUUAAAAGCGUAUUUUUUAAAAAAAUUAUAAAUGCUUUAAUAGAUAGCAUGUGUUUAAUUAACCAUGCCAGGCUUUCAUUCAAAACAAUGUAUAAUGGCAAUAUUUAACAACUGUAAAUAGUAAAUACUGAUAAUGCUUUUAAAAACCCAACCUUAAAUAUACAGAUAUUUUUGCUUCAGGAGUGUUCUGCAGAAUUGUAAGCAGUCUAGGGUGGUUUUAUCUACUCCAAAAGGUGGGUGUUUAAGGCCAGCCCACUAUUGACAACCACACAUGUGAAUACAGCACACAUGUAGUGUCAUCUUUCCUUUCUCCCUUUUGUUUGUGCCUGGACAACUCAUCUAAAUGAAGUAUCUAAGUUGGCCAUUGAUUUAAUCAUCCCCAACAAGAUCAUUUGCUUCUCGCUUUCUGCGUCGUGUCAUUUAAGAACCUCUGUGAAGUAACAAACUGUUCACCUUGACCUCUGGUAUUAGGAUAACAUAUUAAGAUGCUUAUGAUUUUCCUGUAUGGGGGAGGGCUGUUGCUGAGUGGUAGUACAUCUGUUUGGGAGCCACCCAGAGUGGCUGGGGCUAAUAAUAGUAGUAGUGGUAGUAGUAAUAAUAAUAAUAAUAAUAAUAAUAUACAUUUCUAAACCUGAACAAAACCAAACAUCCAAUUUUAUAUCCUGUAAGUUAAGGUGGUGCCCUUUAGGCUUUUCAGAUGGACAACCUACUUUUAGCUCUAACCUGCAACAUAGGACCAACUUUUACACUUUAUAUUAUUAUUAUUGCUACCUAUUUUAAUGUCUUUCCAGCGAUCUUGAUCUACUCUCUCUUCUUCCUAUUCACUCUUCUCAGCCUUUCUCGCCUUUCUUUUGUCCCAGAAAAGAUUGUUGUGCUUCAGUUUGCAUAAUUCACCUUAGGUCAGGUUGCAGCACAGCCGUGGGUUUUUAUUCACCAGUUGAAAAUGGGUUAAAAUCAACUGUGGCUAGAUCUUCAUGACAAAAUUAAGAUGCUUUAAGUGUAAUUUUAACUGGUGGGAAAUGAUGCAACCAGGGCAUUUUCUGCUAGGAGAUGUACCACUGAGCUCCAACUCCAUCAAAUAACAUGGGAAGGCUUUUGCCUUCAUGCCCAGCUAUAGGCUUCCCAGAAGCAACUGGUUGGCUACCACUGGAAUUAGGGAGCUUGCUAGAGGGUCAGUUAGUCUUGUUUUAUGUUCAUCUAAUGUUCAAGAGGGGGACGUGGGUGGUGCUGUGGGUUAAACCACAGAGCCUAGGUCUUGCUGAUCAGAAGGUCGGCGGUUUGAAUCCCCGUGACGGGGUGAGCUCCCGUUGCUCGGUCCCUGCUCCUGCCAACCUAGCAGUUUGAAAACACGUCAAAGUGCAAGGAGAUAAAUAGGUACCGCUCCAGCGGGAAGGUAAACGGCAUUUCCGUGUGCUGCUCUGGUUCGCCAGAAGCGGCUUAGUCAUGUUGGCCACAUGACCCGGAAGAUGAACACUGGCUCCCUCGGCCAAUAAAGCGAGAUGAGCGCCGCAACCCCAGAGUCAGCCACGACUGGACCUAAUGGUCAGGGGUCUCUUUACCUUUACCUUUAAUGUUCAAGAGAGAGAAAUGGUGGCACAACUUCAGAGAUUCUUGGAAGCUAGCAGGCACUGCAACCUUCCAACAGCUUGACCAAAGGCGCACUCCUCCAUUGUCUCCCGAGACAUACAGCUGCCAGCAGUGCUAAUCUUGACCAUUUCAAUGUGGCUUCAUGUCUUGUUUCAGGCCCAAAUUCACUUUGGUGUCCCUGUUGGGUUACUUUUAUCAGAAAACAGACAGGGGGGCUACAACCCAGUUAGAUUUUACUCUUUUUCACACCAACUCUUGAUACCACUGACAAUGAUAUCCUCCCAUGCUGACUCUGUGGUAUGGAAACUGGUGGCACUGGAUUUCAGUGGUUUCCUUUCAAUAGGCAGGACCAUUUACUGAGACUGGCCUUGGGUGACUGUCUGUCAGCCCCCUGCAUUUGUGCUGUGGGGUCUCACAGGAUAUCAUUUUGCCCCAAUGCUUUUUAAUGUCUACAUUGCAAGUGGUUCUUUGAAUGUUUAGAACAAGGUGUCACUAGUAUGUUGAUGGCACUUACCUCUGUAACAUCUGAAUCAGGUGAAGCCAGUGCUGCCCUUUCAAAUAUUCAAUUUCAAAACAAUUCUCCAAAAUGCUAAAUAAACUGACGUCACAUGACCUCUUAGUGCUAUCAAGUCAUCUGGUGCAUUACAGAGACGUUACAGUGUUUAUAGCUCAUGCUUAAGGUGACUAUGGCAUUAAUUGCACUAUUUGAUACAAUAGAUUUUGGAUAACAAUCUUAUUCAAGUUAUUCAUUAUUUAACUGAAGACUGUUUUAAUGAUGCUGUAAGUAAAAUGCAAAAUAACUAGGAAGGUGUUUGUCUUCCCUGUCAUGAAUGAAGGAUACUAGCUCUUUUUUUCUGGAAAAAAGGAUUACAUCAUCAUCAUUAUUGUCAUUGUCCUGUUUUAAUUUUGAGGAACUUGGAAUUCAAAAUGCAGUGUUUGCUGCUCAUGUGAAGUGAGAAGCAAAGCGACUGUGUUCUGGUGCAAUAUGCUUGUCCGCAUCUCAACUUGCUGAGAAAUGGUGCACCAAGUACAGGCAUUAUCUGGUUUUUCUCCGUAAGAAUGAAGACCAGAAACUUGGUUCUAUUUAAAAUGUGAGUUCAACUACAAUAUCCUGUUAGAAACAUUAUUCUAUACUUCUCUGCUACAUAGAUUUAUCUGAAUAUACACUUUCAGAAAGAGAAAUAAUGGUGGAUGGACAGACAAGAACUUCCAAGGACAUGAAAGAAUCCCCAUCUUGUUUGACACUUCCGAGAAAAAUAAUAAAUGUCUUUUAAAAAUUAGUGUGCCGAUUCCCUUUUCUCCCCGUUUUCAUAUUCUUUUUAAUCAGGAUCUCUUUUUUCCUUAAAGCUAAGAGAAAUACAAAUGCAAGAGACAAAAAAGUACUUCGCCCUGCAGGAAUACAAAAAUUGUGAAAGCCCAGGCAGCACUACAGAGGAGCAGUGCCAUUCACUCACAAAGAAUUUUGUGCAUGUAGAUGGCUGAUUAAUUGUUGGCCUGCCUAGACGAAGCUGCAACGAGCCAGAUACUGUCAGCAUGCCAUCUGUUACCAUGGAAAUGCACAAUGUUCCUGUUUCCGACAGGCCCUUGAAUGCUGGAUAGACUGUGCCAUAUGUAAAUAAGGCAAAUUAGUUUUCCUAUAUCUUCCAGACAAGGUUAGACUAAAAGAAAAUAGAUCGGUUUUAAACAUCCUCUAUCCUCCAAGGUGCUAUGAACCUGGUGAACCUUGCUUCUUUCUUGUAAAAAAGAAAAGUAAGAGUACAGAUUAUUGUUAAUCUUGAAAGACAAAAUUAAUUCUUAGCCACUGGCAAGUCUUACAAAACCCAGUAUUAAAAAAGGGCACACAGCACGUUCUUUCACUACCAUGAUUACUGUGGUCAUUUGUUAUUUAAUCAAGGUGCUGAUUACUUAAUGACUCUUCCAGUGUAAGAGUACUAGCUAUGUAGUAGGAAACACCAAUUUGUCUUUAGACUUUUUCCAUUUGGAAAUACUGUUAAUGAAAUGGAAAGAAAUAAAGGUUUAUGGGCAAAACCCAGAGUAGCCUACCAAUUAAGGCUCUAUCAUCCAGUUACCUGCCUGCCUGCCACAUCUGUGUUUAUAUCUUUCAGCCCUUGCUCUUGUUAUCUAUGGGCAAGAAGGGAAUUUUUCACAUCACUUCCAGGAAGCAUUGGGCAAGGGGGAUAUACAGGCAAGAACACUAGAAUUGAAGUGGGCAGGCAUAAGCAACAAGAAAGAGAAGUGAACCACACAAGAAUUAUUUGCUGUUACUCUAGCAAAAGCUUAGCUAUGACCUGGAAGCAUUUACAGCCUGAGCGGGUUGGAGAUAACCAAUGGGCUGUAUGUGUGGCCAGGCCAGAUAAGAGGAGGAAGUCACUAGUAAUUCCACUUUAGUCUGAAGACUUGAGUGACUCGUGUCCAUAUGCGGAUCAGAAAACUCAAGUUUAGUGUUGGUUAAUCCGAACAUUAGGAGCCUCAAAAUUGAUGCUUGCCACAUUUACCUCACUGCUAUUCUAGUGAAAUACACAUUUAGCCAACUGGCACCUGAACUUAUUUCAAGCUUGUGCCUUAGCAAUAAAUUGGACACAUUUUGUAAAGGAUCUUUUAAAUGUAUAGAUUUAUUUGGAGCACAACUCUUUCCCCUAAAUGAUAACUGCAUAAAAAUACAUAGGUCUUAAGAUGCAUAUUAAAAUAUAAAAAGCAGAAUCACUGCAUUCUCAAUAUCAUUUCAGUGCUGUAGCAUAGCCCUCCAUAUGACGACACACACUACAAGAGAGGUAAAAUUAUGGAUGCUUCCAUUUUAUGGAUUGGGUCCAGAGAAACAUCCAUUGAAGCAGGGGGGCGGAUUUCCUCCUCCCUCCAGUACCCGCUGAGAUCUCUGAUUUCACAAGGGUUGGGGAACCCUGCUGAAUGGGGUGGGCUAUAGUAACAGGAGCUGGGGGCUCACAUAAGGUACCCAUGCCCAAUUUUUGGCAACCCCCUUUCCCCAAGCAACAGCCACCCAUUCAGUACAUUUCCCUGAUUCCCAGGAAAGGCUUUUCAGGGCGCUUGGGAGCCUGCCAGAGGAAGGAGGGUAAAGCCACCAUCUGCUCCUGCCUUUCUACAGGCAUUCUCUGGACCCAACGCAAAGUACUUCGCGUGGAAUUGCAACACUUCAUUCACUCACUUUUUACCAAGCAUCUCAGUCAGUAGAGCAUGAGACUCUUAAUCUCACAGUUGUGGCUUUGAGACCCAUGUUAUGCAAAAAUAUUCCUGCAUUGCAGGGGGUUGGACUAGAUGAACCUCAUGGUUCCUUCCAGCUCUACAAUUCUAUGACUCUAUCAUAUUUUGAUACUGUAUUGUUAUCCCAUGCUUUUUUCCUGUGUUGUAUUCUGUACUUCCAUACUUUCCCAAACAUCAGAAAAUACUCCUCCCCCCCCACAAAAGAUGGAACAGUAGCACUGCCUUUCCAGGUGUGGGUUCAGGUAGGUAGCCAUGUUGGUCUGAUGCAGUCGAAAUAAAUAAAAAAUUGUCCAGUAGCACCUUAGAGACCAACUAAGUUUGUUCUGGGUAUAAGCUUUCGUGUGUAUGCACACUUCUUCAGGUGUGGUUCAUUUUAGUACAAUUCUUCUGUCUUCUUUAAGGGGUUAGGCAUUGACAUGUAUUUGAUAUAUCAGGAAAUGUAAACUAUUUUCAAUUUGAUACACUUUCACUCUUACUCUUCUGGAGGCUACCAUUUAAAUUAAUGUUUAAAAAUUUGUGCCAUAAUGCUUUUGCAAGAAUAUUUUUAAAAUAGAAAAAUAUUUAUGCAAUAUGGCUUAAAUGAAAUGUGACUGUGUUGCUAAUUAAAUAAAAUGUUUUUUAAAAACACUGCCAUUCCAUUCGCCAUAAUUUUAGCAACUUUUUAAUUUGUGUUCUUAAAACACUUUUCUGAUGUUUUAAAAUAUAUUUUUUUCAAGUCCUGAAAACAUAGUACAACCAUAUCUUAUGUGCAUUUAACUCGCAUGUUUUCAACUAUACAUGGUUGAAGGCUGGCUGGAAGAAAUGCAGAGUCAGUCUUGCUUUGGAUGGAGCACUGUGCUCUUUUUGUGCUGGAUUUUUCCAGUGCAAAAAUAGCUUUUAAGUUCUCUGCCUUGCUUUCCAAGCAAUGCUCUCUCCACACGCUGGGUCUGGGAUGCUUUUGUGGGAGCAUCCCAGGGCUUCUGGAGCUGGCGUGCCAGUUCCAGAACCUCUGGGCUGCUUGUGCCAGGGUUCGGUUUCAAAGGUUUGAGUAUACAUAUUUCUGCACAUAUACAGAACCCUUGGAAUGGAAAACCAGCAUAAGACACAAUCAUACUGUACUUGCACAAUUUCAGUAAUUUUACUAGGUGCUUUAGUACAAUUAUUAAUCAAUAAACCAUUGGCUGAAAAAAAUGGGAGGAAAGAACUGAAUCCUAUGUUUUUCACUCACACAACUAUAUCACACCGACUAGCAUAGAGUGUGUUUCAUGUCUUUGGUGUGGUAAGUCAAUUUUAAUUCUGUUUAUAGCUCACAGGAGAAAUGCAGCAAUUGAGUAGUACUAGUCACUAAUAAUAAGAUGCCCAGGACUUCCCAGUACGCUUCCAUGAAUGUGCUGAACCAGUCUUCAGUGCACUGUGCCGCACUUGCUCUUUGAGAUAUUUGCAAAGCUUUCUGUUACCUUUGCAACAGUCCUCUAAGGUAGGUCAUUAAUAUUUUGAUUUCAUAACACAUGCUGGGUGAAAUUGAAUAUUUGUGAAGCAAUCCAUUGCUCAGUGGUAGUCAACAUGGUGCCUUCCAGAUGCUAUUGGGCUAUACCUCCCACAGCCCUCUUUCACUGGCCAUGCUGGCUGGGGGUUAUUAUGUGAGUUGUAGUCCCAUAACAACUGGAGAGCACAACGUUGACUACCCUUGGGCUUAACUACUAUUCCUGUCCAGAUGUCUCUGAUUAAAUACAAACAGAUCUAAUACUGUAAAUAGGAUUGCCUGGCCUCUCUUGAGCUCCUUAGCAGUUACAGCAAGUUAUAAAUGUUAUUUAUUAUACGAUCUUAUCAUAAAACUGCUUCUGUACAGUCAGUUUUCAUACCCACAUUGCUAAACGUGCCAAUCAGGGGGCUUACUGUGCUCACACAAGUUCUUUUCACAACACCAUUUCUCCAUCAGGUCUGCUAGCACUGUCAUGGGAAGGAGCUAUAUGAUUCAGCUGAUCCAUAUGGUCAACACUUUUAUAUGUUAAUAAUAAUGUUUAGCAUUUACAUAGGGCACUAUGAGUGUUCAAAACACUUCAGAUAUAUUAUCUUUGUAAUCUAUUACUAAGAUGUGGAAGCCCAUUGUGGGGAAGUUGUUACGAGGCAGCACCAUGCCGCUAAGGUAACGUGCAAAUGGUACCACCACUAUGAUAUAUUUCCCCCUCAGCAGUACUUCCCGCCUAAAUUUUCAAAGUGCUUGCACCAUUGAGAAUAUCAUUGAACUGUAUAAUUGUAGUCAGAGCAUAGCACUCAACAAAAUCAGCAGGUAGCUGCUGAUGUAUAUUUUUGCUGCUGAUGAAUCAUAGCCUUAGUAGCUAUAGUAACAGUAGGCUUAUGCUCUUGGUAAAUAUAGUAUACCGGUAUAUUUUAAUGCAUUCUUUACACAGAGUUUUUGUUAAAAAAAAUAUUGCUGAUGCAUAACAUUUUUCUCUUACAAACUAUAUGAUAACUCAAAAUCAUUAUACUGCAGGGACAGAAGUCUCAUCUACUGGAACAUCUGGCCAGAGCAUGUGGCCUGAACUUCAUGCAGCUAGUAUUGCAGGCCGCAUCUUGUGAUUACUAGACCAAGCUCACAUGCAGUUUGACCUGGAAAAAUGGCUGGCCAGCUGAAAGUGGCUGUUUUGUUUUGUUCCUCAGAGCAGGUUCCCGGCACCUCUACCAUUUAUAAUUAAAGUUUGGUAUAAGUUUGGUGCCAACUUUACUUGCAAGGAGAAGAAAAACAUUUUCAUAUUGUGAAAAAGAGAAAACUCCACACUUUGCUUAAAUGUCUUUUUUUAGUUUGCAAAACUACAUACUGUACAGAGUUCUGAUCUGAGAGUAUAUACUGUAUUCCUGAACUGCAAAGCUUUUCUGUUAGAUCAUAGUGACUUUAUGAUGGAGCCUGAUGAGUUUGGGUUCUGGACCACAGUACAGAAAACUGAAUGAUCACUGAAAAUACAGAAGUUAGCUUUUCCUGUUCUAAGUUAUUCUGCCUUAGAGCAAGGGGUAGAAACAUCACCCCCACCCCCAAUAAACCUAAAUGUGCCUUGGAGCUGAACUGGUUAUUAGGCUUUAUUGGUUUCUUCUCUGGCACCAGCCACAGAACAUCAAACAGCAAGUCUAAAACACGGCAUGUUCUCUUCCUCCCCCGGCAGGUUAACUCAAAGAUUUAUAGGGGCUGGGGAAUGCUGGCAAGCAGCCAGCCCUAUCACAUGCUCCCACUUUGUGGACUAAUUGUUACCACUUGCCUGAGGGGCCCCACCCAGCGAUACUUGCUCACAGGAUCACUCCUUCAUGACAGUGCCAUGCAUGGAAGUUGUUAAUACAGAUGAAAUAUUAAAGAUCAUUCACAUACAUAUUCUAACCAAUUUAUGUUUUACAGACUCAGCUGAGCACAAACAUUUUCAAGGUUCACAUGUAAAAGUGUCUUAAAGCUGAAAUCUUAUGCAUAUCCUUAAAAUGAAGUGCAUUCCAUCAACACAGAGGGACCAGUUUCUAAAGAAAAAAAUUGAGAUCAGGCUAAGGAUGAAUGAAUCAGUCACUUACACACAUGUUCACCAGUAAGGCAUAUUAGCUUAGCAUCCUGUUUCCCACAGUGAUCAACCAGAAGCCCACAAACAGGACAUGAGUUGUUCCCCAGCAACUGGCAUUCAGAGGAUACUGCUUCUGGUCCCAGAUAUUUUUUUUGUUCCACUGUUUAACACUUUACCGCUUACAUCCACUGAACCACAUUUGCAAUUUUAUUGCCCAUUCACACAGUUUGUAUUUGGUGUCACCAGCAAACUAGGCCACCUUACUACUUUCCCCUACCUCUACAACAUUUAUUAACACGCGUAAAGGCACAAGUCCCAGAAAAAUGGAACCCCACUUCUUACAUUCCUCCAGGUAUUUUGAAACAUAGUUUGUCUCAAACCAUGCCUUUUAAAGCAUAUUUUUAAUUAUACAUUUUGGAAACAUAAACUGAGUCAGGAAAUUUAGGACACAUGAAAACCAAUGGAUAACUACAUCCCAAUCCACCUAUUAGGUGAAGAACAAGUAUGUGCAAACAUUGAAUUUAUCAAGCUUCCUUACCAUCAGGCUGCAAGACUCAUCAAUUUACAAAGUGUGCAGUACAAACUGAUGAACUCAGAAGUUCAAUUAUAUUUAACUCCCAAGAAAGUUUCUGCAGCAUUGCAGCCCAAAUCCAGUUUACUUUGGAGAAUUAAACCUCCAUGACUAAACUUUUUAAAUUCUGAUUUUUCAGCUCAGAUACUUUGAUUAAAAAAAACAAAAGAUAUGUUCCCUUUCCCCCUGCAGAAUGUUUUAACAUGAAUUCCAUCUACAAACAAUUUAUGGAUACAUCAUUCUAAUGACAGUGAACUACCAGCACAGCUGUAAUUGAAGAAUAGCAAAUCAAACCUCUGAGGCAAGAUAUCCCAAUUCUGUAGGGAGACCUGCAUGCUUCUUCAUUUGUCUUGCUAGUCAAUAAUUUAUUAUCCAUGACAUUAGCCAUAUAACAAUUGCCCCCAUAUCAGAUGUGGAAUAUGGAACCAGCAAGUCUGACCACCGUACUGUACAAUCUAAACCCUUCUAGCAUAGUCAUAGUUUCAUAAUAUCCUGUGGUUCUCCCAAUCUAAUAUAAGUGACUAUCAAAUGCAUUCUUUGAACAGCAAUCCUGAUAUGGUACUAUCCACACACACACAAGAGGGAGGUAUUAGUAGACUUGCAGAAUCCCAAGGUCUGGUGAAGUUCGAACAAUAUUUGGGAGGGGGACAUCUUAAGCAGGGAGAGAAUAAUACAAAAAUAGCUUAAUGAGGACUGUGCAAAUUCAUUGGGCCUGAAAAGCUGAUGAAGUGUUGUUGGGUAGGGUUGGGGAAUCAGACAAACAGAUGGCUGGAAAUGGAAAUGGAAUGAAGUAUCCCAGAAAGAGCAUGGCUGGCUGACUGGAAUCCUGAACAAGAGCACUCCACAUAACUCUGUUUUGUUGCUGGUCCCACUUGUUUCUACAUGAAAUCAGCAACUAGCCUUAACAUUUUGUCUAUGUGCCAUGUACAUGCUGUCUAUUAUUCUCUCUUAAACCGGCUGGAUAAUAAGUCUUUUGUUAACAGAUUUGUAUUUCUGAGAUCCUCAACCACAAAUGCUCAUUAGUCUUAAUUAAUAAAUGGAAAAUAAGGCAAACCUAACAAGAGCAACAAAUCCAAUGAAGGAAAACCUAACAACAGCAACGAAUCCAUAACAAAAAGAAACCUUUAUUUAAUAUUUAACCCAAAAAAGCCUAUCUGCAUGAUUUCCCAUCGUUGAAGUUCUUACAAAAACCAGUUGAGCACCCAUCUACCUACACCCACACUCAGACAGUGUUCUUCAAUAAAAAUUUCAGGCCAGCCCUAGCAGUUAUGGCACCCAGGGUCAGUGCUUGUGGUCUUUUACCUAUACACCGCACUCAGCCUAGAUUUGAGUUUGCACAUAUGUUCAAAUACCUCUAUUAUGGUGCCCACAGGCAUUUCUUGCUCCCUACUCAUAGCACACUAAUCUAGAUAUCAGGCUUAUUUUUCUAUUAGGCAUAUUCACAUGAACAAAAUGCAAGACUAAGGUGGGAUCGGGUGUCUGAAGCGUUCAGAUGGAGCUUUUUGAAAUAAAUUCCUCUAUUACAAGUAUUUAUUGAAUUAAUGUACCUCUGUGUACCACCUCCACUGUUGGAGGCAGUAUGCCUAUGAAUUCCAGUUGCUGGGAAUCACAAGUAGGUAGAGUGCUGCUGUGCUUAGGUCCCACUUUUUGGCUUCUGUCAUUGUGGAAACAGGAUGUUGGACUGUUGUUGUUGUUGUUGUUGUUGUUGUUGUUAUACCACCCUAUGCCCGCAGGUCUUAGGGUGGUUCACAAGCCUGAUCCAGUACCCUGAUUCACAUAACAGAAAAAUGAAAUUUGGUACACUCCUAGUCCAAUGCACUUUGCUUACUAGAAAAAUCCGAAGACUUUCAUCUUUCUCAGUAAAAACAGCAAAGAGUAUUGUGUCACCUUAAAGACUAACACAUUUAGGGUGCAAUUGAAACCCCCCAAUCCAUUACUUGUCAUGGGAGGAACUGGAUGGGACAGAGUUCUCCUUCCACCUAGCCCAGAAAAAGCUUGCAGAGUGACUCUAGAAUCACGCCACUGGUACAAAGCUCUCCAUUCCGGGGCAUUCUGGGGUCAGGGUGGGGCUGACUCACUUGACAGCACUGGUCCCAAUUUGGCCCAAACUCUACACCAGGCUUUAAACACACACACACACACACACACCAACUUCUGCCCUGGCCAGAAUGGACUGCAGAUGCGACAUUUGCUGCUAUGCUCUAUCAUGCGCCACUGCUAUCCAACCAGGGUUUGGAUUGCUCUGUUAGUCCUUCAUCAACUGGAGACCACUUCUUCAGAUGGGAAAAAACCUUAGAAGCAAAAGUUAAAUGGCAAUGGAAUGCGAAGAGUACAGUUGGUCACAGUCCAAAUAGAGAUUGGAUGUAUGCAAUAUAAGUACGGUCUGUCUCUCAGUCUUAUCUCAGUACAUGAAAACUGCUUCUGAACAGAAGCCAGAAUGCCAGCACAAAGAAGCAAAGCCUGACAUGGGACAGAAUGUUGGACUGUGCCAUUUUCUCUUCUCACAUCUGGAGUGAUUUCAGAGAAGUGAAUUCGCAGGUGCCAGUGGGAUAUACGUCUAAAAAGGGGAUCAGGUUGCAGAAGAAGAUGUGUUCCCUUUCAUGCAGUAUAAACCUCUGUUAAGGAGUAGGAUGGGGAUUUCCGAUGGCAGUCAUGUAACAAAAAGUUUUGUAACUUUAAAAAGUGCAAGCAGACUCUUUACUUUUCCCCCUACAAACUAACAUGGUUACACUUAUCAUUAUGGUUACAGGUAGGUAGCCGUGUUGGUCUGCCAUUCACAGCAAAAUUGUGAAGGGUUCUGGAGGAUGCCAUGGAAAUGAUAAAUAAUAGCAAAAUGCCACAACAGAGUACUGUAGCUGCUAUAAAUGUAAUUCCAUAAUGAUAAGUCGAAACAAAAUAAAAAAAUUCCUUCCAGUAGCACCUUAGAGAUCAACUAAGUUUGUUAUUGGUAUGAGCUUUCAUGUGCAUGCAAACAAAAGCUCAUACCAAUAACAAACUUAGUUGGUCUCUAAGGUGCUACUGGAAGGAAUUUUUAUUUUGUUUCGACUUAUCAUUAUGGAAUUACAGUGGUGCCCCGCAAGACGAACGCCUCGCAAGACGGAAAACCCGCUAGACGAAAGGGUUUUCCGUUUUGAGGCGCUCAUAAAGCAAUUUCCCUAUGGGCUUGCUUCGCAAGACGAAAGCCCAUAGGGAAAUCUCCGAGGACCUCUUUUAAAUGCUAGCGGUGGGGAGCAAAGCCUUCCCCCCUCCGGCCUUCAGAAGAGGUCCAGGAAGGCUGGCGGGGGCCGAAGGCUUUGCUCCCCACCGCCAGCUUUUUAAAAGCCGUCCGGGAUAGCAGGGAAGCGCUUCCCGCUAUCCCGGACGGCUUUGAAGGCAGGAGAGGUCCGCGAGCCUGGGCGCGCUGAUCUCCAGCGCGCGCAGGCUCCGGCAUGCCGGCAACUCUCCGCAAGCAGCGGCAGCGCUGCCGCUGCUCGCGGAGAGGUCCGCGAAGCCUGGGCGCGCUGAUCUCAGCGCGCGCAGGCUUCGGCAUGCCGGCAACUCUCCGCAAGCAGCGGCAGCGCUGCCGCUGCUCGCGGAGAGGUCCGCGAAGCCUGGGCGCGCUGAUCUCAGCGCGCGCAGGCUUCGGCAUGCCGGCAACUCUCCGCAAGCAGCGGCAGCGCUGCCGCUGCUCGCGGAGAGGUCCGCGAAGCCUGGGCGCGCUGAUCUCAGCGCGCGCAGGCUCGGCAUGCCGGCAACUCUCCGCAAGCAGCGGCAGCGCUGCCGCUGCUCGCGGAGAGGUCCGCGAAGCCUGGGCGCGCUGAUCUCAGCGCGCGCAGGCUCGGCAUGCCGGCAACUCUCCGCAAGCAGCGGCAGCGCUGCCGCUGCUCGCGGAGAGGUCCGCGAAGCCUGGGCGCGCUGAUCUCAGCGCGCGCAGGCUUCGGCAUGCCGGCAACUCUCCGCAAGCAGCGGCAGCGCUGCCGCUGCUCGCGGAGAGGUCCGCGAAGCCUGGGCGCGCUGAUCUCAGCGCGCGCAGGCUCGGCAUGCCGGCAACUCUCCGCAAGCAGCGGCAGUGCUGCCGCUGCUUGCGGAGAGGUCCGCGAGCCUUGGCUGGACAGCUUUUGAAGGCAGGUGGGGGGACAAGACUUUGCCCCCGCCAGCCUUCAGAAGAGGUCCAGGACCUCUUCUGAAGGCUGGCGGGGGCAAAGUCUUUGUCCCCCUGCCUGCCUUCCCAGGGGCUUUAAAUUGCCCCGGACAGCGGAGAAGUCCUCCGCUGUCCCGGGGCAAUUUUAAAAUGCCGCCCGCCAGCAUUUUAAGAUCGCCCCGGACAGCGGAGAAGCCCUCCGCUGUCCCGGGAGUUUUAAAAUGCUGGGGUGGGUGGGAAGAAAAGCCCUUGUCCCCCCAGCAUUCAGAAGAGGUCGGGGGACAGACUGUCCCCGGACCUGGUCUGAAGUCGGUUUCCCUAGGAACGCAUUAAUUGAUUUUCAAUGCAUUCCUAUGGGAAACCGUGCAUCGCAAGACGAAAAACUCGCAAGAAGAAAAAACUUGCGGAACGAAUUAAUUUCGUCUUGCGAGGCACCACUGUACAUUUAUAGCAGCUACAGUACUCUGUUGUGGCAUUUUGCUAUUAUUUAUCAUUUCCAUGGCAUCCUCCAGAACCCUUCACAAUUUUGGUGUCAGCAUCUACUUGUCUAGGCACCUCAGAGAAGUCUUUGUAGGAUCAGACUCUCCAUUAGAUUUGUAGGAAGAUCAGCUAAGUAAGGAUGAUGCAGAAAGCGCAAGUUGGUUAUGCUUCUCUUUCCUCCACAUCCCUUUCUUGUGGAAAAUGGAUAUUUCACAUUUCUCUCUGUGGGGAGAUCUGUAAACUGUCUUUAUUUAUAAUUGGCCUGUUUUAUGAGUGAAGGGGGGAAUCUACUUGUUGUGUGUUUGACUUAUCCUUCCCUAUAUCAGUAUUGCUGCAUCAUAAUUAGAUCACAGUGACCUCUCUUUCAUUAUAAGAUUUUUUGCAUGAAAAUCAAGAAUGACUUCCACCCAUCAUCAUCAGCUCAGAUACAAAACUGACAUCACAAUCUGUUAUUGGGCAGCAAAUUCCAUGAUAUUCAGCUAAGCUGCCUGCAGUUAAGAAAUCGUUUUUAAUUACGACGCAUCACCUGUUUGCACUCACUGUGGAAAGGAGAUGUAGAAAAUCAUAUCUGAUUGCAGGCUUUAACGAGCUGUUUAUUGGAUGCGGCAUAUUACUUUCUGGACUUUUCAAAAGAUACAAAAGUAAUACUUUAGAAACAAAAGGGGGAAUUUUGCAAACAAGUGCUGUCUGCCAUCCAAAACAUUUCACAGAUCAUCACAAAAAGGACAUGAAAAUGUUUGCUUUUUCAAGAAGUGCUAUCCUCACUCUAAAACAAGGCAGAAGAAACUUAGGUCCAGAGAUCUUCAUGCCUCUACUAGGUCAUGCUACUACCCAAGCAACGCCCCCUCCCCCCGAAUACGUAUCUCAUUGGCUGUCCUCCGAAGCCCUCCUCAAGUGCUUUCGUGUGUCUAGAAUUGUGUCCUUGAACUAUGAUAAUACCUCUUGCUUCCCCAGAUGGAGGAUAAGCUAGAUUUACUAAAUGUUUACAUUUCUCCCACAACAAAAAGUCCCAAAGCGAUUUACAACAAGAAUAAGAUGCAAUAAUAAAAAUACAAAGAUGUAUUAAAAACACAGUCAGAAAAAGAAGUAUUCAAUCACUGGUGCUGCUCAAGUGCCUGAGAAAAUAAAAACACCUUUGUUUGGCACCAAAAUGAUGACAGCAGCAGAUGGGCCUCCCAAUGGAAAUGUAUUCCAUAGCCAGGGAGCUACUACAGAAAAGGCCCUAUAUGUCAAUCACCACCCUUUGGACCACAGGUUCAUAUGGGGAAAGAUAGUUCUUUAGGUAUAGGAGUUCCAAGCCAUAAUAUAUUCUAUAUAUAUAUGUUUGUGUGCGAGAGCGUAUACUGCUUGAUUGUAAUAACAAUAGCCAACUCUUAAGUGGUUCACAACAAUAUAAAACAUUAAAAAUUAUCAAUAAAAACAGUUAAAAAUCAGUAUAUUCAAAAAAUUAUUAAAAUCAAUGGUAGCUAAAAAUAAGAAAAACAUAUAUAUCUUCUACAUGUCUGCAUACACUUGUCUUCACAAAAAUGUUUAAGCAAGCGCCGAAAAGCAAUAUAAGACUUUAACGGUCAAAACCAGCACGUUGAAUUGGGCCCACAAACAAAUCGGCAGCCAGUGCAGUCAGCCCAGAACCAGGGUUAAAUGUUCCUGUCUUAGAACCAUAGAAUCACAGGGUUGGAAGGGACCACGAAGGUCAUCGAGUCCAACCCCCUGCAACACAGGACACUAUUGCCCUUGUCCCAGUUAACAUUCAAAAUAACACAUCCUGCACUGGUUGCAGUUUCCAAACCACCCCCAAAGGUGCACAACGAAUUGCAGUGAUCUAACCCAGAGGUUACCACAGCCUGGACAGCCAAACCCUGGCUAUCCUCCAGGCUGCCCACCUGCUCCUUCAAGGACAGUGUAACUCUCUCCAGUAAGAGGAAGGCAAGGGAGGAGAGGCACUGCUGCGAGCGGGAGAGAUGAAGAAGAGGAGCAGCAGCAGUACAGGGGACAGUGGGCAGUGGCAGCUCAGGCAGCGCAAUCUCUUGCAAUGGCCCUGCAUGGUGGUAAUAUAUCAAUCAACUAACUUUUGUGAAUUUGACUUUUCUGAUGAUACAGUGAUCCUUUUAAUCACUGUAAUCACAGAAGGAAAGGUCUAACAGUAAUGAUCACCACAGGGGAAAGACUACCUUUUGGAUGUCCUGCCUGCAACAAUAGGUUUUGAUGACAAAAUGAAAAGCUGCAAGACUACAGUGCUGGAUUCCCACACUGUAGGGAAUGGGAAAGCCAAAAAAUAAAAGACAAGCCUCAGGUUGGUGCUCAGAAAUUUAAAUGCACAGGUGGGAACACCAGAUUGGCUCUGCUGGUGCACCCAUAAAGCCCCAACUUUAGCACUGCCCUGCUCCAACCCAUUCAAACAAACCAUGGCAGCCCCGGUGUUGGUGAUCACUCUGUCGAAGGGAAACUCCCCUCCGGAGUAGAAAUCAUAUAUCUAACAGAUGGAAGGCUCUUUAAUCUGAGUAGGCUGAAAGCAAAGAGUAAGGUUACCGUAACUUCCAUCACAGAGCUUCAGUAUGCUGAUGACAACAUAUUGUGCACUCACUCAGAGGAUGACCUCCAAACCAUCCUAAAUAUCUUCGUAGAAGCUUACGAAAAGCUUGGCCUAUUGCUCAACAUCCAAAAACCUAAAGUGCUGCACCAACAAGCACAAAACAACCCCUGUGCAGUGUCACAAAUCCCACUCAAUAGUGUAAAGUUGGAAAAUGUUGAUCACUUCUCCUACCUGGGCUGUUAUCUUUCCACAAGGGCCAACAUUGAUACCAAAAUCCAGCACUGCCUGAGCUCUGCGAGUGCAGCUUUCUCCCGAUUGAAGUGCAGAGUGUUUGAGGACCAGGACAUUUGAAGGAAACCAAAAUGCUUGUUUCCAAAGCUAUUGUGCUACCAACUUUACUGUAUGCUUGUGAAACAUGGACCACUUAAAAACACUAUCUCCAGCUCCUCAAAAGAUUCCAUCAAUGGUGUCUCCAAAAAAUUCUACACAUCACUUGGGAAGACAGGAGAACUAAUGCCAGUGUAUUGGAAGAAGCAAAGAUCACCAGUGUCGAAGCAAUGAUUCCUCAACAUCAACUUCAUUGGACUGGUAAUGUUGUGCAGAUGCCUGAUUAUCAUCUUCCAAAGAAGGGGUCAGCAACCUUUUUCAGCCGUGGGCCGGUCCACCGUCCCUCAGACCAUAGGGGGGAGCCUGGACUAUUUUUUCGGGGGGGGGGGGAGAACAAAUUCCUAUGCCCCACAAAUAACCCAGAGAUUAAUUUUAAUUAAAAGCACACAUUCUACUCAUGUAAAAACACCAGGCAGGCCCCACAAAUAACCCAGAGAUGCAUUUUAAAUAAAAGGAAACAUUCUACUCAUGUAAAAACACGCUGAUUCCUGGACCAUCUGCAGGCCGGAUUGAGAAGGCAAUUGGGCCGCAUCCGGCCCACGGGCCUUAGGUUCCCUGUUCCAAAGCAACUACUCUAUUCCGAACUUAAAAAUGGUGCAUGCACAUGAAAGCUCAUACCAAUGACGAACUUAGUUGGUCUCUAAGGUGCUACUGGAAGGAAUUUUUUUUAUUAAAAAUGGUGGUCAACAAAAGAGGUUUAAAGACUCUCUCAAGGCAAUUCUUUAAAAAAUGUAGUAUAAACACCAACAACUGGGAAACACUGGCCUGCGAGUGCUCCAAUUGGAAAACAGCCUUUACCAAAGGUGUCAUUGGCUUUGAAGACUCUCAAACUCAGGACGAAAGGGAGAAACAUGCUAAGAGGAAGGCACACUUGGCAAACCCUCACCGUGAUCAACUCCUGCCUGGAAACCUAUGUCCCCACUAUGGAAGGAUGUGUAGAUCCAGAAUUGGCCUCCACAGUCACUUACAGACUCACUGUUAAAACCAUGUUUAUGGAAUACACUCUUACUUGGCUACAAGUGAUCACCAAAGAAGGUAGGGCAGCUCGGCGGCUCUAUCUAAACACAACGGCCCCUUUGUUGGGUGUUCACUGUUUGCUCAAAAUACCCCCUGAGUAAAGUCCCCAUGUGUGUGCUUAGUUCCAAAAACAUGGGAAACAAUGAUGUAGCCCAAUGCCACAUUUCUUAAUAUAGAAAAAUCUGUAUUUUCUCGAUAAAUUCUGUAUGCCCAUCAUAGUGUGGAGUUACUCAGUAGUUAAGUCUCCAUUGAGGUUGGGUUGAUGGUGGAAAUAUGGAGGUGGUUGUCUAGGGCUCUCCACCUGAGUGUUUGAACUUAUCUCACUUCUUUUAUUAUUGUAGCAUUUCACCCUCACAGGUGGCAGGAAUUAGUCAAAGAGGCACUGGAUUCUCCAUGUCAGCAUAAAUCCAUGGGAAGCAGUUUGACAUAAGGCAAGUACAAGCAUCUUUUGGAUGAAGCCAGUAGUUGGGACUGAAAAGUAAGGCAUGACCAGAGGACAAUCCCGGAGGCAGGUUCAAGGAACAACCCAGAAAUUAGGAAUGGAAGGACUAUCAAAAGAUAUUGGAACACACCAGCGCUCAGGAAGACCUCUUAUAAAGCUUAAUGGAACAGAAAGCCCUAUUAUAGUCCUUCAUGUCCUCCACAAGGAACCAAUAACAGACCUGAGUAGGCGCCAGGCAAAAACAUUCCUUUUCCAUCAGGCCUUUGGCUUUUAAUUAUCUAUGGCCUUUUUGCUUGGGUGGGAUGUUUUAAUUUGUUUGUUUUUUUAAAAAAGAAAGAAACAGAAUUGUCUUUUAGAUUUUUUAAAAUGCUGGUUUUAAUGUAUGUUUUUUGCUUAAGCCACUUCGAGUUACUGUGACAAAAAGCAACCAAUAAAUUUAAUAAAUAAUAAUAAUUUGCACAAAGUGGACAUAUAAAAGACACCCCAGAUGGCAAAACUUGAGAAGUAAGCAUAUGGCCAAUGAAAUGUAGGGCCUUGCAUAACUGUUCAGGUUAGGGACCCACAAGUUCUUUAAUUCAGUAUUGCAUUUAAACAUUCUUUCUCCAGUUGUUGUAUGCUUUUGCUAGAAUACCGUGGACAGUGACACAUAGGUGCCCUCUAACGCCACCUAGUGAUCUCCUAAGUCAACUUAUCCUCACAUCUGUCAAGACUCCUAACAAAGACAGCUGAGCAGUAAUGAAAUCAGCAAGAGUGAUUCUUUCACACCUCAGGGAGAAAGCAGGGAGGGACUCCAAGCCAUAUGCUUAUGGAUAACAAUGGGACUGAAUUCUAAUUGAUUUUAUAAGCUAAAGUUAGUGGUUGCAUGUUUUCCCUCACACAGCUGAAGUAAAAAGUUAUAAAGACAAAGUUACAAGAAUAAUCUAAUAUAAGGCAACUAUUUUAAUAUUUUAGUAACAUUUUUGAAUUAUUUUUGCAAUUACAGAACACCCUGAACAUGGAUACAGUGGUACCUCAGGUUAAGUACUUAAUUCAUUCCGGAGGUCCGUUCUUAACCUGAAGCACCACUUUAGCUAAUGGGGCCUCCUGCUGCCGCUGCGCCACCAGAGCACAAUUUCUGUUCUCAUCCUGAAGCAAAGUUCUUAACCUGAAGCACUAUUUAUGAGUUAGCAGAGUGUGUAACCUGAAGCGUGUGUAACCUGAAGCGUAUGUAACCCGAGGUACAACUGUACUGAAUACCAAAAUGAGUUAAAUCUGCAGAUGUAUCAAUUUUGACAUCUCUCUGUCUUGAGAGUUAAUGGAGUACACCUCUGGGGGUGAAGUCAAGCCACUGCAUUAGCACCGAAAUGACCUCCUUGGGACACAAGCCUGAGCAGUGUGUAUGGAGGUCCUGGGCUGACCAGAUGACAAGACUCUUAGCCUCACUAAUGUGGUCCAAAGGAAAACAGAGCAAUACAUUUGGCACCAGCUUGGCUGCAGGAGCUGCAAUACAAGGCGCCAUCUUUCGGAACUCCAGAUUUGUGUAGGGUUUACUCCUUAAGUCUUUUCUCCUCCCAAAGAUAUCCUACAAGGCAGCGGAGGUUUAGGAACAUAGUUUUCCUUCUCUUACAAAUCUAGUUGUACCAGAGUUUUAUUCACAGUAAGGUGAACUAUUACUUCUGUUAGAGGAACAGGGAUUCCAUUGCUGAAUAGGGAGCAGCUUUCUCAAACAUAUUUCAUUGUAACUGAUAUCCGAUAUUUAAAUCCAUUGUUUUUCAUACACUCCCCACUUUCUCUCACUGGUUUCUUUGGUUCUUUCAAAGUGCAAAACUUUGCCAAACAAGGGUAAUCUGUCAAUGCAGGACUGCUGAGAAUUAUAGUUUAUGCUGGGGUUUCUCAAAAUUCCAACCAUGAGGCUGAAAUUUACUUUUUAAAAUAUGUAAUUUGUCCCUAAGACAAAUUACUGGAAACAAAGGACUAGAAAGUGGUCAGAAUAAAACCCAUUUUUUAAAAGGGGCAAAAUCCUGACAAUUACUUUGUUGGUUAGUUUAACAGUUAUUCAUAAUGCUUAAUAACUUGUUAACAAAUGACCUGGAGUUAGGGGUAAGAAGCAAAGUGAGUAAGUUUGCUUAUACAGCUAAGUUGUUCAGGAUGGUAUGCACAAAAAAAGAUUGCCAGGAGCUCCAAAAGGAUCUCAUCAAACUGGGAGAAUGGGCAUUAAAAUAGCAAAUGUGAUUCACUGUAAACUAGCCUGAAAUGAUGCACAUAGGAGCAACAAAGAUGUCAUAAGACCACAAUAUUUUAAGGACUGCCUCUCAACCAAACUGGACCCUGCAAUCAUCAAAGGUCCUUUCUCAUGUUCCUCCUCUGUGAAAUGUCCAGGCAGUAGCAACACAAGAACAAGCUUUUCCUGCUGUGCCUCCCAGUUUGUAGAACGCUCUCACCAGGGAGGCUUGCCUGGCACAACCUUUAUAUAUAUUUAGCUGCCAGGCAAAAACCUUCCUCUAUAACCAAGUUUUUGGCUUUUAACUAUCUGUGGCCUUUUAGAAGUGGGUGGGAUGUUUUUAAUGUAUUGCUCUUUCAUCUUGGUUUUAAUGUAUCUAUGUGGGGUUUAUUGUCUAUUUGGCUGUCAGUCGCUUUGCGUUGCCCUGAAGAUAAAGCAACUGACAAAUUAAAUACAUACAUACAUAAAUGAACCCCUAACUUCACAUCUAAGCUUACAGAGUCUGAACUGGCCAGGAAAUGGACCUUGAGGUCAUGGCAGGUAGAUCAAUUAAAAUGUCACGGUGAUGUGAAAAAGGUGAAUCCACAUCCAUAUUGUACCACAAUCAGAGCUUAUGCUAGCAGGGUUAUCUAAAUUCUGGGUUAGCCAGAAUUUAUCUAGGAUUCUUCAAGAGUAAGGCUACAGCAGUUUCUUCUUUAAUAUUCUGGACAUGCUCAGAUGCAACUUGAUCAUGUUACCUGACAUGUAUGAGCCUUGGUGCACAUUAUACUCACCAUGUGAACAGUCAGUUAUUCUUGAAAACUCUGAAAGCUGCCUCAUCAACAAACACAUUAAAAUGAAAGAGACAGAAAGCUGCAAGUGACAGUGAAAGAGAAGCCAUUCCCUGUCUUUCUCUAUCCACUAUUUGUCUCCCCUUUUCGUCAUCACAGCUACUUUCCCUUGCUCUUACCCGUUCCAAUUCUUAGGGAAAAUAAGCCAAGAGAAAGAGAUUAUCCAAAAAUGAGAUUAACAACUGACAAAGAAAGACAUCCAGUGGAUCAUCCUUCCUUCCUUAUUUAUUUAUUCAUUUAUUUAUUAGUUUAUUUCGUAAAAUAUAUAUACUGCUUGCUUGUAGAAAGGCGCAAAGCACUUUGCAAAACCUUGUGUAUCUGAUGUCUCUCUCUUCCAGGUUUUAGUGCUUUUUGCUAAAGGAGGCACAAAUGAAAGUGGUGGUACAAAUGAAAAACCACUCUGGCCCAUGCUGUCUAGGCACAGGACAAGCGGAAGUGUGGAUGAGCCCUCAGAUCAACAGAUGCUCACAUACAUGAGUCAAAUAAAUGGUUGGUGCUAUGAAUUGUGGUGUUCUCCUUCCAGAUGACAGAAUGGGAAUGAUCUAGAUUUCAUCCUCACCCACUUAAAUAUGAAUGCCAGUGUUAAAGCAAAUAAUGCUAUGUUUCACUUUGAUAGGUACACAUCCAGCCAUGGAGCACCCUUUUAUAAGUAAAGGAAUCUGUAUGUGGAUUGUUGCAUUUAGACAUGGAUUGCCCAUGAAGGAUUGGCACGCUUGCCAUUAAACUGUAAUGUAGGAAGCUGCUCUCUGCAAUCUAUUUAAAUUCCAUAUUCUCUUCCUCUAAGCACAUUCAGACAACCUAGAGAAAGGUGUUAACGUUGUAAUAAAUUAAUUGUUCCACCAUCUUUCUAUAACUGGCUGCAUCACAUACCCAGAAUUUUCAUAACCUCCAAACAUUGAAGUAAUUUAGUUCCUUAUGCAAAACAGAGUUGCCCAGAAUAGACACAUUGCCUAGAAUAGAUAGUCUAUGCUGAAAAUAGUCUGGUCUGUCAAGAUACUAAUCCUUUCAAUUGGCAAUUACUCUGAUUUAAAAUGCAUAUUAUUAUAAUCUUUGAGAAGUGUUUUGAUGUCCUACACAUCAGCACAUAUAGCAGAAGUAUUUUUUUUUUAAGUACAGAAUUACAAUUAUAUUAAAAUUAGAGCUUCCAAAAGAUAGGGAUUUUUUAAUCUCUCAGAAAAUGUAGUACAGGCUAUAGAGAGUCUAUAGUUGUAAAGCCACAUGCAGGUCAUAGAUCAAAACUAUGUGGAGGUCCGCAACAUGCAGAGCUUAAAGGAGGGGGGGGAUGUCACAUUCUUUCAUUUUCAGCAUAAGAAAUGGCCAACUUGUUCAGGGCAAAUAAUUGUUUGAACUGAGGAUUUUAUUAUUAAUCUCUGAAGACUGCUGAAUUUAGGGUCACAGUAAGGGUUGAUUAGGUACAAGGUGCACAAAGCUCUCCUCUGUCGAUGCUAUUGAAAGAAGCAAGUAAUUUAGAUUCAGAAUUGGUCUUGGAUUGAAGCUCACUCCAUUACCGACCAUUUUCAAUUUCAGCUAUACAAUAAACAUCAAGCUCAGCAAGGAAAUUAGUACAUUUGGUAAUGCAUUGGGGGAGAUGGGUGGGUCUUUCACAAGAUGACACUUAUCACCAAAGCUUCAGUUAAUGAAACCCUUGAGUGGUAUCUGCGUUUGACAUAUUUUGACAUUUUUUGAAAUCACAUCCAGCAUUUUCUCUCUCCCACCCCCCCAGCUCCAACUGCACAAUGUUCUGCUUGGGGAGGGGGGGUGCUCCAUCUAUCUUUAAAAUAAGUGCUGAAGAGCUGAAAUAUUAUUGGGGAGGGAGGAAUAAGAAGAAUCUGACUGCACCAGGAGACACAGAGAGAGCAGUAGACUUUCUCAACAGGUAAGGUAUUUCUGGAUAAAUAUUAUUCAGAUUGAGAAUGUGCCCAGAUAUAUGUGUCUACACAAUGAAUUUUCAGGUAUCUAACAUGGAUGUUUAUGUUUGCUUUACAAACUAAUGCAGGGGUCUUCAAACUAUGGUCCGUGGGGCAGAUCUGGCCCACUAGGCUCGUAAAUCUGGCCUGCGGACCCUGCCACCCACUGAGUCAGUCCCCGUGCACUGAGGUAAACCCGGAGUGGUAAGGCAUUUCCUUGAAAAGCAGCCACAGAAGCCUCACCGCGCGGGGACCGACUGGCAGGCAGCGGCACUUUCGCAGCUUCCGAUUGGCUGCAGGAUGGAGUCCCCGUGCCCCAAAGUGUAACGGGAGCGCAGCGGUGGCUCUACCAAUGAAAGGCCGCAUUGGCGUAUACCUCAUCGCAGCGUGGGGCCUUUCAUUGGUAGAGCUGCCGUCGAUGCGCUGAGGUAAACGCUGACAUGGCCUUUCAUUGGUAGAGCUGCCACCGAUGCCCUGAGCCCGGGAUCCCUCAGUGAGUGCGGAGCUGGCCCAGAAAGGAGAGGCGCAGCCACCGCUGCCAGCUCCCAACCGCAGACAGAGCUACAUGGGCAGCGGCAGCCACUGUGCCAAGGUGAAGCAGUAUGAUCGCCCAGGCAGAAACAUGGAGUCCAUGCCGGCAACUGCCGAGCCUGCCGCUGCUGCCGAGCCAGGCUCCAAAGCUGCCGUGGCCACAGCUAGCACUGCAGUCUGGGAUCUCUCAGCAAGAGCGGAGUUGGCCUGGAAAGGAGAGGCACCACCACUGCAGCCAGCUCCAAAUUGCAUGCAGAGCUACUCGGGCAGCAGCAGCAGAGGAGGUAGGAAAGCAGGGGAAGGGGGAGGGGCUGGGGAGAGGGAAGAGAGAAAAAGCCCCCCUCAGCCGGAAUCCUCACCGCCCAGGGCUGGGGUCGACCCCCGAUUGUGUCUCCUUUCAGUCUCCAGCUAUGUAUAUAAGUAUGUGUAUGUGUGCACAUGUGUGUAUACGGGUGUCUGUAUAUAUUUCAUAUGAAUGAAAAUACAGCAUGAGCUCGGACCAUUUGCAUUAUUGCUGAGCGCUGGCUAGCAGUGACAAAUAUAGAACCGGAUAUUGACCAUCUCAUUAGCCAAAAGUAGGCCCAUACUUCCCACUGAAAUACAGUGGUACCUCGGGUUACAAACCCUUCGGGUUACAAACUCCGCUAACCCGGAAGUAGUACCUCGGGUUGAGAACUUUGCCUGAGGAUGAGAACAGAAAUCGCAUGGGAGGUCCCAUUAGUGAAAGCGCACCUCAGGAUAACAACGGUUUCGGGUUAAGAACGGACCUUCGGAACAAAUUACCGUAUUUUUCGCCCUAUAGGGCGCACCGGCCCAUAGGGCGCACUUAUUUGGGGGGGGGAAUAAAGAAAAAAAAAUAUUUCCCCCCCCCAAGCCCCAAAGAGCAAAGAAGCCAUGACAGCGAGAGGGAUGGAUCCCGCUAGCUGUCUUGGCUUCGUUUUCAGCCUCAGGGCUGGGGGUCCGGGAGCGAAGGCGAGGUUGCGCUCAACCUCGCCAUCGCUCCCGGAGCUGGGGGCGGGGGAAGCCCGGGCUUCCACCCCAGCAAAAGAACACCAAUAGCUUUUCAAAAGAUCACCAAAGGAUCAGUGGGGGGACAUGUCCACACUGCAGGGGCAACAAAGCUGCACCAAUGUUCCUCAAAUUGGGAUGUGCAUCCCAAUGAAAGUUAUGCUGAGCCAAAAAUGUUCCCCUUUUUGCAGAGCUACUUGUCUCAUGUGAAAGUAUGUUGGAGAGUUUUCGGACUUUCAUUGGGAGGGGAUUGGGAGAUGGGCCAUUGGCAUGAUCCAGCCAGCUGUUCUUAUGUUUGUAUGCCCUUAAUGAAAGACCAGUGAGCACUGGGAGAGAGGUUAAGAGCUUAGAGUACCACUUUUUGCAUAAAAAUUCAAAAUGUGAGGUACUACAAUUUUGAUUAUCAUGGUGGUGAUCAUGAUGCAUCAUAAUGGAAUAAAUAAUUUCUAAAUUAUAUAGGGCAGAAACUAUCUGAGGGCAAGAUAAUGAAUAAAGAGUGAAAGGAUUUUAAUUUUAGUUCAUCUAUCUAUCCAGUGCUAUUUUUCUAGAAAAAGAGGUGCUGGAACUCACAAUGAACGCCUCUCUGGUUCUCUUAGAAUGGCAAUUGCCCCAACUGAGAGGUGCUGGAACUGAGUUUCCCCCAGUUGGGGGAAAAGCCCUGUAGCCAUCUAUCCAUCCUUUCCUUUUUAUUUACCAGCAGCUGGUAAAAUGAAAUUCUGGUUGACACUUGUAUUUAACACAAAUUCUCUAAAUGCCUAUUUGACUGGUAAAUUAAAGCCUAAGUCAGAUUCCUCCACAUGAUCAUGUAGAAAAGGAUGAGUGUGAAGUGAACUUAACAGUAAACAGUGUGAACCAGCAACUAUGAUCACAUUAUCAUGAUCUCACAGGUACUGUAAAAAGUACAACUGUACACCCAGGCUGUGUACACACAUUUUAUUGUUUUUUCUCCAUUGUUCAAACAUGGUCUAGACCUAUACUGCAUAUUUUUGCCCCUGAAAAGAGUUUAUUGAGAAACUGGUUUCAUUCCAAAAAUAAAAGCACGCUGUAGAUUGAUUCUGCAUCACUCUGCAGUGUGUCCAUUUGAAAAAAGAUAUGAGCAGUCUUGGCAAUUGGUCACACCUGAUCAAUGACAUUGUUGGUGGGAAUAUGCAAGAUCACAACCACAACUUCCUUCUUCAUUUACCUGGCACAUGUGAAAGGAGGAAAAGGUGUGUGUGACCUAAUCACAGGGAGGGUUUUCAAAUGUGCAUCAAGUAACUAUGUCUACCCUUGUGGAUGGCAGGAUCUGGAAUCAAUCUAGAUUGAAAGUAGUGGAGUACAAGCAUGAAUGAUUUCAAAUUGAGAAAAACUACAAAUGGGUCAGUGUGUAUGUGGCCUCAGUGUCUACACUUCCCACUUUAUACUAUGUGGUUGUGCGCAUGUACAAAUUCUGUUAGCCAUCUCUGAAAUUAAAAAGAAAAACAUAGCUUAACCUUUGCACUCUGUGGAAGAAGCUUGCUAAUGGUACAUGUUCUCAUUACCAAUGGUCCUUUUCCACAUCCUCUUUGCCUUAAACAGACCCCUCCGUGUUGCAUUGUAAUUAAUUUUUAAACUUGGGCCAGUUUUCAAAGCAGUUUGUAAUGUAGAUGAGAGAUCUGCUUCAAGAUAAAUAAUAAAUGGAUGGCUUUUGUUUUCAUAGCAUCAGUCCCACAGAUGCCCAAAGUCACUGGUUAUGUUCUGGCAGUCGUGCUAUUAUAGCAUUAAGGCUGCAGUCCUACACAUACUUACCAGGGAAUAAGCCCCACUGAACACAGAGGAGCUUACUUAUUUCUGUGUAAAAAUGCAUAGGAUUGCACUAUUCUAUAUUGUUGCUGUCUGAAGUGUUUUUUUUAAUUUUGAUUUGUUCCUCUUUGCAACAUUUGGAAGAGGAGAGAAAGAAGGGAGGGGAAACACGCUGCUUUCUUCUCUAUUUUAAACAUAACAAGAGUGAAUGAAAUGACAGCAUGGAAUCUCAUAACCUUGGAAUCUCGUAACCUUGAGCACACAAAAGAAAGUUAAAUAUGUAUAAAAAUGAAAGGAGGGUAGCCAGAAACUAGCUGGGAGGGAAUAAAUAAUUGCCUGCCUAAAACUAGUUCUGACUAGUUCAUGACCCAAGCACACUACUGUCGGCUCUCAGAUCACUUUAAAUGCUGCAUUGUGGCCGCUAGGAUGCAAGACCAAAUUUUUAAAAAGAGGUCUGUGUGGAUGAGGCAGAAGAUUUAAAGUUCACUCAUUCUAAGGGAUUUGAUAUUUACUCUUUAGCUCCCAUGAAAGCCGAGGGAAAUUAUUAUAGAUUCAUAUAUUUCAAAAUCCCACACAGCUCUAUUAUUGUUCACUUUUUCUUUAGUUUGCCCUAUUCAGAAGAGAGAGAGAACAAUUAAAACAAAAAUACAAAGCGACCUAAAUAGGCCAUUUCUGAACUUGACUGGUCCUACUGAGAUAACACUUACCGCUUGAGUUCCAAGCCGGGUGGUCCCUCCCAAAGAUAUUUCCCCCUGUUACAUGUGGGAGGUCAUCUUGAAGAUUUCAGGAAUGGGAACUGCAUUGCAGAGGAUACCUCCUCCUGAAGAGUUGCAUUGUGCUGAAUGGCAAUUUUUUAAUUUAAAACUUGCCCUCACAUGACACUGCUCUGUGCAUUUUCUGUGAUUCCUUCAGGCAAGGUUUAAGGUGCUGGAGCAAGAACCCUGUGUAUGUCUGCUCUUGUGAAGGCUCAGAGAAGAAAUAAUAGAAGCUGGAUAUCUUCUAAACCAAAAAUAAAUCCUAUAUCACAAAAGGAGUUAAUACUUCUUUCUUUCUUUCUUUCUUUCUUUCUUUCUUUCUUUCUUUCUUUCUUUCUUUCUUUCUCAAUGCAAUUUCCCACAACCGACCAGUCAUGUUAUUCCACAUGCUACUCAGUUUUGUAUUAAGAAUACUUUGUGAAUUUAACAGAGUUUUCAUUCCCCCCCCCAGUAGCAAUUGGUGAAGGAGGGUACAGUAUCUUGCGAUAUAGGUAUCAUACACACCAAAUAAUAAAUGUGAGCAAUCAAUUGAUUUUUCAGAAUAAUUAAAUAAUCUUAGUUUGGAUACACAUUUUAAUCACAAGAUUUCAAUUUCUACCAAAAGUUUUAUUCCACAAAUAGCUCUUUUUACAAUGCUUCUUAGACAAUUCUGCAAAUUGGUAGAGUAAAAGCACACAGAUCCCACCAGGCUCCCAUCUGGUCCAGGGUGGAAACAUGAAGCUCUACUACUUACCCCUACUACUACUUACCCCUGGAAAAUGAGGAGGGGAAGAAAUAUAAAAUCUGGGUGUCAUUUGCAUACUGGUGGAACCUUACACCAAAUCUCUGAAUGACCUCAAGCUUCAGGAAGAUGCUCAACAGAAUGAAAUAAAGAAUAAUUAAGUGUGGCACCCCAAAAUAUUAUUGUUAAGGGAUCAGUUAAUGGUUCCUCAGCACUAUUUUCUGGUAUCAGCCCCGCUCCACCAAGUAGGAGCGGAAUCACAGACAAGCAGUGCCUCCCACACUCAACUUGGAGAACUCAUCUAGAAAGAUACCCUGAUCAAAGGAUAGCUGUCAAGAAUUCCAAGAAAAUCAACAAGGUCACACUUUCCUAUUUCUCUCUCAGCAAAGGUGACCAAGACAGUUUCUGUCCCCAAACCAAACCAAAAUCAGUUUCAUCAUAGAGUGACUUGGAAAGUGCUUCUUCAUGCAGCACAUAGUUAAACUAUGGCGCUCCCUCCCACAGGUGGCUUUAAAAGAGGAUAGGAGAAAUUCAUGGAGAAGAGUGCUAUUGUGGCUACUAGUCACAAUUAUUAUUAUUUAUUAAAUUUCUAUACCGCCCUUCAUCCAAGGAUCACAGGGCCGUUUACAAUAUAUAUAAAGAAACAAAGAAAGUAACAUAGUAACAAACAAAAACAACAAUUAGACAAAGACCUGGGAGAAGAGGGAUGUUUUUGCCUGGUGCCUAAAGAAAAACCUGAAAGAGCAUCUCCAUCACCACCCUUCAGCCCAGACAUCAUCCAGCUCCAAGGGCUAUUAUAUUUGGGCCACCCAAGGUCUCCUAGCCCAGGGCGAGUAGGGGAGAAGGGAAGUCAGUGAUGCAUUGCAAAUACAGCUUAUGGGUAUAUUGGGUGGGGGGAAAUUCCUUAUCUCCUUCUAAGGACCCAGAGACCAUGAAUAAUUUGUCAUUAAAGAAGAUAUAAUAAUAAUAAUAAUAAUAAUAAUAAUAAUAAUAAUAAUAAUAAAACUUUUAUUUAUAUCCCGCCCUCCCCAGCUGAAGUCAGGCUCAGGGCAGCUAACAUCAGAUAUAUACCAUUAUUAUAAAAUCAAACAAUAAUUAAAUUACCUCCUAAAAACAGGUCAAAAACAAAUUAAAGUCUAAUUAGAUGGCUUUCCGCAGGGUUAGGGUUGGGAACAGUAGGUUUAUUAAUGUCAGACAGGGCCUUUUCUGUUGUGGAACCCCAGUUAUGGAAUUCCGCUUCUCUGGAGGUGCAGUUAUCGUUUCCAGUGAGAGCUUUCUAAUGUCAACUGAAGAAGCAUCUUUUUCUUUGGGACUUUGGGAAUUAAGUGAUAUGAAAAGCCCAAUAAUUAUUCUGUUUUCUGGUGCAUUAAUAUUGCAAUGAUUACAAUGGUGUUUUUUUUUACUUCUAGGGUUCUAGUAUUAUAUAAUUUCAUCAUUGCUUGAUGCAUUUGAUUUGACUAUUUUGUAAACUGCUUUGGGAUCCUUCAGGAUAAAGAGCAGUUUAAAAAUGAUUGUUAUGAUAAUGAUGAGAGGAUGGGGGGGACACUUGGCUCUGCUUCUUGCUCCACCUGUAGUGAUACUACAUUUGUUUAGAAAUACUCCCGUUAGAGGCCACUAGUCAAUAAUAUUAAAUAAAUGGUAAUUUGAAGACAUGCUGGUCACACUGAGACUGUUUGAACAGAUGUAGGCUUAGACAGCUAAAUAAAUUGUUGCAGCACUCUACAGAUUACAGUUGUGUUUUAAGCCAGUACUCAUUCUUGUUGUCUACAUUAUGGUCCCUGAAAUAUUACAGUAUUAACGGCUAUGGAUUCAAUUAUAAGGGAGGCAAGGAGGGUAUAGCUGAAAGAACCUCCUCACCAUCCCAUCUGCCAUUAAAGUUGAAGCAAACAUAUACAUGAAUGGGGCAGGCUUGUUUUCUCUGCUUCACGGACUAAGGAUGAUGACUGGCACUGAGGAGGGGACAGGAACCCUCCCCCACCCACUGAAAAUUGAUGGGCUUCUAGCUACAACCUCCUAUAAAAGUAUGCAAGUAGUAAAUAUGUCUUUCCAAGUUCUUCUUUGUUUUCUUCUAGUUAAAUUAAUCUUAGCUGCGCUUUGAGAAUCUGUAUUCUCCAUUCCAGUAUAUGUGAAAUUUUGUUACUGCUGUGCCUCUGAAAGUAGCCAGGGAGGGAUUAAAAAAUUACACCCUAAUUACAAGUAUCUGCUCAUUGCUCACAUGUUGGUGUGGAUAAAUUAGUGUAAUUAGCUUUCUAGUUGAAACCAAUGCCCAAUGCAUAUACAGUAGAAAGGGAAAUAAGACUGCAAGGCUAAGGAACUUUAUUAUUAAAGCUAGUGAUGUUUCUCAAUUUCACAGCUUCAGUAAAACUGAGAUACCUUUGCAUUAUUUCCUGACAUUCCAAUGUUUCCAUUUAUGCUAUAUAUUUUUCCAUUCACUAAAUUAGGCUGCAAAACAAACCCGCUUUGCAUUGAGCUCGGAGGGUUGGACUGGGUUGGGCAGCCAUGCUGACCUUCCCUCUGCCAUAAUGGAACUUCUUGUUUGGCCCACCAGACAGGUGGACAGAGGAAGCACGCCACUAAUGGAAGCCUACAAAAUGCCCCAAACUUGGUGCUCCUGGGUCGGAAAAGGGCUGAGCCUGUCCAGAGCCCACUGGCUUCUGAGAUAGCUUCACUAACAUUUCAUGCCAGUUCCAGGCUGAGAUAGCAGUUCGCCUGUCUUUUACCCAGCUAGUAUGAGCAGCAGGGCUGCAAAUAAAAAAGCACACUUGCUGACCUGUUAUGGUCUGCCAUUACCCAGGAAGGAUUUGCAUUGCCCUUUACUGUAGAAGCAGUGGCAAAUAUGUAGUUCCUUUGAGUAAGUCGUAUUCAUGAAUGAGUGAGGUACCUUGCCAAGUUAGGGAUUGUAAAUCCAGAGUCACACAGGGUUCUUCCUGUGUAGAACCAUAUAUGUGAUGAAGAGUAGGAUGAGAAUCACAUGACCUGCUCCAGAAGGUCCCAGCAUCCAUGCAUAAGACAUAACACUGGAAUUGAGGUCUAAGCCUACGAAGUUCAGUGUGUGCAGGUCUUUAGUCCAAGAUGGACAGAAAUAUUGUCUUGGCUCUCGCUCGUGGACACAGUACUUGGCCUCUAGCCUUGAUUAAUCCUGAAGGCUUUAUUCCAAAAAUCACUAAACAGCUUAAACAUAGAUCACGUUACAGCUUACAUGGUUCAAGAAUUCAAAGAAGAGCUCAAAGGUACAUGGCUAGGUACAAGCUAAGAUGCCAUUUCAACACUUGACAGGGGUGGGCACAGUCAUUUGUGUGUUUUGGUCCCAAGCAACAGGUUGGGAAUGCAAGCAGCCACUCCUGUGAGUACGCUGGCUCUCUUCAUGCUAGAACAUCCUUAGAGACAGAGGCAGGGUAUGCCCAAGCAGCUCAGUGUCUGAUCCACCCCCAGGUGCUUCCUCAGUUGCCAAUAAAAUAAUAUGGAUGCCGUAGCUAGGAGUACCUUCAAUCUAACUUUGGUGCACAUGCUGAGCAUCAUUCUGGAGAAAGCAGAUUUGGCCAUUGUUAUACCUGCCUCCCUCACACUCUAUUAGUGCAAAAUGCAAUGGCCAGAAUGUUUUCUGGUGUCUGCAAUUCAGCUCAUAUUACGCUGAUCCUGUUUUAUAUGCACUAGGUCCCUGUUUCUCUGGGCCCAAUUGAAGGGAACAUGCCUCUUCUAUAACAUAUCCUCAUCUAUUAGUCUUUGACCUCCCACACCAUCCUUGCCCUGUCAUUUUAAUUUGUACUAAAAGCCUUCACUUUUCUAUUUUGUACAGCACAUUUUAAGCAGCAACUGCAGCAGGGUUUCCAGAGCUCAUUCAAAAACCUCAAAGUCAGAUUCUAUCAUUUGGAAAAUAAGUCUUUUUCUAGGCUUGUGCAGCCUUGGUCUCUCUUCAUGUAAAUUAGGCUAACUAUAUCCAAAAUUAAAACAAAUAGAAAUAUACUAUUACUGAAAAAAAUAUCAGGCAUGUGUGCAUUCAGAUUUCUCUAACCAUAUAUGUAUCUAUAUAUCAGAGUAAAGUAGAAACAAACAAAAUAUAGUGCUUCAAACAGGUGGACCCUCCCCAGCUUCCCCCCUCCCCAGUAGAGGCAGGAUUCCUAAUUAUUCUUAUGCUGUUGAAAUUAUUUUAAUUUUGCAUCUCAGCAGAUCCACAUUUGUAUGCUGAAAACAGGUGUUCAUCAAAAGGAGAUGAUAAAGAGAUGCCGCAGUCAAGGCUUGGAACCUCGCCGGCAUGGUGUGAUGACAGAUAAAUUAGAAAAAAUAUCCUGCUCAACAUCUCCCUUCUUCAGAAGGAGAUUACACCUUUUUAAAAAGGCAAAACAUGCAGUUCAAUUACUUAUUGUCUUGGCAUGUGGUUGUGAUGAAAGAGGCAGUCUUAAACAUCAAUAGAGCUAAACUAACAUCCCCAGAUGGGCUUCAGAAGAGGGAAACCUAAAGCAAGAUCCACCUGCACAUGAAGCAAUGUUUUGUUGCCAAUGCUUUUUUUAAAGGGUAGAAAUGUUUCUUCAUCCUCCCAUUUACAGUGCCCCUUCAUCUAAAAUGACCAUUUCACAGGGAACUUAGGGUGGAAAUCCUUAGCAGACAAAAGAGGAAUAAGUGUUCCCACCUCCAGCAUUAGAGCUUUCGUUCCUUAAUGCUUCUAUUACAGAGGCAUUUGUACAUGUGCAUAAGAAAAAAAGAAACUGAGCAUGCAAGUUUUCAAUGCAUCUAUAAUGAAGUCAAUGGCCCCAAUUCAACAGCUGCAAGGCACUGCUGGGGACAGAGAGCUUUGAUGCACAUUGAGAGCAGAGUGUUCCAAGUCAUUGAAGAACAUAAGAGGCAAACUGACUCAUGUAGAUCUCUGUGUGUAAACUGUCCUGCAAAAUUGUAAUGAAUGACCAAUCAUUUGGUAAUCGGUAACCAUUUCCUAAACUAACUUAUCUUUCCUUAAAUAUUGGUAUGAUUUCAAAACUUGAGAACUUUAUAAAAAAUAAACAUGGCCUGGUUGGGAUAGGAAAUGAAAAGAAAAAAUGACAACCCAUAGCAAGGUCAGGAGUUCUUGACUCACUGGUCUUUCACGCCAAGUAAGGAACCUUAUAAGCAACAGCAGAGUUGUUAUAGAUCAGGGUCGGCACAACAGGUUUUGGUGGCUGAAGAGCAGAAGCAAAUGCCAUUCCCCCAGCCCUGACUAGUUCCUUCCGUAAGUCAGGGUGCACAGCACCCAUGGUUUGUCAAGUUAUAUUGGCACCUAAGACAGGAAAGCCCACAAGUACCAUUCCCCCUCCCUCACAGUAAAAAAUAUAAUCUAUUAGAUAUUUUGGGAAAUGUUUUGUCAAUUUGUUCUCUGUGUGUGCGCAUGCCUCUCGAGAUAUCAUCGCCAACCUCUGCACAAGGUUUCCUGAAGUGUGAAAAAUGCAAAGGUGAAAGAAUCUAAAGGAGACAAAUAGUGAGGGAGGUGCUACUACGCCAGGGGUUCAUAGGAUCAUAGAACUGUAGAGUUGGGAGGGUCCCCGGGGGUGAUCUAGUCCAACCUGCUGCAAUGCAGUAAUCUCAACAGGGUCUCCCAUCCAAAUUGAAACCAUACCAGACCCUGCAUAGCUUUGCAAAUGUGCUAGCAGUUUUAUUGCUGCAGCAGGUUUAUCGCUGUAUUGCCUUUUCGAGCCUGAAGCUCUGUUACUAGUGCUGCACCCCCAUUUGUUCAAUUUAUAUGCCCUUUCCAACUCAACAUAACUCACCAUGAUUCUGUAAGGUGGAUUCCUGCUUGUGGAAGUCCAUACAAGGAUUUCCUAGGGCAUUUUCUCCCACUCAUCUCUCUGCACUCCUAAAUAAUAAUAAUAAUAAUAAUAAUAAUAAUAAUAAUAAUAAAUUGCUCAGUGAGGUCAGAAGAGCCUCCAGAACAGUGGAGGGUGGGAGAGGAGAGGGGAGGAUCAUUCGGUCUAGUUAACUGAAAUGCUUGUGCUGACAGAACGAUUUCCAUAGCACUGUACAAAAUUCUUCCUUAAGUGUCAAACUACACAAGGCAUCACACAGUGUAUGUGAUUCUCCUAUUCUUUUAUGUAUUUAUGUAUUUAUUUAAAUGCAUUUCUAAACUACUUAAUAUUUAAAAUAGCUAAGCAGUGUACAAAAAUCCAAACAUAAAAACGGUAAAGCAGUGUCAUAAAGGCAGAGAUAAAAACAGAAAUCUGGGGAGUAAGUCCCAUUGAACUUAACUGAGUAUUGAGUAGGAGUGUAUAGGUUAGCAUUGCCUGUCAAACAACACCUAAAAAGCAAACUUUAAAAAGCUGGCCAGAAUUCCCCCCCCUCAUACGCCUUUACAGCUUGGUUUAAUAAACAUAUGGCAAAUGACUUUGUAAUAUCAUUUGACCACAGUACUUUCUAAUUUCUUGCAUCUAAUAGCUGUGCAUACUUUUCAGCAUUUCUAGCAGUUUAACAAGGAAACCAAGUUUGAAUUGCAGAAUUCAGAAUUCUUGUUUAAAUGAUCAAAUUACAGGUUGUAAUUACAAAUUAGUUUCAUGUCAGGAUUGACAUAAACAAGAAAAAGGUUAGGUUAAAGUAUAUAUCUUCAUCAGUUUUUUUCUGCAUUUGGGCUCGUUAUUAUUGCAGAUUUUGUUUGAAUCUAUGUCAUUCAGUAAUUCAGUUUCAGUUAUGUUUCCUCCUCUUGUUCACUGUGAGGGCAAAUGCGCACUGGCAAGGAAAUUAUCUCAUUAUAAAAUGGGGGGAAAGGUAGCUUCAGUUUAAAGAAAUGUCUCUUUGUACAAAAGGCUUUGAUACAAAAGUAUCAAGUGUACAUUACAUGUGGAAUACUUCUGCCAAAAUAUGGCCCCUGUGGCUAUUUUAUUAAAAAAUAAAAUAAGAAAAAUGCAUUGGGGCAGAAAAUACUAGGAAAAUAUUGGAAAGGUUUUGAUUUGUUUGUGGAGAUCAUCCAAGAGAGGUGCAUGAAUUUCUAAGUACUCUUUUUCUGUCCUCGGUUCCAAAAUGGUCAGCCAUUACUACAGAAGCAUUGGGCUAACUACAAUUCCAGUGAGGAUUUCAUACCAGCAGAAAACAAACAACACAGAGACCAUAAUCCAGCACAAAAAUAGGCAACCAAGCUAUUAAGGCUUUAUUUGGAAAGGGCCAACUCCAGCAUGGCAAUAGAGCACCUGCCUUGCAUGUGAAAGGUCUUGGAUUCAAUCGACAGCAUCUCUGGGGACUGGAAACAUCCCGUCUGAAAUCUUUGGUAAGCCACUGCCAGUAAGUGUAGAGUAGACAAUACUGAGUUGGAAGGCCAAUGGUAGACAAACUAUUGCUAUCCGUCUGGCUUGAGAAACAACAGUGUGUGCCUCUGGGAGUGAAGUCAAACUGCUGUAUUAGCAGCACCCUGGGGAACAAGCCUGGGCAGUGUGCAUGGAGGUCCAGGAUUGCCCCAGGUGACAAGACCCCCCCUCUUGGCCUCGCAGUCCAAAGGAAAGCAGAGCAAUAUGUUUGGCAUCAGCUUGGAUGCAGGAGCUGUUGGAAGGAGGCUUAUAAGGUGCCACCCAACAAUCUUAGGGGCUCCACUCCAGAUUUGUGUAGGGUUUACUCCUUAGCCUUUUCUUCUCCCAAAGAUGUCCUGCAAGGCAGCAAAGGCUUCAGAUCACAGUAUUCCUUCUCCUAGACGGGCUACCUUCCCAGGUUGACAAGCCACAUCUCUCCCUCACUUCCCUCUACAGCACAUGCAGAAACCACUUUCUCAAUCGUUGGACCCACUAAAUGCACCAAUGAUCUGAUAUAGUGUAAGGCAACAUGUUUAUAUGUUCCUAAGGCAGGAUCAUGUCCUCAGCCUCCCACAGUGAGUUCAGGUCAUGGUGAAACUUUAUAAAUCUUUUUUCUACCUUGAGAAUAUAUCAUUAUUAUUGAUUUUUAAUUUUUGUAUCAGAAGGAGAACAGGUAAAAUCCUGAAUUCUUCUGGCAUUAGUAAUGGCCUUAAAAAAAUUCUGAAAAGUAUUAUAUUAAAACACAGCUGCAACUGGGGAGCCUGCAGCCACCAAAAGCAGCAGGCAUGAACAAAAUGUGUUAGUUCCAGCAAGUUAAGCUAUAAUAAUAAUAAUAAUAAUAAUUUAUUAUUUAUACCCCGCCCAUCUGGCUGGGCUUCCCCGGCCACUCUGGGCGGCUUCCAAAAGAAUAUUAAAAUACUAUAAUACAUCAAACAUUAAAAGCUUCCCAAAACAGGGCUGCCUUCAGAUGUCUUCUAAAAGCCUGGUAGUUGUUGUUCUCUUUGACAUCUGGUGGGAGGGUGUUCCACAGGGAAGGCGCCACUACCGAGAAGGCCCUCUGCCUGGUUCCCUGUAACUUGGCUUCUCGCAGUGAGGGAACCGCCAGAAGGCCCUCGGUGCUGGACCUCAGUGUCCGGGUAGAACGAUGGGGGUGGAGACGCUCCUUCAGAUAUACUGGACCAAGGCCGUUUAGGGCUUUAAAGGUCAGCACCAACACUUUGAAUUGUGCUCAGAAAUGUACUGGGAGCCAAUGUAGGUCUUUCAAGACCGGUGUUAUGUGGUCUCUGCGGCCGCUCCCAGUCACCAGUCUAGCUGCCGCGUUCUGGAUUAGUUGUAGUUUCCGGGUCACCUUCAAAGGUAGCCCCACGUAGAGCGCAUUGCAGUAAUCCAAGCGGGAGAUAACCAGAGCAUGCACCACUCUGGCAAGGCAGUCCGCAGGCAGAUAGGGUCUCAGCCUGUGUACCAGAUGGAGCUGGUAAACAGCUGCCCUGGACACAGAUUUGACCUGUGCCUCCAUGGACAGCUGUGAGUCCAAAAUGACUCCCAGGCUGCGCACCUGGUCCUUCAGGGGCACAGUUACCCCAUUCAGGACCAGGGAAUCCUCCACACCUGCCCGCCUCCUGUCCCCCCAAAACAGUACUUCUGUCUUGUCAGGAUUCAACCUCAAUCUGUUAGCCGCCAUCCAACCUCCAACCGCCUCCAGGCACUCACUAUGAAGGUGCACCUAAUGAUUUUAUGAUCACCAUCCUGUAUCAACGGAAGUAUAUAUAUUGCACAGUCAUGCAAUGCAAUUACACCAACAAAUUCUGGGUACUCUUGUCCAAAGCAUUUGAUGGACUGAUAUAACAAAUUAUGUUUGUAGUGUAAUGCUGAUUUUUUUAUUUAAUUGAUUUAUUAUAGUAUAAUAUUUAUUGCUAACCCCUGACUCUCCAGAUGUUGCUAUACUUACACUGUAACAUCCACCAUCCCUGACUAUUGGCCAUGCUGACUGGGACUGGUGGAAAUUGUAGUCCAACAACUUCUAAAGAGCCACACAUUAGUCACCCCUGCCCUGUAACCAUGUUAUCUGAGUGACAAGCAAAUAAAAAUGCUUGUUAAAACCAUAGAAUAUAAACAAAUAAAUACUAAAAACAAUGUUCAGUAGCAAGUUAAAUAGUCCAUUACACAGAAAGGGGGAAAGAAAAAUGAAAGGAUGGCCAAUUGAAAAAAGCUAGGAUGAACUGAAGAGAAAGGUUAAAUGCCGAGACUAGGCAAUAGUUAUUAAAGUCUAAAAGGUCAAAUGCCAUUUUCUAAGAGUGGCAUUGACCACCUCUGUGACCCAUAUACUCAAUCCAUCUCGGGCAGCUUUAAUUAGCCAUGAAGAGCACAGAUCAAGGACACAUGUGUAGGUUGCAAACCUUCAAGUUGCCUGCCUAAAUCCAAGUGCAGAACAAGUGGCAAACUAUCCCUAAUAAAUGGACCAGUGGUAGCUGUAAUCACCUUUGAUUCUGCUACUACUAUAGCAUCCAGAUUGGCACGGAUUUGAGUAGUUUUAUCUGCAAAAUCUAUUGCAAAUUGGCCACAGUGGGCUAUUGAGUGCUUGGCGGGGAAGAACUGCAGUGAGGGAUGGAGAAGCAAUUCAAUUCACUUGCUGAAACAAUAUAUGAACUGAAAGACAUACCGUAAUUUGAAUUUCACAUUUAGCAAUUAAAUUUUCCAUCCUAGUACAUGUACUAAAUGCAUAUACUGGGGGCAAAAUAUGCAUAACAAUUUAUAUAUUAGUGAAAAUACCAUGCAAAAUAGGGACGCGGGUGGCACUGUGGGUUAACCCACAGAGCCUAGGACUUGCCAAUCAGAAGGUCAGCGGUUUGAAUCCCCGGGACAUUGCUCUGUCCCAGCUCCUGCCAACCUAGCAGUUCGAAAGCACGUCAAAGUGCAAGUAGAUAAACAGAUACCGCUCCGGCAGGAAGGUAAACAGCGUUUCCGUGUGCUGCUCUGGUUCGCCAGAAGCGGCUUAGUCAUCUUGGCCACAUGACCCAGAAGCUGUACUCCCGCAGCCAAUAAAGCGAGAUGAGUGCCGCAACCCCAGAGUCGGUCACAACUAGACCUAAUGGUCAGGGGUCCCUUUACCUUUACCUACCAUGCAAAAUGCAUUAUAGUAGGCAAAGGGCCUUGCAAAAAUGUGUAUACUAGACAAAAUAGCAUACAAGAACGUGUAGAUUAUGAUAAAUUUGCACUAAAAUGCCAACUAAUUUACAUGAGGACUUUUAAAAACAAAAAUCACAAACUAAUGAGGGAAUGUGGAGAACUGAAGACUGAGAAAAAGAGAAAUGGGAGAAACUGAAAUUAAAAGGCACACCUAUCCCUAACUGAAGAUCAGUAGCAGAACAUCUGUCUUGCAUGCAAAAGGUUCCAGGUUCAGGCUUUGGUGUCUCCAGGUAGGAGUGGAAAAAGCUUCUGCCUGAAACCCUGGAGAGCUGCUUGAGUUAGCAUACCUGAGCCAGGGGGAUCGCUGGUCUGACUCAGCGUAAGGCAGCUUACUAGUUUCAGAACACAUUGCAUUCCUUACCACUCAAAAAAGCUCUGCUGCCUAACAUUGUGGCACAUGUAAAAGUGGCAGAAAAAUGUGCCUCCGUCACUCCCCCACACACAUAAUAGGUCCUCAAAUGACAAAUCAAAAUGGAAAAAAAAGAAAGAGAGAAAAAAGGAAAUGUGACUGUAAGUAUAUAGGAUCAAAGCAUGAGGAGGGCUAGGCAGGAAUACUCUUCCCAGAAGUUUUAUGUUUGUUUGUUUUUUAUUUUCAGGAAGCUUUUACAUAGAGGAAUAUUUUUUAAAAGGUAUGUUGUAUCUGUGGGAUAACCAGUCUCAUAUAGACUAUAAAAUCAUAGACUUGUAGAGUCACCACAAGGGUCAUCUAGUCCAACCCCCUGCAAUUGAUGAAUCUUCUGCUCAACAUGGGGCUAGAACCCAUGACUCCGAGGUUAAGAGCCUCAUGCUCUACUGACUGAGCUGCUUCAGUCUAAUUAAUGCAUGAAGGGGUUAAUACCAUAGAUUAAGUUGUCAUGUCAAGCUUAGCCUAGGUCAUUUCCCCUCACCUUUGGAAGAAGUGCGUAAUCAAGGCUAUUGGUCCCCGUCCCCUCGUCCCCCCGUCUACCUGAGAAGUUCAGUGUGUAAAGAGGCUUGAACUCCAUCUUAACUGUAUGGCUCUCACAACCCACUCUUGAGUUACUAUACUCAUAAUUUAGGAACUUUCGCCAAUUUUACAACCUGAAGCACAUAAAUCUGACCUUUGCAAGUAAGCAGUUUUUUAACUUACCAAACAGGUGGUCUUUUCCUAUGUUUGGAGAAGUGGAAAACUUUGAAAAGAAAUAUUUUAACAUUUUGGAACUCACUCAAAAGGGCAUAUUUAUUUUGGUCUAACAGCUUACGUUUUUGCUGCAUAUUUUGUGACUUUAAAUCUCUGCUGGGGUUCUCUCACCAAAGAGUACUUGCCCCAAACCUGAUCUUGGCACCCACAAAUUCUCCUUUCUCUCCCUUUCUUCCUGAACUAACACUACUCGCCUCUAGUUAUGGUACACCACAUUCUGCUACAUAUGAAGUCAAGGCCUAAUAGAAAGCAAAGGCCACACCCUGCAUUAAAUAAUUAAGACCCAGUAUCCAACCUUUUGUAAGGCUCUUCCUUUUCCUCUUGACUUACCAAGGUUGGCUUUGCAAGGUUAUAGAAGGAAAAGAAAAUGCUUGAAAAAAUAUGUGUUAAUAUUAGGUACAUAUUCAGUCCACACCAGUUACUUUUUCACAUAGAAAAACUGUCGCUGGAUCUGUUAAAUAGGUGAUGUUCCUGCCCUCAAGGUCUUCUUUUCCACCAAGACCUCCAGUCCCAUCUCCUCCCCCUGAUGUUAACAGGGAUUCUCAGAUAACACCUGCUAAGAUAGAAGCAGAGGCAGUUUGAGGGUAGCACGACCGUUUCAGGGGGCACUGCAACGGUGCUGUAGAACAGAGUACAAGAGGUGGAGGCACACAGGGCACCGCUGAAAUUUAAGAACCCAAAGUUUGCCACUGAUGGGAGACUGAAGCCUGUAGAUACACAGAAGACUUCACAUUUAUCUUGCUAUUAUGCUUAGUUGCUAGAAGCCAAUAAAGCAGACUAUUGCUACAAAAGUAGUUGCCAAGCAUAUCAAUCAAGCAGAAAAUGAAAACCAGUCAAUGUUUCCUCCCUAAACACUUGUGUACAUGUCAGAGUCAUGGAACACUGAGAGAAUAUGAACCCAUUUAAAAUAACACAAAUGGAACUGCUAAUCAGUAAAUUCACGUUAAUUGAAAAACUACAGUCACCUGAGAACCAAUUUACAAAACCUGUUGUACUGUCAAAUCCUGUGAUAAGAUAUAGGGUAGCAUGCACCAGGCCGAGCACUGUUCAGCAAACAGCUUCUGACUCACAAAAUAAGCAAGCAUAUUAUCAACUAAUUUGAAGUUGAAAUACUACCACCUAGACCUGUUAUUGGAAUAAAGUGAUUGAGAGUCAUCCAUUUAAAACUAAUAGGCAAACAGAUCCUAGCUCUCCUAAUUUGUUAAGGCUGAGAACACUGUUUCCUUGCAUUAUUCUUGCUCAGUGCGUAACAAAAAAUAAACACAGUAUUUUCCACAAGUUGAUGUAAAACAAUAUUUUUGCAUGCCUGGUUACUCUGAUAAAGCCCAACCACUGUCACUACCCAUUCACCGGAAUUUUUAUUUCUGAGGAAAAAAUAGUUUUUCUCAUGCUAUAAUCUUUAUUGAAAUGAGCACUGUGCUUUUAAAAAUAGUAAUAGAGCUUUCUCCAUAACAUUCAUUAGCAAAGCCCUGCAAGAUUCAUGACAUUUUGCAAGGAAGUUAACAGCAGCAGUACUGUUACAGGAUCAGCAUUCAGGGACCCUCAGCAGGGUAGAAUAAGCUUAUGCAUCUUCCACUUUCCCAGCAGGAAGCCAUGGCUACAACGAUGGGGCCAAAUUCCAAAUACCAGUGCUAACAAUCACAGUAUAAAACUUAAAAUGAAAUCUUCCUCCCAAAAAUGUUCAAGAAAAAAUGGUGCCAGACAUAUUUCAUUGCAAUUUUAUUUUAUUGCACUUAGCACCAAUUUCAGGUAAUUUUAGUCAAACUUUACAGAUGCAUUUGUCAAUGUGGUUUCCAGACCAUAUAUUUCUUCCUCCACAAGGCUGCUCUGUGUGUGUGAUUUUAGAGUGACCAAACCACGCCCGUGAGUCAUUUUUGCUACACUAAUUGUUUAGAAGUUUCUUUGGCUGGUACAGUCAACACCACUAAAAUUGAUCUUACCACUCUCAUAGAAAGUCGUCUACCUACGAGCACAGAUUAUGGGUAAAGAUAACAGGUAAAUAUUAUAGGUAAUCUUAGAGGAGGGAAGUGAGUGGCGCUGUGGUCUAAACCACUGGGCUUCUUGGGCUUGCUGAUCAGAAGAUCAGCAGUUCAAAUUUGCGUGACAGCGAGAGCUCCCGUUGCUCUGUCCCAGCUUCUGCCAACCUAGCAGUUUGAAAGCAUACCAGUGCACGUAGAUAAAUAGGUACCACUGGAGCAGGAAGGUAAACAGCAUUUCCGUGCGCUCUGGCACUCAUCAUGGUGUUCUGUUGUGCCAAAAGCAUUUUAGUCAUGCUGGCCACAGGACCCAGAAAGCUGUCUGCGGACAAACGCUGGCUCCUUUGGCCUGAACUGAGAUGAGCGCCGCACCCCAUAGUCAUCUUUGACUGAACUUAUCUGUCCAGGGAUCAUUUACCUUUACCAUUUACCUUACAUAUUAUAGACUACAUAUCAAGUAUAAUUCUGCAUUGGUUACUGGUAGACUUCCAGGCGCAAUUCAAAGUACUAGCUUUAAAAAGUAUAUCAUAAUGACACAUACUUUGCUAGCUAAGAACAUAACAGAAGCACUAUUAGAUCAGACCAAUGGCCCAUCUGGUCCAGCAUUAUGAUCUCACAUUUGCAACCAGAUACCUAUGGGAAGCCUGCAAGCAUAACAGGCGUGCACUCUCCUAAUUUGUACACCUUAGCAAAUGAUAUUGAGCAGCAUACCACCUCUGCUACUGGAGAUAGUUAUUUUCGUUCCCGCGGCCCUAAAACUAUAUAAGGCUAAAAUGUUGGCACAGCUCCUUUAUGGAUCCUUGUUGGGCCCGCUACCCUCUUCCUUCACUCCCCUUGAGAGAGUUCAAUCCAAACUCCUCAGAGCCCUCCUACAAGUCCCCAGAUGUGUUUCAAAUGCAUGGGUCAGAUUAGAAACAUGGAUGAUGAGAGUAGAGGCUUAUAUUAGUUUAACAUCAAUCUAUAAAUGGCUGGCGCUGAAACUGCUCCCCCGAGGAAUAACCCCACUGAUUCUAUGCGACCGGUUCAAGUCUGGCUGGCAGACAGCAGUUCUGAAUACUCUCCAGAAAUUGGGCUUUGCUCCUCAAGCCCUUCUAAACUUGGGCCUGGGCCAAGCAAGAUCUGUGGUCAGGCAAAGAAUCAUGGACACAGAGAGACAGCAGGACUGCUUGAGGUCCCCCGAUUAUAUAAUUAUAGAAAAUGAGAGAUAUGUUGUGGCCCCGUAUCAAGACACAUAAGAAGGGCCUUUACUCUAGCCAGAAGCUCGGCCUUGCCCUCACCGGUUCUGGAAGGAGCAUUUGGAAAAGUCCUGUAUUCUCAGAGACUUUGCGCAUGCCCAUUAGGGGAAAUAGGAGGCCCCGAACAUUUAUUUUUCAGCUGUCCCUUUUAUGACGAGGUACGCAGAGAUACCAUUGACCCCCAGCUGGUGAGGCUUGCAGGCCUUCCGGAUAAGUCUAAACUCAAUUUUCUUCUCUUAGGCAAAGACCAAAAGACGGCCUGGAUGGUCGCCAAAUUCUGCGCACAGAUUUGCAGGCGCAGACCACCCCCCAAAACAAAUUAGUUUGUUAGGAAAACAGUCGAAGUCGGCCUCCAGGGUAUCAGGGCCAAUUUGUAGCCCAAAUUUUUAGGUCCUUAUGUGUAUAUGCACUCAUCUUAGAUUUUAAUCUGUAAGCUGUUGUUGUACACUGUUUUACAUGUAUAUUUUAUUCUUGUGAAAGCUGUCCCAGUUGUGCUUUUCAAGCUGGUCUCUGACCGUAAUGAAUUAUUAUGGACUUACUGGAGAUAGUUACCAGCCAUCAUGGCUAACAGCCUCACUUUUGACCUUCAGGCAUCUUUUGAAGAACUUUUUAUGCUGACAGGACUCUGCAACAUUUUAAAUUGAUUAGCCUUGAUGGAUAGGUGUGUUAUUUUAGUGUUUUACAUUUUAUUGUUGCAUAGCACCCUAGAAAUACUUUUAAAAAUAAAUAAAUAAGCUUAUUAUCCAUAAAUUUAGCUAAUUCCUUUUAAAAGCCAACCUUGUUGGCUAUUACUACAUUUUUUGAUGUAGUGGUAUGGUAGUGAAUGCCAAGGUUUCCAUACACUGUGUGAAGAACUAUUUCAUUUUGUCUGUCCUGUAUUUUCACACAUACAGCUUCAUUGGAUGAUCCUGCCUUCUACUAUGAGAAAAGGAUAAAUACCUCUCUCUCUCUCUCUCUCUCUCUCUCUCUCUCUCUCUCUAAUUUCUCAGCAUCCUGCAUAAAUUUAUACACCUAUAAUGCCCCUGCUCAUCUUUUUUUUUCUAAACCAGAAAGCACCAAACCUUUCCUCAUUAUCAUUUUUGUUGUCGUUUUCUAAACCUUUUCUAGAUUUACAGCCAGCAAAACAGUACACAGUAUUCCAACUACAGUCACACAUUAUUUGCAUAAUGGCAUUAUGAUAUGGGCAGUUUUAUUUUCAGACUCUUUCCUACUGAUCCCCAACAUGGAAUUCAGCAGUCACACUGUCAACAUUUUCAUUAAGCAUCUGUCAUGACCCCAAUAUCUCUUUUCUGGUCAUUCACCACCAGUUCAGAUCCUAUAAGUGUAUAUGCAGUGCUAGGAUUUAUUUUAUUUUAUUUUAUUUUAUUUUAUUUUAUUUUAUUUUAUUUUACCUAUUGUGCAUUACUUUACUCUUGCUUACGCUGGAUUCCACUUCUCAUUUUAAUGCCCAUUCACUCACAGUCCUUUUCUUGCCCUUUCUUGGUCUUACCACCCUGAAGAAUUUGGUUUCAUCAGCAAACUCAGCCACCUCACUGCUCACCCAGAAUUCCACAUCAUUUAUGAACCAAUUAAAAAACUCAGGUCCCAAUACUGAUCCUUGGAAGGAUCUCCUUCUUCAUCCUACCUCUGCAACAACUGAUCUUUCAUUCCCACUUUCUGUUUUGUUUUUUAACCAGUUACAGAUUCAUGAGAUUCCCCAUCCUCUUAUUCCAUGACUAGCUAUAGUUAUUCAGGUGUCUUUGGGAAGAGGCUUUAUGGAAAGCUUUCUGAAAGUCUAAGUACAAUGUCUACUGAAUCACCCUUGUCCAUAUGCUAAUUAACACUCUCAAAUAACUCCAAAUUAAAAUGUUAGUGAAAGAGGACUGACCCUUGCAGAAGCCAUGCUGGUUCUUCUUCAGUAACACUUCUAUAUGCUUAGUAAUUCUAUCUAUAAUAAUGCUUUCCACCAGUUUCUUUAGGACACAUGUUAAGCUACAUGGCCUGUAGUUUCCUAGCUCUUCAUGGGAUCCCUUAAAAAAAAACAACUGGUGUUACAUUGAGCACAUUCUAGUCCUUAAGUUUGAAGGUGGAUCUUAAAGACAAGUUACAGGUUUGUUUGUUUUUUAGUUUAUCAAUAAGGCAAUUGCCACUACUUGCCCCAGUUUCUCAGACUAUCUUCCUGAGAAGUUAGUUCAGGCACAGGGAUCUGCAAUACAUCUUCUGUACUAAAGACAGAGGCAAACAAUUCAUUCAGGUUCUCUGCAAUCUCCUCACUUUCUUGGGGGGGGGGCGAGAUCUUAACGUGACAUCGUGCUAGAUCAUGACACCCAAAAUGGCUGCUAUGCUCUCAUGGGGGGAAAACAGAAGGUUCAGGUUUUUCUGGGACACUUGCAAGGUAUGAAAUCUCCUCCUUUCUGGAGAAAUUUCCUCUUUUGAAGUCAAAUGCAACUAUGCUGAAUUUUUUUCUGGCAAUUUCAUGGUAACUCUUAUAAAAAAUCAGAGUCUCACAAUAUUUGUCAUUUUUACCAAUUUAAUUUUUGAAAGAAAUACAAGAAAAUGUGACUUUAAAAUUCUGCAUAUGUUUGGUCUAAACCCCAAAACAAAAAACUCCAAGAAAAAUGAGCAUCUGAAUAUUUCCUCCAGCCAAACUAUAGGUGUUAAUGACAUUUAGGAAUCAAUGCUAACACCAAAUAAAGUUGCUUUUACUUCUACUGGACCUUAAGGUAAGGGGAAAAGACUACUUUUUCUUGAUAAUACUAUUUCUAGCUUAUCUAGUCCAUUUCAUUAAAUCUUGCUGGCCUUUUCAACCUCUUCAAAAUUCCUUCCCCCCCACCCCCCCACUCCAUUUCAAACAACAAAAAGGAGUUGGAAGCUGGCUAAAUUAACCCCUUUGCGAUGAGAAUUGUAUUGAUUGUUAUUGUUUGGUGUGCACAGCUGUCUGUGCCAAAAGGUCAAAUGUGUGCAUGUCGAAGGAAGGGGGGGAAGGGGUGACAGCAGUUUUCUGGCAAAAAUACCCUCACCAUGCAUACAAUUGAUACACCUCAGUACCUUUCAGGGCAAUAGUGAGCAGCUCCUUCCAGCGUGAUUGCUUAUUUACAAUGCUAAUGAUAUGAUGAAACUUUCUUACCAGAUGAAUCUCACACCCCUUUCAAUUUCAUGAAUUAAAAAUGAAUUAUCCUCUGCUAAUAUUAUAUCAAGCCUUGAUGCCAGUGGUGUUAUGAGGAACUGGACAAAACAUUUAAUUGGCAGAAGGAGAAGGGCUUACUCAAAGUUACCUGAAAACAAACAGGAAACACAAAUAGCACCUAAAAGUAAAAGCUCAAGAUAGGAGAACUGGUGAUAUUAGUUCCUACAUAAUAUCCAACACACUGAAGGAACUGAAGUGAGAUUAGCCAGGCUUAGAAGAUUCAUAACUGGUGUAUUCAGUUCGACCAAUUAGUAGGUGGUAUAACAGAAUUUGAUAUGGGACACAGGUGGCACUGUGGUCUAAACCACCAAGCCUCUUGGGCUUGCUGAUCAGAAGGUCAGCGGUUUGAAUCUCCAUGACGGGGUGAGCUCCAGUUGCUCUGUCCCAGCUUCUGCCAACCUAGCAGUUCGAAAGCACUCCAGUGCAAGUAGAUAAAUAGGUACUGCUACGGCGGGAAGAUAAAUGGCAUUUUCAUGUGCUCUGGCUUCUGUCAUGGUGUUCCGUUGUGCCAGAAGCAAUUUAGUCAUGCUGGCCACAUGACCCAGAAAGCUGUCUGUGCACAAACGCCGGUUCCCUUGGCCUGAAGUGAGAUGAGCGCUACACCCCAUAGUCGCCUUUGACUGGACUUAACCGUCCAGGGAUCUUUUACUUUUUUAUUCAGUUCUACCAAUUAAUAGGUGGUGUAAUAUAAUUUGAUAACUGAACUAUAAUUCAUUUAGCUACCAAGUUUGUAAUUCCAGAAACAGUACUGAAUAUUUAAAUCUAAAAAUCAGUCAAAAUUAUUGCCUUCUGGGCAUGCCAUUUGAUGGAGAGGAAAAGAAUGACAGAAGAUGACUGGCCGAUAGAGAAAAACAAAGUACUCAUGAUGAGGAACAGGGUGUGCUGCUAUAGCCCAUAAUAAGAAAAUAGGAAGGUCAUGACAUUCCAGGAAAGGAUUUGCAGGACAUAAGAGGCUUGAGGGGUCUUAGGAGGAAUUUGACGAAUAUAUGGAAAAUGCAUUGUAAAUUACUUCUUUUGUUGAGCUUUCGGUUCAGGAAGGAAUUAGGAAGGGAGGGGGGAGGAAUUAUUAAGGGAGUAAUUAUUAGCAUUGCAUAUGCUUUUGGGUUUCCUUCCUCACAAACUGCUGCUACAGAAGACAAGAUUUCAAGUGGCAUGUGGUAGUACCCAGCAGAUGUUCAUGGGAAACAACUCUGGCUCAACAUUGUAGAUGGCUUGCUCAAAGUUUUUUUUUUCCCUAGGAAGGGCAUAGAAUCAAAUAAUUGUAGAACUGGAAGGGAUCCCAAGGGUCAUCUAGUUCAACCCCUGCAAUGCAGGAAUCACAGCUAAAGAAUCUCUGACAGAUGGCCACCCAACCUUUCCUUUAAAACCUCCUGUGGAGUUCAUCACCUUCCAAGGUCCUCCAUUCUUUUUCCCCUGCAGGGUCCAUUUACAAGACACUAUAGCGCCAAAUACCCAAGGGACCAAGAAUGAAACCUUGCCAUGAGAACUUUCUUUGCUCUUACACAGGAUGUGCUUUGAAUGGCUCCAAGUAAAAAGAUAGUCUUUAAACGAUUCUCCAUUCUUUGUUCUGGAAGGACUAACAUUGCUACAAACAGAAUAAUUCUACAAGACUUCAAAUAUAAACAGUUUUAACCAAUAUACUACUAUGUCAAUCAAUGUUAUACUAAAGCUGGUAGAUCCUUGUAUUUUUAAAGAAAUACGGAAAGGGGAAAAGCCCCCUCAAUAGUAAUCACUUGGAAAAGGAAAUAACAUUACUGUCAUGUAGAGCCAAUAAAAUGACAUCUAAUCCUUUUGGGAAAUCCAAACAGCAAUGAAGUGAAAGUGAGUGCAGAUUAACACAUCGUAAAUCCAUUUACAGCCAGGCAUUGUUUACACAGUGAUUUGCCAGUGCCUGCUAGCCUUCGAUCAAUCUUUAAUUGAAACUGGCUUUCUUACCCAGGUCCCAUCCAAAAGGUUAUCUUUCCUUCUCUCAAGUAGAUAUUAACUGAUUACAUCCCAAAUACAUGGUUAAGUCAAGUGCACAUGUCAAAACCAAGAUGGUACAGAUAAAACUGGGCUGUGGUGGGCGGGCGUUUGAACAUAUUCUCAUUUAUUUCAAGGAGGGGUGCCUUCCACAAGAGACAUUCCCAGUAAACUGCACCCAUAGUAAAUUAAAAACAAAUAUUAAAAUUCUAUCAUAUGCUAUGCUAUAAAACCCAUUGCCUUGUAGUUGUGCUGGGAUUCCUAGCAUUUGAUCCUCAGCACCUCCCUGUGCUCUUUUCCAAACCCAUGUUAGGGUAUUGUGAAGAGUAGAUGAGUAUGCCACACCAGGGAGAUGCUAGGUGUUCAUUGUGACAGACCGAAACCUUAUUUGAGUGUCUAUAGAUGGUUCUAUUACAUCAACAAAAAGCUGUGCUCACUAUCUGCUUUUCCUGGUGCUCAGGAGAGUAGCUGGGUCAGCAGAUUAAAGUCUGAUGAAGUGAGCAAGCAGUGUGCUUCCUCACAAUGGGACAUCUACUGGCACUUGCACAUUCCAGCAUCUCAUGUGCAAGCUUCUAUAGGCAUGAAUGAAUGGAAGAUGUGCAAGGGAUUGUCAAGGAAAUAGGAACACCUACAAAUAUCCCUGCUGAAGUCAGUAGGUACUGAAUAAAUGCAAGGUGCACAAGAGCCCAUCAAUGCUCCUACACAUGCCCAGCUCAUUGAAAUGAGUUCUCAGUGGAUUGCGCCUUGGAAAACUGAAACUAGGAAUGGCCUUCUCUAACAGAAUGUUGCAUGUAUAUCGCUUUACACAAAUUUUAUGAAGCUGAAAAGCAGAGGUGAGCAAAUACUAUCUUGUGUAUUCUUUUAAAAGCUAUUUAUUGGAGUUGUCUUCCCCCUUACUGAUCAUUUGUAAUUAUACAAACUGCACUCACAUGGAGGCCAACAGCCAGCAAAAACACAUUGCCAUUUUAACGCCUUUAGAUGAUCAAAGCAUUAGCUUAAUAUAAUCAGCUCAAAUCCAUUUACCAGUGAGCCUACCACUGUGCCAAGGGACUGUUUUCCUUUCCAGCCCUAUCUAUUCAGGAACAGGUGCUAUAAUAGUAAAUUAAUUAGUCUGUGGAGGAGCACCUUGUUCUCCAUCUCUGCAGGCCUCGCUUGGGUCAAGGCCUUGAGGAAAAUGCCAUCUGGGCAGAGUUUCCCCCAGAGAAACAAUCAAAGCUUACAGAUUGCAAACUACAGAGGGAGGGUUCAUAUGACAAUUAACCUUAUUAGUCCUAAAAAAACACACCAACCCAACAGUUUAUAAUGUGUCAACAUGUUGGCUCAAAUAAACGAUCUGCUAUGCAAAAAUAAUCAACCAUUCAAAGAAAUUUUGUUUUAUUUCCUUCUGUCAUGCAAAAUAUACAAAAUCUUUUCAAGGGGAAAAAUACUCACAAAUGUUUAUGCAGUGACAAUAAGACUUGCAGGUAAUCAGGCUAUAAUUGUAAUUUAUGUGAAUAAAAUGAUACAACACAUAGCAGUUUCAAAAUACCAGUUCUAAAAAUAAAUUGUAAUGUGCCAUGUUUUACAUUGGCAAGAAGGACUAUAAUCUGUUCCUUCCUUCUCAGGUUUUGCAACUCCUCAUCAAAAUACUUAUAAACAUGUGGUAUCUAUCCAACCUAAAGAGGCUUUAUACAGGAGAAAUUAAUCUGACCUUGAUCAUGUUCUCUACCAUUGUUGUUGUUGAUAUACAGUGGAACCUCUGGUCAUGUACCGUCCUCCUUGCAAAUGCUUCGGGUAACGAGUUCCCCUAACCCGGAAGUAGAUGCUCCUGGUAGCGAACUUUGCCCCGGGAUGCGAGCGGAGGCCCCAUUAGCAAAAGUGCACCUCAGGUUAUGAACUGUUUCGGGUUAAGAACUGACCUCCGGAACUAAUUAAGUUUGUAACUGGAGGUACCACUGUGUCAGGAGGUUCUGUACCCACCUCACAGGGGAAUUCAGACUGAAACCAAUAAAGGAAUUCCUUAUAGGACCUACAUGGUCCAAUAUUAUGGACUAUUUAGCAGCCAGCCAGAUACCUCUGGAAGCUCACAAGGUCAUCAUGAAGCUGGCCAUCCCCUGUUCUUUGUCCCCAUCACAUGCUAAUCAGAAAUACACUACCUCUGAAUAUAAAGGUUUAAUUUGACAAACGUGCCUUUUAUUAAUUUCUAUAGUCCUUGAUUUAAGCUCUCCCCACCAGGAGUCAUCACCAUAAAAUCAUACAACUGUAGAGUUGGAAAGGACCACAAGGGUCAUCUAGUCCAACCCCCUGCAACGCAGGGAGCUUUUCGCCCAACGUGAGGCUUGAAUUCAUGACUCUGAGGAGUCUCAUGCUCUACUGACAGCUAUCCUGCAGACUCAUAUAGUAGUAAAUUCUAUAAGAGAGUUAAAUUUUACCUACCCACCCACAAAUAUUUAGAUGGGUUAGGAUGGUGCAUAAUGUCCUCUCCACCAGCAGAGGAGAACUGCUGUUGAUGGUGGUAGCUCCCCAACUUCACCCAAAUAGAUGAUCUGUUGGCAGGUCAGAGAGAGAACGCGGUGGGACUGCAAGGUCAGAUUCAACCUCACCGCACCCCCUGCAUCCACCCAUCCACUCUCCCUUCACUCAGCCAUGAGGAUGCAAAGUUAUUCCCUUUAUCCGGUUCCUGCAUAUGAUGCAAUUUGAAAUCAACUAAGUAUCCAGCCUCCACGUGGCCUGGAGCCCCUCCAGGACUCCUGAGAGACUUUGCAUCCCCUUUUGGGUAUCGACACUGCUGGCAGUAGGCAGGGGGAAACCCAAAUGCAGUGUUUGGAGGCAGGGCACCCAUGGAUACCCUGAGCAGCAUGGUCUUUAGGCUCUUCAGCUACAUUAGCGUGAAGCUGCCAAAAUGACAAAUUAAUGAAAACCACCACUACCACCUUCUGUCCAAGCCAGUACCAUCCAGGUUUGGAUUGCCCUGUGAAUUACACAUGCAAAGAGAAAGAGAGUGGUUGAAAGAGAGAAACUGCAUAUGCUAAUAUGUACAUAGAGAUGCAAAUAACUGCUAUAAUUUAAAUACAAUACAAUACAUCUCAGCAUCAUGGAGAAGGUUGUAGUAGUCAGGAUAUGUGUGUGUCUGCUUAGUCUGCUGUUCAGGUGCUAACUACUGAUAGGCAACUUCAGGUCCCAGAUCUCCUUUCUUAUUAUUCUAUUUUUCAAUCAGGCCUGGACUGAACAACCCUUCAAAUUUAGGAUGCUCUUCAAAGUCAGUGGGUUGGACUAGGAACUAGGAGACCAGGUUUCAAAUCCUCAGUCAUGAUGCUCACUGAGUGACCCUGGGCCAGUCACUGUCACACAACUGAACAAAGAGUAGUUGUGAGAAUAAAAUGGGAGAAUUACCUUAAACUCCUUAGAGGAAAGAUGGAAUAUGUAUUAGGACUGGGUGUGAUAUAUUGUCCAAAACAAGUUUAAAGUCCAUAUCGUGAUAUUGGUUUCAUAAUUUUUGACCUGGCAAUAUAUUGCAAAUCAUGGGUGGGUGGGUGGGUGUGAUGCAAAAAUCAGUGUGUGAAAACCCGUGAAGCCAGCUAAUACCUCUACACAGCUCCAUCCUUAUUUCAGACAUUGUGAUAUAUCAGUACAGUGGUACCUCGGGUUAAGAACUUAAUUCGUUCUGAAGGUCUGUUCUUAACCUGAAACUGUUCUUAAUCUGAAGCACCACUUUAGCUAAUGGGGCCUCCUGCUGCCGCUGCUGCACGAUUUCUGUUCUCAUCCUGAAGCAAAGUUCUUAAUCCGAGGUACCAUUUCUGGGUUAGCGGAGUCUGCAACCUGAAGUGUAUGUAACCUGAAGCAUAUGUAACCCGAGGUACCACUGUAUAUUGCAAUGCUUUGCUGGUGAUAUAUCACAAUGUUGAAAACCAGAUAUUGCCCAGUCCUAAUAUGUAUGUAAAAAAUAAUAUUUAGAAGGCUGUCCUUGGACAGCCCUUCAAUUAAAGAACUGCGCUCUAUAAAGUAGGACACAUGGCCACCCUACAUAAUUACAUCUUUUUCCCUUUUCUUCCCUGCCUACUCAUACACUAUUCCCUGAUGAGAAAGGUUUAAGAUUAAAAUAAACUUAUAUUAUUGUGAGGUUUUAUGCCAAAGACAGAAAGAGGAAUGCCAGGCUUGGCACCUUGCUAAAACAAUGAAGGGGGAAAGCCCAAUUACAACAGAUGACUUAAAGGAAGAACAAGAAAACACACAUUUCCGAGGUUUUAAAAUUUUUCUCUGCUUCCAACAGAAAAGUAAAGCACCCUGCAGACCACAUUGGCCUAAAAUAAAAAGAAAAAACUAAGUCUGGCUUUCAAACCUUGGGAAAUGCCCCCUCAUUGUCUGUUUCUAAAUCCUAUGAAGAAUCCUUAUACUCUUCACUGGUGACUCUGAUGUCCUUAUUAAGUUAAUAAUGUGUUUAGAUGCUUUGUCUUCCUAAACACUGCUUCCACUGACUUACAUUUGGGUAUAAAGUAUUUGCAAACUAUAACUGUAUGACAUUGAAGUCCAAUAAGCUAUCUCUAUGCAGCAGCCUGUUUGAUUAUGCAUUAAGGUAGUCCCUGUUGGCUAGAUGUGAGCUGGGUAAGGGAUUCUUUGCCUAAGUACCAAGAGCCUCAGUAAGAUAUAAUAUAUCUGCAAAAGUAUUAUAACGUUCAGAAGGCCAAAUUAUGCCUAAUGAUGCGGGUCUUGAGUGUGAACUUCCUACUGAAUUUAAAGAGAGUUGAAGGCGCAAAUGCUAUCUUAUAUGUAUAUGCAUUUCUAAUAUCUUGAGAGUGCAGGUAUUCAGUUGAGAUUUUCAUUAAAACUGAAUGUGGUAGUGAAAACUUAUCAAGGGUAAUGUUAUAAUCAAGUGGUUCCCCAGGGGUUUGUGAUUUUGUUCCUGGCAUUCUCUUUUCCUAAGAGUCUCUCCUUCUCUGCCUGAUAUGAUGAUUAAUUUUUUUUUUUAAAAAAUCUACUCCUUUGCUGUCAUGACAGUUUUGGACAACUCCUGUGGCAAAUAGUAACCAAUGAGAGAUAUAAAACACACAAGAAAUACAAGCAGCAUCUAUCAGUCUGGGAAUAUGCACGUUUCUGAGUUACCCCAACCUCUGAAUCAGGCAGAAUGGAAAAGCUACUCAUUCUAUGCUUUGGAUGGGAGGUGACAGAUACAUAGCUGCUUAAUUGCAAACAUUGUAUUUUUAUUACAAAAAACGAAGUUUAAAGAAUGUUUCAAGGCUAAUCCACAUUAUCUCUUUGAGGUUCCAUGUAACUUGGAAGUCACUUAUAUGAGCUGGCUCAAUCAAUUUGUCUCCUUGUGUUUUACAUCUGGUGGGAUCAACAGAGCAAAGCCCAUCUAUGCUUGGAAUACAAAGAGUGUGAGCUUCUGCUCGUGUAGCGAAGUUCUUUUCUAAUAUCAGCUCCCUCUGCUACCUAAUAAAAUACUACCAAAAAAGAAAAAGAAAUCUUUACAAGAAGUAGCUUUCAAUAUACUACAAGGACAUGAAACUAAGUAGAAAACUCUGUAUACUGAAGUACUUGGACAGACCUGUGUAUGUGUUUUGGCCUAAACCAAUAGUCAAGGAGUCCAUGCAAAGUCUCUUGGGAUUGAAGUUAUUUAUUUUGCUGUCGUUUACUUCUCUCUUUUAACUUCAUUCUGCUGUCUCUUCACUAUUCCCUUCCUUUAUUAGCACCAUUCACUAUAUGUUGUGUGUGCUUUGGUGGCAGCUAAUGUGGGCUGGAAAUCAUGACAAGUGACGUGAGAACAUUUAAAUAUUUUCCAUAUAUAAAUGUAAUUUAGCUGCUGGAAUCACUUCUUCUAUAUGUGAUGGGGCUAAAGGGGUGAACAGAGGAGGUUAACAGAUGCAUCCACAAGAGAAGAGACACACUAAAGGAACUCAGUGAAGCAGCCAUGAAAUAAUAAGCUCAGCAUUGCAGCUGAAAGUGGAAAAAAUGAGCUUUAAGCAGUGCAAUCCAGUGAAGCAACUGGAACAGAUAGGAUGCUACAAUAAAGCUUAAAUCAAUCUAUGGCCAUCAUGGGCUUUGUUGUUGUUUGUUUUAAAGUAUAUCAACAUAUAGUAUUGAUUGUAAUAUAUUGUACUAUACAGGACUGUCAUCCCUUUAGAAUCAUAGAGUUGCUCAUUUAUAUUUACUAUAAAUAUUUAUAUCACACCUUUCAAUGAAUCAUAAAACACCAAAAAGGAGUGUGUGUGUGUGUGUGUGUGCGCGCGUGCGUGCCUGCUUGGCUAUCUAUCUAGCUAGCUAGCUAGCAAGACCUGAGUGCCAGAGACAUAGCUAGGGUCCCUUGCACCCUUGGCAAGGAGCUAUAUUGGUGCCCCCCUCCGGGAGGGGGGAACACUUUUCCCCAAUAGUCAUACUAGAAAUUACUACAUUUUAUGUGACUCAUAGGGACGCAGGUGGCGUUGUGAGUUAAACCACAGAGCCUAGGACUUGUCAAUCAGAAGGUUGGCGGUUUGAAUCCCUACAACGGGGUGAGCUCCUGUUGCUCGGUCCCUGCUCCUGCCAACCUAGCAGUUCGAAAGCACAAAGUGCAAGUAGAUAAAUAGGUACUGCUCCAACGGGAAGGUAAACGGUGUUUCCGUCCGCUGCUCUGGUUUGCCAGAAGCGGCUUAGUCAUGCUGGCCACAUGACCCGGAAGCUGUCUGCGGACAAACGCCAGCUCCCUCGGCCAAUAAAGCGAGAUGAGCGCUGCAACCCCAGAGUCGGUCACGGCUGGACCUAAUGGUCAGGGGCCCCUUUACCAUAUGUGACUCAUGUACUUAAAAGUGUCUGGAAUGAGGGCAAGGCAAGGAGGAAGGAUGAAAAAUUUCACACACCUUUGUGCCAUGGUGUAAGUAGGAUGGGAAGCGUCUUCCAUAUUUGAUCUCAUGGUGACAGUGGUAGCACAUUGCCACACAUAUAUUUGUCAUACACUCAGUGUUUUUCUUCUAGAAAAAAAGGUACCGGCACUGCAUACCCUUGAGUACCCCUGUUGCUAAGAUGUUUGCAUCAGCUCUGAUAAGUCACUUGCUCAUUAUAAUGGCACAUAGCACAAAUAAUCAAUGGCUUCAUCUCCUCUCAGCAUUCUUAGGAAAAUAUGCUAGACGUCAGUUAUAAUCCACUUUCUUGAAAAUGUAUUUCAAAUAUUUGGGACCACUUCCAUGUAAGUGUUUAAGUUUAGGCUGUUAGUUUUUGUUGUUGCAUGUGGGGGAUUCAUAGAUACAGAUAUAGAUACAGUCAAGAAUAUGGCACUGAAGGCUAUAAAACCAAUUUUUCUUAAGGUCCAAAAAGGACUUCAGCUAGUGACAGGCAGUAGGAACAUUAUAGUGCCUCACUCUUUCAUUUCAUAAAUCAGUUUAUCUUAUUGCACACAUAUUUAGCAUUUUGCCUACGGAGCAUUAGAGUAGUCGGUAAUAAGAUAAAGGGAUGCUGGCACAGGCCUUGGCAAGAACUCCUGUCACCAGGCCUCUUGGGCCCUGAGAUCAGCAUUCUUAAAAUAUUAGGAUUUGAUAGAGUUAACACUAGUUCCCUUGAGCAGAUGGGUGAGAAGACUCUGUCAACAGUGCCUGUGAUUACUGGAAACAGAUCCUUGUUACAAUGAUAGCCCCUCUGGGACGCUAGUGAAGUGCUUGCUAACCUUGCCAUCUCAGAGGUGUAACAUAUGCUGUUUCUAGGACCUUUUUCUGGCUGACUGAUGCUUCUGAAACAGAACCAUAAAUAUUGAGAUAUUAGGAUCUCCAUAAUCCACAGUCAUUAAAAAUAGAUGGAAAUAGAGUUUAAUCCUUGUUCUUCACUCGGACCUUUCAUUUUAAGCAGCUCACUGUGGCUCCUUUAAUACAAGGUGCUUAAGUCUGCAGAUAUGGCUACGCAUAUUUCAUCUCUGUUGUCACUCUUACAUGCCGAUCCUAUGAACCACUAUGCUAGCAAAUAAGUUCAAAGUAUCAGGCAUGACACUAUUACAAGUAUGAUUUGUGGGGUUUUGUCAUCUCACUAACUCAGAAAGUUGAACUAGUGCUGGUAUAGACAGGAAGAUAAGGACAUAAGAUGAUUCUGCUGGAACAGAUCAAUGGCCCAUCUAGUCCAGCAUCCUGUUCUCAAGUAGCCAAUCAGAUGCCUGUGGAAAAUGUGUAAGGAAGACUGAACACAAGAGCACUCUCCCCUCCUGUGGUUUUCAGAAGCAUUACUACCGCCAGCUGUUAAGGCAGAGUAUAGCCAUCACGACUGGCAGCCAUUGAUAGGCUUAUCCUUUAUUCAUUUGCCUAACCCUCUCUUAAAGCCUCUAUUACUGCCCCACACAACAACAAUCUCUCUGGCACAGGGACAUGGCCCUCCAGAUGUUGCUGAACUGCAACUCCCAUCAGCUCCAGCCAGCAAGCUCAAUGGUCAGAUGUGAUGGGAGCUGUAAACCAGCAUCAUUUGAAGGCCUGGAGGUUUCCUACAUCUGCUCUAGCCUAACGCAGUACAAUGCUAAUCUACAUCAGACUUUGGUCCAACUCAUCUUUUACUAGAGUGGGAUGGCAGUUGCUUCUGUGUGGCGUGGUCCCAUUUAACUCCUGCAGUGUCUGUAGAAAGUAUUCAUUUGAUUCUGACAAACUACAUUUCCUCUUUAUAGGAAAUGAUACUUAUGUAAUGGAGUGUGUGAAAAGAAAAGCAGUGGAAGGUAAGAAGGCUGUGGCAGGGGGUUGGGGAAAUAAGAGAUAGAAGCCAAAGAAGAGACUGUUGAAGUGGAUAGGAAGGCGUACUUGGAUGUGAAGGGAUCAGGGUUCAACUCCUGGUAGCCUUGGGCACCUAGCUUUCUCCCCCAAGCUGAUUUAAGUGUUCCAAAAGUGUGAGUGUGGUACAUUUCUCAAAAUAUAUGCAAGAAAUUCCAUCAUCCAUCCCCUCUCUUGUCAAAUGCCCUCUUACGGUUCUCACAAUUCUUGGGCAGACAAGAAAUGACUUGGGCAAUUCUUGGGCAGACAAGAAAUGGUUGAGGUUCCUGCUUGAAAAACCGUCAAAUCUAGAACUGGGAAAUCACCACAGCUUGCAAUUUCAAGUGGGAAGUUGGGGAACCUACAUCAUAUAGUCUUGUGGGCAGACCCGUUCAGAAGUGAGCGGCAGCUGAAUACACUUGCCCCAGGCCUCAGAAGGCUAAGCCAUCCAGGGGGCCCACCAGUGACUGGCUGCUAUCUUGUUUGAGUUUAUAACUUUAUUCUAACAAAACUCCCACCCCAGGCCUCAGACAAGCUCUGCAUGGGCUUGCCUAUGGGAUUCGCAGAGUAGACAAUGAACAAUACAACACAAAGUUAUCCCAAAACAACAAUGGAAAAGAAGCAGUAAUAAAUUAGACUAGCAGUGAUAGUACAAAGCCAGCCUUAACAUUCAGAAUGUGUUUCGUUGGCAUCCAGCCUAAGUCUGUUUUCAUCCAAGUUGAGUCCAUUACUUCUUACCUUUCCUUCAAGGACACUGAGAUAUAUGGAGUUGCUGCUGCUCCAUGUUCAGCAUCUUACCACUUGAACUGAUGAAGUUUUUGGCAACUGAGACAUACAGCCUGAUGAUAGUCACAUCUUGUAUUAUUUGUGUUAAGACUUUACAAGGAGCAGAGGAAGUAGAGACACAGGCCGUGACAGUUCUUUGUUUCUCAUAAUCAAUAGUUAGCUCUUAGAUAUCUCAAAACAACUAUUCUGCCCAUUUUUCAUCUCUAUAUUAAAAUAUGCCUAGCCUGAUUACACUUUCUUCAUACAUCCUCUACUCUGGACAGGCAUUUAUUCCUGCCUGAAGAUCCACUGCCUGGUUGUCUACAGUGUCAUACAUGUCAAAAACAGAAUUGCUUGCAGGUGUAGUUUUAACAGUAUCAAACAAUUGCAGACUUAUAUAAUAAGAACUGAAGAGCCCACCAUCUGUAUGGGAGCAACUGGGUCAAGUUGCACAGUGACUGUGGCUGACUAAUCCAUAAAGUGGAACAUUUUCAAAUAGCCCCUGCGGGUAACAUAACCCACUAUCACAUGGUGCCUUGGUAAUCCAUGCACUCCAGUUCUGCACACUCCAUUUCCCAAGCAUAGUGCUUGCCACUGUGCAUAAGUUUUAAUACCGAGAUUGGAAAAGAAGAAAAACAUUAAAAUGAAAAGCAAGUGUUUCAUUGGUUCAAAAUGAUAAUGUUCAUUAAGUAUACCUGUUAGCGAAUAAAUUUUAGUGUUAAGCAAUUCUACAGCAUUUUUUUAGCAUGCAAAGUAUUUUAUAAGCCACGCUAACAGCAAUCCCAUAGGUUAACCACCAAUAUUUCUGUUUUACAGGAAGUGAAUAGAACUGAUCCCUUACCCACUUGUGAUUGGCCAAGCAGAUAGCCAACUAACCAGAAUAAAAAUAAAAUAAAAAUUAUUCACGUCUCACAUCCCUGUGUGGCCCUCUAGCCUCAUGCUGUGCCCCCCCUGGAAUAUCCUGGGGGCCCCAGGGGGUAAUAUGGGUCCCAGUUGGGAAACACUGCUCAAAGUGAUGAAACAGAGAUCAUAAAUCCCAAUCACACUCUCACACACAAAUAAUGUGUGAAUCAUUGGGAAAGAAAGGUAGGGGGGAUGAGUGUUCCUUCAGAUAUACUGACUCAAGGUCAACAGCAGAUCUUCAGAUGGUGUUUGGAGACAAACUGGUAAGAGAAACAGUCCUUGAGGACCAGUAUAAUAUUGCUCCCUUUAAAUCAUACUGUACCAUUCCUUUUCUUGCAUCCUAUAUACCUCUACGGGCUCAUCCACAUUUUUGCUUGACCCUUAUUUGUAUCAUAUUGUGCACCAGUUAAUUCACCCAGGUUUCAGAACUUUUCUUGUUCCAUGGCUGUGCCUUGCGAAAAUUCGAUCUUACCCACUGAAUUGAAGCUGGGUUAAACAAAACCUCUCUUUGGAUUUUCCACGCAUCUGAUAAGAACUGAUUCAGCAAACAAGAUUGGAUUUUCGCAAUGUAUGGCUGCGGAACAAGGAGUGAGGCUCUUGGACAUGAGCAAAUUAAUCAGUAAACAAUUUGAUCAAAAUAUGGGUCAAGCAAAAGUGUGGAUGAGACCUAGAUAUCCUUCACCUAUACCUCUAAGCCCCUUUAUUUCCCCCAGUUCCUCCAUGUCAAGCAUAUAACUAUUUUUUAUCUACCAGUAGCAUAAAAAUAAUCUGUCAGUGAAAUAUUUGAGCGACAGUAAUGACAAAAGGCUGGUAUAGAAAACCAGACAUAAAUAAAAUACAGUGAGAAAAUCCUGUUCUCUUGCACAAAUACUUCUCUGCUGUACCAUAUUUUUCGCUCUAUAACACGCACCAGACCAUAACACGCACGUAGUUUUUAGAGGAGGAAAACAAGAAAAAAAAUAUUCUAAAUGAAAUAGUGGAUAUAUGAUUUUUGUGGUUCAUGCUGUGGCCACAGACAUGUGAUCUGACAGUGAGUUUGGAGUAGCCCAAUGCAAAAAUCCUGAGGAUCCAUGUGGAUCCAUGCUUUGUAACCAUGGAGGAGGGAAGGAAGGGGAACCAUGGAUCCUCUGCUCAUGACUGCAGCAGAUCCUCCCCGCCACCCGCAGGCAUUCGCUCCAUAACACGCACAGACAUUUCCCCUUACUUUCUAGGAGGAAAAAAGUGAGUGUUAUGGUGCAAAAAAUACGGUAUUUCCCACACAUGGAUUUGCUGGAUUGCGCUACAGAAUUACUUAAAAUCUCAAGCCACAGGGAACUUUCCCUUCUGUGCCACUAGAUUAUGUUGUUGUGACGCCUGAAACACCUGCACUACUCAGCUCUUUUCUUGGAUUCCAGGAUUUCCCCCCUCCUUCCUUUUAAUAAGAAAAAAUUAACAAAGUAAAAUUUGUUGACAGUGCUCACAGUUGGCAUAGUGGGGGGCUCUACCUAUGUGCUGUCACAUUUUUUCAUGUUCAUUUCUGCAGGUGCUAAAUACAUGCUGACAGCAACAUAUGUUACCAGUUUUAAAUGUGUGUGUGCACGUAUGUGUGCGCAGUGUUGUUGUUUUUAACCUAGCAAUUAAAGAACGCUCACUGCUAAAAGGAAAAGGAAAAGAAAUGCAGGUGAAGCUGCUUGCUGCCCACUGAUAUCCUCUCUCGUUACCUUCCUCCCUGUCUGGUUAUUAUAAUGAAAUGAAAACAAAGUGUGCAAAAAAGAAAAUCGAUUAGCUUUCUUUGAUUUCAGUCCUUCCCCAGUGCUUCCUCCCCUCUUUUUUUUAUAAGUAGUCUCUUUCUGUUUGUUUUCAUCUCUUCUUCUAAUCUUCUUAUCCUUGCUAUGCAUGAUAGACAUGUUCUCUCCAAAGGCGUGCUUCCUACAGAUAUUAUUAUAUAGACUAUACUAAUUUAUUCAGCGCAUAAACAAAUUGAGUUUACAGUAAUGAUGACCACACAGUUUCUGGUUUCCUAUAUAAAGAUAGAUAUUAAGGCAAUAUUCAUCAGAAUAUAUAUAUCACACACACUUUUCAUUUCUUUACAGUACAAUAUUGAAAAGCAAGGAGUAAACACAAGUUGAUAGGCAGCAUACACUAUUUUUAAACUCUUAACUGUUUUUAUGUUUUUUAAUAUGGAUAUUUUUCUGUCUUCUUAAACAACGUUUGGUUAAAUAAAGCAUUAUUUAUUUAUUUAUUUAUUUAUACCCCACCCAUCUGGCUGGGUUUCCCCAGCCACUCUGGGCUGCUUCCAACAAAAUAUUAAAAUACAAUAGUGUGCCAAACAUUAAAAGCUUCCCUAAACAUAACAAGCCUACAGGGUAAAUUAAAAAAUCGCUAAGAGAAAAUAUAUAAUGGGCUUUAUCCAUUGCUCCAGAAUCCUCUGGAGCAGAUUUUGAGGGUGCAUGAGAGCUGCACCCUCAAAGGGGAAGAGAAGGUUUCAAUGUGCAAGUCUGUUAUGUGAACUGAACAGCAGUGUCAGAUACAACCCAACAUAACUUAUUUUGCAUUAAAUUUGGUUUGCAUUAAAGUGGUUCUUGGAAUUAAACUUAAUUCAUACCAACAAAAAAGUUAAAUGUUGUAUUUACAGCAUUUCAUUCCAAAAUAAAUUUACAUUGCAACCCUAGGCACCUAUACUCAAAGGUCAUUCCAACUCUGUCCACUUGGGCUUAUUUUUAAAUUAGUGUGCACAGGAUUGCUAGGUAAGCAUGUUAAAAGUAAAAAAGAAGCUUUUAUUUCAAGAUAAUUAUAUGUAUUCUCAUUUUCACAGUGUGCAUUUCACUUCCAGAUUUUGAAAAAUGAAAUUUGUUUUCAGAACAAAGAUGAAGAGGAAAGGUCAUAUGUAAAUUGUCAGCAUAAUCUAACUCUACUGUCUUGUAAAAAGUUGAUCCCAGUCUUGCUCUCUCUCUCUCUCUCUCUCUCUCUCUGUGUGUGUGUGUGUGUGUGUGAGUGUCUGUCUGUGUAUCUGCAUGCCUUGGCUACAGGUACUUCAAAAGGAUCUGUAUCAUCAUCUCUACAAACAAAAAAAUCACAGGGGUUUGGGGUUUGUUUGGUGGGGAAAUAGACUGAAUUACCGUAUUUUUUGCUCUAUAAGACUCACUUUUUCCCUCCUAAAAAGGAAGGGGAAAUGUGUGUGCGUCUUAUGGAGCGAAUGCAGGCUGCGCAGCUAUCACAGAAGCCAGAACAGCAAGAGGGAUUGCUGCUUUCACUGCGCAGCAAUCCCUCUUGCUGUUCUGGCUUCUGAGAUUCAGAAUAUUUUUUUUCUUGUUUUCCUCCUCCAAAAACUAGGUGAGUCUUGUGGUCUGGUGCGUCUUAUAGAGCGAAAAAUACGGUAAGUUCUCUUUACAGCUGAUCAACAGUGCUCAUGCUAAAACCACCAGCCAUCCAGUUGAGACUGCACUCACAGUUCAAGAUCUAAUGACAGGAACCACAUAUGUUGCCCCAGGAACUGGAUGCAGCCUGGAGCUACAUGCCUAACAUCAUGUGAUUAUGCAGGUCCCAGAGCAGUAGCAGAUUUGCUUUGCUAAUACUGUUACUUUCAUACUUUCUAUUUGUCAAUUCCAAUUUCAAAUUCCAAAGAAUUUCAGUAAGUAUCAUUCAGUGUUGCGGGACGCGGGUGGUGCUGUGAGUUAAACCACAGAGCCUAAGGCUUGCCAAUCAGAAGGUCGGCGGUUUGAAUCCCCACAAUGGGGUGUUCUCCCUUUGCUUGGUCCCUGCUCCUGCCAACCUAGCAGUUUGAAGGCACGCAGUGAAAGUAGAUAAAUAGGUACCGCUCCGGCAGAAAGGUAAAUGGCGUUUCCGUGCGCUGCUCUGGUUCACCAGAAGCAGGGCUUCGUCAUGCUGGCCACAUGACCCGGAAGCUGUACGCCGGCUCCCUCGGCCAGUAAAGCGAGAUGAGCACCGCAACCCCAGAGUCGGUCACUACUGGACCUAAUGGUCAGGGGUCCCUUUACCUUAUCAUUCAGUGUUAAUGAACUUUCUGUCCUUAACAGAUCUGACAUGAAUUGACCUGGUCUCUAAGGAUAAUUUUGAAGGCAUUGCUAUUAUUUAAUGAUUAGGAGAGUCUCCACCCCCAUCGUUCUACCCGGACACAGAGGUCCAGCACCAAGGGCCUUCUGGCAGUUCCCUCACUAUGAGAAGCCAAGUUACAGGGAACCAGGCAGAGGGCCUUCUCGGUAGUGGCACCCUCCCUGUGGAACGCCCUCCCGCCAGAUGUCAAAGAGAACAACUACCAGACUUUUAGAAGACAUCUGAAGGCAGCCCUGUUUAGGGAAGCUUUUAAUGUUUGAUGUAUUACAGUAUUUUAAUAUUUUUUUGGAAGCCGCCCAGAGUGGCUGGGGAAGCCCAGCCAGAUGGGUGGGGUAUAAAUAAAUUAUUAUUAUUAUUAUUAUUAUUAUUAUUAUUAUUAUUAUCAUCAUCAUCAUCAUUAUUAUGAAUAUCUUUAAUUUGCUACGCCAAAGGAUAAAGGUAAAGGGACCCGUGACCGUUAGGUCCAGGUUGUGGUGCUCAUCUCACUUUAUUGGCCGAGGGAGCCGGUGUACAGAUUCCGGGUCAUGUGGCCAGCAUGACUAAGCCCUGCUUCUGGUGAACCAGAGCAGCGCACAGAAACGCCGUUUACCUUCCCGCCAGAGCGGUACCUAUUUAUCUACUUGUAUUUUGAUGUGCUCUCGAACUGCUAGGUUAGCAGGAGCAGGGACCGAGCCACGGGAGCUCACCGCAUCGCAGGGAUUCAAACCGCGACCUUCUGAUUGGCAAGCCCUAGGCUCUGUGGUUUAGACCACAGCACCACCCGUGUCCCAUGCCAAAGGAUAAAUGGACAUAAAUCUGGCAUGAGGGAUCACGACAGGGAAGGCAGUAGGAGAACACUUCAGUCUCCCAGGAUAUUCAAUACAGGAUCUCAAAGCAGCUGUCUUAUUACAAAAGAAUUUCAGAAAUAGACUUUAAAGAGAAGUUGCUGAAUUACAAUUUAUUACUAAACUGAAAACUAUGGAGAGACCUGGUCUGAAUAAAAACAUUGGAUUCUUAUCUCAAUACAUAUGCUAAAGCUAUUUUUGGGUCAUCUGCAUACUAUCCCUUGCUUUUUCCUGCAGGACUAAUUGCAGUCGUUAACAGUCAUCAACAGGUUUACCAUACCCAUUGAGUCAAUCACCCAUCUCCUACUACCCUUCUUAGAAAAACCCCACCCCACCCUCCCACUAUAUAUAAGGGUCUGGUGACUUCUGUUUCAGUGUAUCUGAAGAAAUGUGCAUGCACACGAAAGCUUACACCCAGAACAAACUUAGUUGGUCUCUAAGGUGCUACUGGACAAUUUCAUAAUUUUUUUAUUUACGGCAUUCAAAAUCAUGGGCUCAAUCCACUGGAAAGUUUCCUUGGCACAAUUCCCAUUGAAAUUAAAGGAAUCUAUGCAAGAGCAUAGUGAACUGCAUCCUAAAUAAAUAAAUAUUUUAAAAGUAAACUUCGCUUAAUUCUCCCAAUACAAAGGUAAAAUCGCAAGUAGCUUCUAUCCAGUUCCUUUUGGAAUACCUUUUACCUUUCCCUAUUGUUUCCCUUUUCUUUAAAAUAGGUUUAAGAUUGUGGAUUUAAAUGUGAUUUUAUGUAAAUCUCACCAGGUAUCAAGUAAAAGGAUAAAUUUUAUUCAUUAAUUCACUCACUCACUCAAGCUUAGUCCAGAGUACUAAAGGUAAAGAAAGACAUUGUUGGGCUCUGUAUUCCCCCUUCCCCUAUCCAAUAUUUUUGAGAUGGGAACUGUUCCCCGCACUCAAAUUAGCUUAACCUCUUGGAACGUAAGCCUUCUACCUCAAGCCAGCCUCAGGGUGCAAACGAUGGUGGGUGGAGAAAUCUCUUAAUCACAAACCGUAUCUCCCAAGGCGCUAGGUGUUGGAAGAUCACAUCCAAAUGGAAACCAGAAGAAAAGUAUAAUAAUCCUAUGCUAUACAAACCAUCAUAUUCAGCUACCAGUAUAAAACUGGGCAUUUUAAUGCUGCUCAGUAUAAUGUUAGCAACUUAAAGAAACAACCAUUUAAACUAGCUAACAGAUUAACAUAUACAUGCACUGAAGUAAAGUGAAAGCACAUGUUUUUCGUUCCUCAGCACUAGGUAGUUUUUGUAAGACUCCAAGUCCUUUAAAAGGGUUAAAAAUGCAGAUGCUGUGAAUAGAGUCUAAUCCUUAAGGCCCUGAAGCAUUAAGACAUAUCUCCUCCUUAGGGUCCAUCUCUGUCCAUAAUCAAUUUCUUCCCUUGGAGAACAUUAAUUGUCUCUAAUGAUAGCUUUCCAUCAAUACAUCCUUGAUCUUAAAAGGCCUGUACAGCUCUUCCCUUUAUUCAAUCAAAUCAUCUGUACAAUUGCCCUCCCUUAGUAAGAUAAUACCUUUUAAGCCUUGUAUUUUAAUAUAAAAAAUAAGAGGUAGCAGGAAAUUCUAAUGGAAGUGCUAACAUUUGAGAACCAGGAUGAUGGCUUCCAUUAUCCUAAAUAAUGUUUGAAGAUUACAGAAAGCACUGCGUUUCAAAAGGUGGAAACUAAUCCACCACUUUCAAAUUAUUUCCUUCUUCAAAAACCUGUUCUAACAUUAGGAUGUUGUUUUUGUGAAUGGCUAGAGGAGUGUAUAUUUAAAUAUUUGAAUGUGAAAGAUCAUUUCCAGGUCGGGGCAAAGGGGUGGGGGAAGCAAAUAAUUACUAUUUAUAACUAAUAAAUGGUGAAUGAUUUGCAGAAUUGACAACUUUAAACACAGAAGCCCUUUAUUUUUCCAGUUAAGCUGGCGGUGUUCUGCUCACUCAAACCACUAUAACCCUAAUCAGAAGUUCCUACCAUUAGUUAAUUCCACAAUAGAACAAAAAUUCUGUCUCUGUGGCCUAUUAAUGUGUCUUGCUUUCCUUACCCCCCUCCUUUCCUUUUCUGUUACAUGCUUUUUCUAAAGGCAUGGAAUUUCAUUCCCCCCCCCCCGCGCUUUUAACCAUUCAGCUGUUUUGUUUCUAUUCAAAUACAGGAUUCCUCACACACUUUCCUCCCUCUCCCCCCUCUAUAGGUUUAAUCUAAAUUGCCUGGCAUCAAUCUGUGUUUUUACCUAUUGCAUAGUAGCCUGCCUUCGUUUGCAGAAACCGCUGUUUAUAAUAACUUAAGGAGCUAGAGAAGAAAUAUUGACGGGACAAAAGAUACAAGCCCUCCAGAAUUAUUUUCCUGGCAAUUUUUACAUCCAACAUGCAAACAACGUCUUUUCAAUGUUAUGACUACACAGUGUCAUUUCCCUCUACGAGAAUGAAGCAUUUUCUCUGUUGAGAGAGAAAAUGAGCAUUCACCAAUUUAUCUGCAAAUUUGAACACAUUCUUCUUAUUCAGAAAUAUCAGUCUCUCUUUUACUCUCUCUCCUAGACACACAUAUUAAGGUUGAAGACUCAAGGAACUCAAAGAACUGUAAUAAAGGGCAAGUGCAACUAGCUAAAAUAUUUCUUAUGUAUUUCAGCAACAGUAGCCUUUUGUUCUAAAACCUGCAGAUUUAUUUCAUAAACAUAAAAUUGCAUUCAUUUUCCUGUAUUGCAUAAACUGUUGUUGUUUUUUAAAGAAGAAAUAUAUUGAUUGUAAAAGCUGCAUAAAUAGCUGAAAUAUAUUUAUGUUGUGCCAGAAAUAUAAGGAGGAAAGAAAGUAGCACAGAGACAGGUAGAUACAAUCGACCUAAGAGUUAUCAAACAAAAAAGAAUGUGAGAGAGAGUGGGAGAGAGUGUGUGCAGUUAACAACCCUGAUAAGAGAUGAAAAUUGUCAGUGAGGCAGAUUGAGUUUAUUCAAUGCCCUGAUAAGCACCUAUUUGCUCUUCCACAUAAUGCUCUCUCAGUAUUUAUAAAUUAUCAUUUAAUUAUGCUGGCAAGUGGUAAUUGUCAAAUAAAGCUCCGAUAGGCAUAAGCCUUCAGGCUGCACAUGACAGAAAAAUAUCUGUUAAAGCUGGGCUGAUUCACACGCUUAGGAAAUCAUUUCCUUUCUUCUUCCUUUUUUAUCCUUGCUAACAAAUUAUAUGAACCAGCACACUUUUGUGCUUUGUGGGCAUUUUGAAGUCUAUUCAGAUUACAGGAGAGAGGAAAAAUUAGUUGUUUCAGUAUCUACCAUCCCAAAUUAUUGGGCUGAUUUAAGACACCAUGUUCUUGUUUUAACAAAAGAAUGGGAAACAUCAAGGAAUUUUAGCAUUCUACUGCUUCGAAUUUAUGCUCAGGGUCAUUUUUCAGUCAAGUAAAUCAAGAUUUGAGGAAUUAUUUAACAUUAGGCAUAGGAGACUUGAUACAGAGUAAUGGUAAAAUAAAAAGUGUCAUUUAUCCCAUUAGGAUAGAGACAUGAAACAUUGAAAAAUCUUGAAAAAACCCAGUCCAUUGCUACUUAUAUUCAAUUAUACUAAAUCCAUUAAACCUUCCAGUACUGCUUACUUUAAGUGUUUUUUGAAGUAUUUGCUGGUUUGUUGAAUAAAUGUCUAAGGACUACAAUGCCUGCUGCCCACAGAAGAGAUUUUAGUAUAAAGCCAACCCUAUGUUCAAUGAGGGGAAGGGUUUUUUGAAAAUAAAAAAAUCCCAUGAAUUAACCUAGACUAGCAUUGUGAGCAUCACAGAAAUGAGUUUUAUGGGGAAACAAAUAUGUUUUAAAGCAACCUUACACAUACAACUCAGUGAUGAAAACAUCUAGGGGCAAUAAAAAGAAAGCUUUUCAGGUUUGUUUUUCAUUUAACAAUUUUAAUGGCACCACAAGCAUUGACAACAACAGAUGGCACAAAUGUUGUACAGCUCUGCUUUUUAUCCAGCUAGUUACCCUAAAUUUCUCUACAACAGGGGCACUGCUGUAAGACAUUUCCCAGUAUUCUUCUCAGAAAAAAAGAGCCAUAGACAGGAGUGAGCCCCUACUAGGCAACCUAGGUAUAGCUGAGCAGUUAAACUGAUAUUAUUUACCAAACCAUGCAUAAUGAAAAUGGCUAUAAGAUUUUCUGAUAUGGAUCCACCCUCACAUCUACUCUGAUAUUGAAACAAAUGAGUUUUAAUUUUUAUAAUGUUUGCUUAUAAAUAUAUACAUAUCUAUAACGGGCCCACCCACAGUGCCCCCCUCCCAGAGGGUGAAACCCAAGCAUCAACAAGUGUAAACAAACCUGACGGGACAAUGUUACAGGAUUUAAAAUAGGCCACAAAUUUUAUUGAUUACAUAUAUAGGUAGGCUUUGGCUCAGGUACUGGGUAUAAAUCCAUCAUCAGCCUCCAGAUGGAGGGCUGAUGCUUAAGCAGGAUCAUGCCUGAGGUCAUUCAAGAUGUGGGUCUACUAAGGUGGCCCUCUUUAGGCUGCUGAGGGACACUCUACGGCCCGUCUGCCCCAUGAUUGUCUUCUGGACAGAGACUUCCACUUACCCCAGCUGGCCCCUGAUAGGGCAAUUUCAAACUUUAAGGCAGUGGCUGGCCAGGGAGGCAUUCCAACAGUCAUUUCACCCUCCAAGUGUGUGAGGGGCUGCUGCCCUGGACAACAACCUCCGUCCACCUCUGGACCAGGUAAGCAGUCAUUCUUUGCAUCAAAAGAAUGUUCUCAUUGGUGACAAAGUCCCACAAGAAUUAGAUGAUAAAUUUUAAAUUAUGUACAUACACAAUAAACACAAAAUAAUGGGUGUGCAUGUUCACAUAUAAAACUCUUAUAGUAUCAUUUAAAAUGAAUAUACAUAAAAGUAGUUCAUAGGAAAAUUAUAAACAAUGCAGAAUAUAGUCUCUGAAACAAUUAUUUUGCAUUCAUCGCUAACCUAAUAUUAACACAAAACUUUCAUAAGCCCAAAUGAACUAGGAAACAGAUUGUUUAUGUGUGCAAAUUGAUAUUGUGUAAUGGGACAUAAAUGUGAUUUAUUUCUUUUUAAUUUAAAAUAUUUUAAGACCACACUUCAGGGCCCAUCCAAAGCAGCUUACAUUUAAAAAAUAAAAAGAUAAAAAGAUAAAAAGAAUUCAAACUUUUUAAACUUUAAACUACCACUCAACAGUGCUACACAUAAAUAAUAAUAAUAAUAAUAAUAAUAAUAAUAAUAAUAAUAAUAACGGAAUUGGGGAAAAGCAGACCAUCACAGAUCUAAAACAGUUGUGCCUAGAAGGUUAUCUGAAAAACAAAUACAGUAAGUCUUGAGGGGCAUCCAAAAAUCCUGCAAUGCAGAAAGCUGAUGCAGGUCUAGUGAAUGGAAAUUCCAGGUAUAGGGCGGUAUAGAAAUUCAAAUAAUAAUAAUAAUAAUAAUAAUAAUAAUAAUACAUAGCCAUGAGGUCACCUCAAAAAAUGACUUCUCCAAUGAGACCACCUACGGAACUGACCAAGGGAUAGCCACACAAGGAGAUCUUUGAAAGCAGACCUUAAAGUGUUGACACAAUGGCAUGGGUGCAGGCAGUUCAAUAAGCAGCUUAGACCCAAACUGUUUAGGGCUUUAAAGGUCAAAAGUAGCACUUUAAUUUGAGUCCCAAAACGCACCAGUGUACAGGACAACUGACAUAAUUGAGAUGCUGCUCACCCUACCCACAACUGGACUCUGGGAAGCACGUUCUGGACCAGCUGAAGUUUCCAACCUGUCUUUAUAGCACAUUACAGCCAUCUAGUUUGUAGCCGGCAGAAGGCAUUCCUGUUAUUGCAUUUGUUCACACUGCUGAAGCAUAUUUGACCACAGUCAUUCAAGUUGACUGAUUCCUGAUAUAGUUUCCUUCAUGGUGGCAAAAAACAACAGUGCAAUUAUGUGUGGUCUUAUAGCACUUGUAGGUAGGCCUCCACAUGCCUUCUUACUAAAUUGCUCUUCAUCUGAAACCAGAGUUCACAAAAUACAAAUAUAAUAAAAUGUAUUUCAUAUUAAACAUUAAACCACUGUAAAACUCCACCCACCAUACCCAGCAAUAUAUUUUAUUCCAAGCUGAGAAUUAAUAGCCAGCAAAGGCCUGGGUAAACAGGUAGGUUUUAAGCAGGUGCAGAAAGCUAAUCACAGUCAGUGCCUGACUUAGUUCAGAGAGAGGGAGUUCCAAAGGGUAGACACUAACACAGAACUGAUUCAAAGUUACAGCGCCUCAUUUCAUAGCAUUUUUCAUAGCAUAACUUUCCCUUUCCCUACCCCUUUCUAAACCUUAAUUCACAGACACGGGGGAUGGAGGUUACUCACAGAGGCACAUACCAAGGACCUGGGUUAGGGAUCCUGUAACAAGCAAAAUUAGGAAAUUGUGAAAUUUUGCUGUUUCUCUGAAUUGUAAUCCUUGUUGUGAAUUGUAAUCCUUUCCCCAAUUCGUCUUCUUCAUUCCACUAGGCCUUCUCUGCCCCAAAUUGCUUUCUCUGAAUUGCUUCUCCACCUUGGCUUCUCUGCUCAAAGUGCCUUCUCUGAAUUGGCACUGAGACAGAACUGCUUGGAGACAGAACAUGGGAUGGGAAAGCACUGUCCUAUAUCAUAGGAUCUAGAAUGCCAUUGGCUUACAGGACCAGCAAUGCCAAAAUCCAAGUUGAUCUCUGUACUAUUCUUUUCGCAGUCAUAGGAAUAUUCUCCCUUUGCAUAGUCCCAAAGUUUCUGUAUAGUGAAGUAGAAAAGUUCGUGUUGCUGACAUUGCUCGUCAACUAGGCCACACCUACUUCUUAGCCUUCCUGUAAGAAGAAUCCAUUCACAUACAAACAAACACACAAAUGUAACUGCUCCAUCCUGGUUGCCAUGCAGUUGCUAAGGCUUGAACUAUUUCUUACCCAAGUAGAUACAUUGUGUUCUGCAAAGCUCACAACUUAUGUUUUCAGUCCAAUUGGGUUACAAACACAACUUUACUUAACUUUUAAAGGGAUAAAGGUAAAGGUAAAGGUCCCAGACAGUUAAGCCCAGUUGCGAACGACUCUGGGGUUGCAGCGCUCAUCUCGCUUUACUGGCCGAGGGAGCCGGUGUACAGCUCCCAGGUCAUGUGGCCAGCAUGACUAAGCCGCUUCUGGCGAACCAGAGAAGCACAUGGAAACGCCGUUUACCUUCCCGCCAGAGCGGUACCUAUUUAUCUACUUGCACUUUGACAUGCUUUCGAACUGCUAGGUUGGCAGGAGCAGGGACCAAGCAACGGGAGCUCACCCCGUCGCAGGGAUUCGAACCGCCGACCUUCCGAUCGGCAAACCCUACGCUCAGUGGUUUAGAACACAGUGCCACCCACGUCCGUUAGAGGGAUAAAGGGAUAGAAUAGAAUAAAUGGGUUUGAUACAUUUAUUUAAAAGCAUUAUAUAUGACUAUGUCAUAAGCAUAAAUGUCUCUAAACAACAUUAAGUUACUAGGUUUUCAGAUAUAUGAAUUAGCCCUAGUACUUUUGCUUAUUAGGGUUGCCAACUUACUAACAUGUUUAAAAAUGUACUGUCUUUAGCUGUGAGAAGUGCUGUCUAUGGGAUAGAAUGUUGGACUUGGACCAAAGAGACUGGACCAAAGAGACUGAAGAUUAAGUGUGAACUCCAUAAUUUGGUGGUGUAAGGUUCUCACACAAGUGAUUACUGUACUUAUUAACCUGAAAUAGCUAGAAUUGUCAUUCAGAACAAUCAGAUAUAACUUUGACAUAAAUGCAUUAAGAACAUAAGAAUACAGAUUCCUGAAUAUAUCUAGUUCAGUAUCCUGUUCUCAAGAUGGUCAACCAGAUGCUUAUGAGAAGCCCACAAAGGACAUGUGUAAGAGACCGCUCCCAUUUGCAAUUACCAGCAACUGGUUUUUAAAGGCAUACUGCUCUUGGAGGCAAUAUAGCCAUCAUGAUCACCAGUAGCCAUUGACAGCCUUAUGCUUUAUGCAAUUGUCUAUUCCCCUUUUAAAAGCGCCAAGCUGAUAACCAUCUCUGCAUUCUGUGGUAGUGUAUUCCUAUAUGCUGUGUGAAGAAAUACUUCAUUUUGUCUGUCUAAAACUCCCUCUAUUUAGCUUCAUUCAAUAAUGCCAGGUUCUAGUAUUAGGAGAGGGAGAAAACUUUCUCUCUCUCCAUUUUCUCCACACCAUGUAUAAUUUUAUACACCUCCAUCAUGUCCCCACUCACCUUUUUUCUAUACUACAAACCCCAUAGUCCUCAUAGUCGAGUUGCUCCAGCCCCUUGAUCAUUCUGGCUGAGCUUUUCUGUACCUUUUCCAGCUCUAUAACAACCUUUUUGAGGUGCAUUGACCCAAACUGUACACAGCAUUCUAAGUGUGAUCGCAGCACAGAUUUUAUACAUUAGCAUUAUGAUAUUAUUUUUUUUAUCUUCAAUCACUUUCCUAAUGAUCCUCAAUAUGGAGUUCAGCUUUUUCACAUCUACUGCACCCUGAGCUUCUUCACCGACCUAGUUUCUUGCAUUGAGCCAUUUGUGCCAUUUUAAUUCUCAUCCACACCAACUAGAGAGAUUAUUUUGAGCUUCUUGUAAUCUCUGUUUGUUUUAACUACUCGGAAUAAUUUGGUAUCAUCAGCAUACUUGGCAAUGUUACUGCUCACCUCUAACUCCUGGUCAUUUAUGAACAAAUUAAUUCGUCUUCAGCAGACUUGUUCUAUAUGCUUGGUAACUCUAUCUUCAGUGGAUACCACAAGGACCCGAAGAUAGGUGGAGAUAUUUGCUCAACUUGUCUGCAAUAUCAUUUUCCUCAAUAUUUUAGUUGUAUAUGUUAUGAUAUUUAAGAAUUGGGCAAAUUUAUAUGUAAUAUUAAUAUCUUAAAAGAGGCCAAUGUGUUUUUUUUGGGGGGGGGAAAUGUUUUCAAAUUAAGAACUCAUAUUGUUGUGAGGGAGGGUUGGGGGGGGGUCAGUCUGCAUGAUGCCCUGAGUUCAUUCCAAUUCUUGGGUUCAAGUAUCUGUGGGGUUCAACUUCCGCAAUAGGCAUUGGAAAAGUUAGCAGCGGGUGGGUGUAAAUUUGAGGCUGAUAGUAUUUAGUUGCCAUGAACAACUGUUCUAUGUAUACUGAGAUGAUUCCUUUCCCUGACCUUGCCCGCUGAAGUAAUGUAGAUUAACUGAAGAACACCUUCAUUUGUUUUGGUAUUCCAGAUGAGUAUCUGUCCAGCAAUGCAACUUAAUUUAUGGCAGCAGAACCCCCAUCAUUCCAGACAUUUUACAACUUUUGCCAUGUUACCACUAACCCUGACCAACCACAAGCAAAUAGGGAGGCGGAGGGAGCAGUACCAAUAGCAAAUAACGUUUUAUGAUAGAUUGACCCACAUACAGAUCUUCUACACUACAGGUCAACAUUACUGAUAGCUGCAGGAUAUAGCUCAACAGAAUUGCUACUGGCAAGAGAAAUCAGAACCACCCAAUCCAACUCUAGAGAAGAAUCUCAAUCCAAAUUAAAAUAAGUUAUGAGCAGCACAAUUUAGUGCAAGAUCUACCAUGUUUAACUCCAGGCAAGAGAGUUUAUCUCAAACUUGAUGUAGAAAAGACAUAGCAGACUCCACUUACUGUCCAAAGAAAAAACGAAACACUCAGAUCAUAUUUUACUCAGGGGUGGAAUACUUCACAGAAAGAAAUGCCAUCUUCCUAUUCCUAAGAAGGCACAAUCGCUGAAUGCACAAAUGGUGUUUGAAAACUCAAGUUCAUCUACUGAGACUCAGCUAGAGCCAUCGUGUAAGACUGACAGCAAUAUUACUACUCAGACUGUCAAUUGCUCUAGACAAGUUAUUUGGAAGCCUUCAAGAUUAGAGAUGAGUGACUGAAUACCUGAAUACAUACAGAUUUCAACAGCACUGAUUUAUUUAAUGGCUUCUUUAAACAAAAGAGGGAAAAUGUAUAGAUAAUGUCAUUACGUAGUUUAGUCACUAGGUAUCACUGACUUAAUUGUAUCUGGAUGGAAUCUUGGGUUUAUUAUGUUACUUACUUACUUACUUACUUACUUAUUUAUCACAUUUAUACCCCACCUUUCCUCCCAACGAGCUCUAUGUGGAAUACAGUGGUACCUCUAGUAGCAGACGUAAUCCAUUUUGGGGUGCCGUUCGCACCCCGAAAAGACCGCAACUAGAGUGCCUCUUCUGCGCAUGCGUGGGUGGUGAACCCGGAAGUAAACACUUCCGGGUUUGCCACGUUCGUAAGCUGAAAGUCCGUAAGAAGAGCGGAACGCAACAUGAGGUGUGACUGUACAUGGUUCCCCCCCCCUCAAUUAAUCCCCACAACCCUACUGUGUAGAGGAUUUGGCUGAGAGGCAGUGAGUGGCCCAAGGUCACCCAGUGAGCUUCAUGGGUGAGUGGGGAUUUGAACCCUGGUGUCCAAUGUUCUAUUCCAACACACUAACCACUGAUGGCAUGUUACUGCUGUGUUCUUGUUUUAAAAAAUGCAACAACGUUCUUGUCUAACUUCCUAUUUGGUGUAACCUCUAAGUUAUCCAUGAAUUGUAAACCCUUUGGACAGCUGUCCCUUUGUUUAAUAAUAAAAAGUGGUGUCUCAAGAAAAAUGUGACCAGUUUUCAUCAAUGCUGGAAUAGUGUGCAUUUAGAGUCCACUUGGCUGUAAGAGAUGACAGUAGUUGGCUAUUUCUUCCCCUUCACCAGCUGCCUUGUUGAGCUUCCUGAUGCGUCACUCAACUUCUGAUCCACAAUUCCAUUAGGACCUAUCACUUUUGCUCCAGUAGGUAAGCAGAAUGUAUAGCCCAAAGUCAGUUUUGAGAGCUGCCUAACCACUGACCUAUUAUGAACAAUGGGUCUUCUCUGAAGGAAGGCAUCAUCAGGAUUAGUGGUUUUUGAUGAGGUAAUCAAAUAUGCAUUUUUACAGCCAGAAUGCCAUGCUGGCAAAAUGAUCUUGUUGGGAGAGGCAAGCUGUAAGCUACAUUACCAGGAAAUGGACAAUGAUAGAUAGCCUGCAUUUACAUUUGCACAUAUAUUUAAUUGUUGCCUGAGAUAGAGACAUGUCAAAUACUGACACAACAGAUCCUUCAAAAUAAGUUAUGUAUUUGUGUUAAGCAUUAUUUGGCCAAGCUGUGAAGGAAAACAAAUACUGCUCUUUUUCUCCUCUUUUUCUAAUUAGCCAUUUGUUUCAGCAUGCUUUUCAUAUGUAUUUUGACAAUCAGUGUCCAUUUAGCUCAGUGUAAAGUCAGUUGAGUACAUUCCUAAUUUACAUUAUCUUAUCAUUUUUAUGAAGCUGUCCUUAAGGUACAUUUUUUAUUACCAUAUAUACCUACCCCAAAAACCUUGUGGAACACAUUAAAAUACUUAAGCACCUAAAAUGCAUUUUUUAAUAUAAAACUUGCUUAUUCUUCUUCAUAUAUUUAACUCCUUGCCUAUACACAUAUGGAUUACAACACUGUGUUUUUAGGUUGUAUACUGCCCUGCAAUAUUUCAUAUGGAAUUGCAGUCUAUAAAUAUUUAAAUAAAAUAAAUCUAAUUAUAUUAAUAAAGCUGCAUUCUAAAGAAAAAGUAACACGAGAAAAUAUUCUGUAUUAAAAUGUUGAAAACAACUACAAAAUCUGAUUUAAAAGGCUUCUAAAGAUAGCUUUUAAAAAGGUAAGCAAGUUUUUUAAAAAAACCAUACCACUAGAUACUCAAACCUUAGAAACAGCAAGGGAGAGCACCGCUGACUUUUUAUAAUUGGAUUAUAUAAGAUAGUCACAUUUGCAUGUUAGAGACUGCAAAUGGAACUGAAUUGUUGCAUAUUUAUUACUGAUUUACUGUCAAUGGGGACCCCCUCCCACUUUGUAAAUUAACCCCACUGUUGCCAGCUGACCAUUGAAGAGGGACUACGUAGCGGAGCAAAACUGAAAGCCUAGAAUCCUGCAUCACAAGCAGAUAAAUGCCCCAUAAAUGACACAUUUGCACAGGGACAGCCAUCAACAUAUUUUGAUAUCGUUACUGGUCUUUAUCUGUGUUCCUUUGAACUUUGACUAUUUGUGAUUUUCAUCUGAGAGGAAAAGCAUCAAGAGCUGUGUAAACUGUUAUUAGCUACCAUUUCCCCCCAAAAUCUGGCUCCUAUGUUUUAAUUGUACAGUACCUUAACAUGCAGAAAUUAAGCCAGUGAAGCUUUUCCUAUUAUUUAUUUUCAUUUAACUAAUUCAUGUCCCAGAUUUCCUUACAAAAGAUAACGAUAACAUAAAAAGCAAAAAUUGAAAUAAAAUAACACUGAAACAAAAAACAAUGGCAACAGAUAAAGCAGCAAAAAGAAAAUUCCCUCUGAACAGGAAAAUGUGCAGCAGCAACACGGCUCAUCGAUACUUCCAUAUGCCCCGUGAUUUCUAGACAUGGGUCCGAGAGGCUUUUCUUUUGUCCCACCACUUUCCCCAGGCAAACCCAUGGUUUACUGCUGAAUCAGAACAAACACCCAUUGGAUUUUCUAUAGACUGAAGUUUGUUCUGAUUCAGCAGUAAACAGGGAAAGUGGCAAGACAAAAUAGAAACCUCAGACCCAUGCUUAGAAAUAACAGCACAAAUGAAAGAAAUAAUAGGACAAAUAGAAGUGUGAAUGAGCCCAAACAGUAGUAAUCUAUUGUUCUGAUACACCAGCCUUCCUCCUGCCAUAGCCAAGAGUAGCUAACAACCUUAAAACAAAAUACAAAUAUCAUAGACCAAUAGUUAAAUUUAUGAACAGAAUAACAACCUUUAAAGGACAACACAAAGGGCAAUAAACCAUUCCCAUUAAAAAGAGUACCUAACUACCAAAAUGUAUUUUAACUACCAACAUUUUAAGUUGAAUACAACGUGGGUGAGAACCAAAAAUGAGGGCCUUCCAUAUCUGUUUUACCACCAAGAAAGCUCUGCCUAAUGUCAUUGCCUCAUGAUAGCACCAGAAGUAAGGCCUGCCUCAAAGCAUGGGCCAGAAGGUAUUGGGGGAGACAAUCCUUCAAGUACUUGUAGACCUUGUACACUAGUACCAACACUCUUCAGGAAUGGUCACUGUUGGUUUCUAUUUCCCUCACUGAGCAGCAUCUGCAGUCACAAUACAUUGUUUUGCAUUCCACAGUCCAAGUUACUGUUGGAUUCCCACGGGAAUGGGAGACUGGAUGUGACGUUCACUGGUUUCCUGUUUUUCACUCUUCUCUCUGUGUUCUUUGUUUCCGAGAGGAGUUGCUUCUCUGCUCUCACAGAGGCAAGAUGCAUGUUUGUAUUCUCUCAGCAUAGAGUGGAAAUAAAGUUAAGAAUGUGGCACAUACUGCUUAUCCUUCUGCUGUGUGGACUACUCUGCUUGGGCUCAAGAUAAGACGAGCCUGUAUCAGCUUCAGAUGGGCCGAAGCUGGUCAAAAUCUCACAGUCACAGCUGGCAAACCUGCCACAGCUGGGCAUAAACCCUCCUCAGCACUGAAGUCAUCUGGAACUCCAACAACAGCUUCAGAUCAAUAUGCCAAAGCUGCAUAUAUUUUCCUUCAGGGGGACUGCUACACCAUCCAGAACAGGUCAUCUCCGUAAUUCCUGGACCAAUAAUUUUCUAUCCAUACUGCCUACUGAUGAUGCUACAUUCCAAAUCCCCAGAUGACACCUCCCAGCAGUUUCAUAUAGAUAUAAAAUAGCAUGAUGGACAAGCUUUCAAUAGCAUAAAUGAGACUGAGUAGAAGUCCUCCAAUGCUAUUCUUGGGUAGUGGUAAUGUAGGUAGGAAUGAAACCACAGUAACAUGGUGUCCCUAGUCAUUACAGAGCCAUGACAGGAUGAAACUGUGGUCAAUGCUAUCAAAUGCUGCUGUGGGGUUGAGCAGGAGCAACAGGAUAGCACUCCCCUGUCUCUCUUUCAUUAAAGAUUAUCAACCAGGGUGACCAAGGCUAUUGAAGUGCAGUAUCCACAUCUGAACGUCUAAUAUCUUCAUCCAGGCAUGCCUGCAGUUGCCCAAGAAAGGAAUAUUUUCACUGGGAAGUAGUUAUCUAAAAUCUCAGUGUCCAGACGGGUCAAAAGAACACAAGAAGAGCCUGCUGGAUCAGGCCAAUGACCCAUCUCAUCCAGCAUCCUGUUCUUACUGUGGUCAACUAGAUGUCUGGAGGAAACCUGCAAGCAAAACCUGAGCACAAGAACAUUCUUCACAUAUACUCUCCUCUUCAGGAAAGAACAUACUACCACCUCCUCCAAUGAGGCAGGCAACAUUCCCUCCCUAAGUGAGGCAUUAGCUACUCUCUGUACCCACUCAGGCCAUCCCUCCCUACUAAAUCUUAAAAGCCACAAUGGACAAGGGAGCUAAAUGGAUCCCUGACUAGUUGAUGCUAUAAACACCUCUGCAGGAUCCACAUCAAUUGUGGCAUCAACUUUGAAGUGGGUACCAAUUUCGUUACCAAUGACUUUGGCUUGAAAUUGCUUCUUGAAAUUCUUAUAGUGAGCUUCUAAAUGAAUGGCUGUUUCUUCUCAAGGGCUGCUUUUCAGCAACCCCUUCUCCCAUUUCAGUUCACUGAGGAUGCAAUGGAGGUGGAGAAAUAAGUUUACUAGCCAUGAUGUUGUGCUACCACCUGUGUUUUGUCAAAUUCUCCCUCAGAUUUGCACAACUUGCAUUCCAGCCAUUGUCUGGCAUAGUUCUUCAUCAAUAUGUGCUUUGAAAACCAACCUUCUUGGCUCCCUGCAGAUGUCGAGGGCACCUAGGAGCAAUUGUGACUAUAGCCCUCACAAUCUUACCAUUCCAUAGUGAGACACGGGCUUCAACUGGAAUGUGAGCCAUGCUCUCCAUAAAGUGCCCAGAUCAUUCAGGAAUCCAUCCGGGAGCAGACUGGCUAAAUGAACCCAAAUGAAGCCAGUUCAAAGCUCACCAUCCAUAUGAUCCACUCACAACCCCAUGGUUGUCAUGGCAGUCAUGCAGUCCUGAGUUGGACCAAACUUCUCUACUUUCUUUCCAUUACUCUUUCUACUGCCAUCUAAUAUUGAGAAAUAUAAAUCACAAACUUUUUUUUAAAACUUCUGACUUUACUCCUGUGUGAUAACAUUAGCAUUAAUGACACUAGGCACCAAACUGAAACACACCCACUGUUACUUUUCUGCAGCCCUUUGCACACAAUGAAAAUUGUCUGGAUCAACUAUUGAAAGAAAAGAGUCGCAGCUCAAGAAGGAAGAAGUGGUACGGGAGCUCCAAAAGACUGUGGUUGAAAUAAAGUAUUUAGGACAUGAUGAAUUGUCUUGUAGGGCCCUAAAGGAAAUUGUAGUGUGAUCCCAGAGCCACUGUCUAUCACUCCUUAAAAUUCUUGGAGAACAGGUGAAGUACUAUGAAACUAGAGGUAAGCAGAUGUUUUCAUUAAGGAGUCAGUUCAUGAGCAUUUACAAAAAAAGCCCUGCCUAAGGUAAAUUCUUUUUUUAAAAAAUUAUAGAGUUUCCACCCUGGUAAUUCAGGGGACCGAUGCGGAUGUAGUAUAUUUUUAUUUCACCAUUGUUUUUAGUAACGCCCCCAUUAUAUUCUUGUAGGCAAGAUGGUAAAAUGUGAGCUAGACAAUACUAUUAUGUUGAUUUGUAGCUGGUUGAUGGACCAUACCUAACAGAUAUUCAUCAGCCUGGAGAGAGGUGAAAAAUGGAGUGAUGAAAGGUUGUUUGCCAGGCCAUGUGUUGUUAAACACUUUUAUAAGUGACUUGGGUGUAGGAAGAAAUGCUUAUCAAAUUUGCAGACAACACCAAACUGGUUGGGUUUGCUAAUGCCUUAGAAAACAGAAAUAAAAUAUAGGUGAUGGGCUGAAUUUAUUGCCUGUAUUCCAGAUGAAAGAAAAGAGAUUUAAACUAAAUAUUAGUAAGAAUCAGGUAGGUAGCCAUGAUAGUCUGAUGCAGCCAAAGUAUGUAUGUAUGUAUGUAUGUAUGUAUAAAUAAAUAAAUAAAUAAAUGUCCAGUAGCACCUUAUAGACCAACUAAGUUUGUUCUGGUAUAAGCUUUCGUGUGCUGAAUCUGAAGAAGUGUGCAUGCACACAAAAGCUUAUACCAGAACAAACUUAGCUGGUGUAUAAGGUGCUACUGGACAAAUUUUCAUUUUUUUUUAAUUAGUAAGAAUGUCUUGACAAUACAAGAUGUUCAACAGUGGGACAGACCGCCUUGUAAGACAGCAGAAUAUCAUUCAUUAGACAUUUUAGGAUAGAUGGCCACCUAUCAGGGAUGCUAUAGUAGUGGGCGUCCUACAUCAGCAGGGGGUUGGACAAGACAACCUCUGAAAUCCCAUCCAAACCUAUGAUUCUAUUAUUUUUCAUAAAAUAAUUGUUUAGAAGCUUCCUGACCAAUUUCUCACACUUAGAAAGUUUUGAUUUUUUAACUGUCUGUUUUAAUGGAAGGUUCCCAAGAGAAAGUCUAUACCAUGUUAGUCAUUCUUCACUUCUGAUGUGACAAAUGAUUUUUAUUUAUUUUGUACUUAAGGCAGUAUAUAAUAGUUCAGUAAUUGAUUCAAUAUAUAGAUUUCCUCAUUCAUGGUUCCCAACAUCUCUGGUAAUUCAUAAUUCUUUCCUUUGGUCCUCGUUUCUCUUAAGGCGGGGGGGACGGACGGGGGACUGAGUCGCUGUUGUUUAAUCUGAUAAUUAUGCAAACACUAAAUCUUACACUGAAGGAGAAAAUGUUAACAUACAUUGAAAAAUCCAAAUGUUUAGAACUAUAAUCUGUGUGAUAAAAUGCAUUACUCUGUUUAAAAGGAUUGUUUUACAGAAGCAAUUAACAAUCAGCAAUCAUAUAGUUCAGACCGGUGUUUUGAUGCCAUCUGUUGGAAUAAGUCUUCUUACUCCCUAGAAUGAAGCUAUAAUUUUCUGUUUAUGAUUUCACUGCCUACUGUAGAACAGUUACUAAAAAAGAAGAAAGAAAAUUUCAGUAUUGAUUUUCUUUUCUUUCUUUUUAAAGACUUCUUCAAUUAUUCAGCUUUUCACUGUUUAUUUUUAGAUUUAAAGGAACUGUGUUGGAAGAUUUACGAUGGAGGCUGCAAUAACUAUGAGUCAUAGUAGCUGUUUCCAUGCAGUCUCUAUUCAUCUCAGAGGAGUCUGAGGGGAGUGGGGAUCCCACACAAUCCAGUUAAAUGAAUACAGAUUACCCAGGAGCAGUGCAGUACUGGCUAGAAUGAAUUCUUAGAAUCGGAACCAGAGAAAUUUAUUUUUUGCUUGCCUGACUAUCACACACAAAUCUUAUUUAACCAAGUAGCUUAUAGCCAUGUAAAACAUUUGAAUCAGAAAUCCACAAAAAUCAGAUCUGAUCCUUAUAUUAGGAUGGCAUGGACAUGAAAUUACAUGAGAGACUUUUAGGGAAAGUUUAAUCAUUUUGUUAUUCCUAUAGCAACUCUCAUCACUCUGUCAUGUUUAACACAACUUGUCAUAUGAAUCCUCCUCAUCAUAUGGAGAGCCUCCUCUCAGCAAUGGAUACAUUUGGUAAAGUCCAUUACCGGUAUGAAAUCUCGCCACACAAGAAUGACAUGGAAAGCUAUGCUAGACGUUGCAGCUGACAAGAAGAAUCAACACAAGUAAAUGACUGUCUAGGAGUGCCAUAUUAGGGAGGUUGUCACAAUGAGAGUUUUCUCUUGAACAACAACAACAAAUUAAUAUCAUAUCAGUGCAGAAGAUAAAUCAUAUGGUGCCAAACCCCACCCCCAGUCACUGACUUAUCCAGUUUUCUGGAUGAGCUUCUUAAUAAUAAUUCCCACAGCAUUUCUUCAGCAUACAAUGGGGCUCUACAAUUUCAUCACACUGAUUCGCAUAACAACAGUAUGGUAGUUUGUUUUUUAGCUUCCUUUAUCAUCUUAGUUAAGCAGUGAUAUACAUAAUAGGGAAUUUGUGGGCAUUAAUGCAAUAGAGAGAGCAUAGCUUAUUGUUAAUGAAAAGUUCUACAUUAGUUAAUAGUUACAAUCACACAUUUUUUGAAAUUAUAAACUACACAUUUAAAUUUUAUAUGUCUGUGAAUAAAUACCACUUCAGUAAAGGUAUUUGAUUUGAUUUACCACUUCAUUGAGGACAUAUUUAUGAGUCAUGGUAGCUGAAACUCCAGGUUCAGAGACAGUAUCUUGAUUGCUAGAUGCUAAGAUCAAACAACCAGUGUAUGUGACAAGCUAAGCUUAUAGGUUUCCAGUGGUAGCUGUCUGGAUGCUACUGGGAACAGAAUGCUGGACAUGUGGCCUACAUCAGAUCCAGGAAGGUAAUGCAGUGAGGAAUCUACCCAUGAACGCUUCGUAAGGUAAUGACAGCCACAUCGCUUUAUUCUGAGCAUUUGUUUGCUACAAAGAUGUCUAAUCUAUUUAAAAUGAGAAUUUGAUUGUAUCUGGUUUCCAAUGGCAGUAUUUUUUCUGUACAUAUAAAAAACUCAACCACCUAAUGUGUACUAUUCUCCAAAUAAAAUGAAACAAUUUUGCAAUGCAUGCACAAACUAGUAGAGUUUUAUUUUUAUAAAUGCACUAAAUGCUAAAUUAGCCUUUUUGUUUUUAAUACACUAGAGGGAGCUAGAUCUCUAUAUUGCACAUGUACAAUUAAUUAGAAAAAAUGUUUAGCACCGUAAACAUCUUAAGCUAAAAGGCCAAUGCACUUUGUAGGAGUCAGAUUUCAUAGUUAUCAAUAUAGCAAUUUCUUAGUUAAUUUUUUUAUCUAUAUAGGUAAAGGUAAAGGAACCCUGGGCAGUUAAGUCCAGUCAAAGGCUAUGGGGUGUGGCACUCAUCCCCACUUUCAGGCCAAGAGAGCCAGCGUUUUCUCCACAGACAGCUUUCCGGGGCAUGUGCCAACAUGACUAAACCGCUUCUGGUGCAACGGGACACUGUGACAGAAGCCAGAGCACAGAGAAAUGCUGUUUACCUUCUCGCCACAGCGGUACCUAUUUAUCUACUUGUACUGUUGUGCUUUCGAACUGUUAGGUUGGCAGAAGCUGGGACAGAGCAAAGGGAGCUUCACCACCAUUACAUGUAUUUGAACCACCAACCUUCCAAUCGGCAAGCCCAAGAGGCUCAGUAGUUUAGACCACAGUACCACCCGUGUCCUUAUUAUGUAUGUAACAUAAUAUAACACACACAUUCAUUUACAAUUAUUUAUGGACUGAAAUGCAUUAUUCCUGAAUAUAAUAAAGUUUCUACCUUAUGUAGCAACAAAACAAACUUGAAAGGGUAUUUCUUCUUUGCAUAAGAAGUAUCCUCAAUUAUCUACAAGAGCCCUGACAGAGCUAUAAUCACAUGUGGCUGUGCAUUACUAAUUGCAACAGAUGUCUAUCCAGAUGCAUAUUCAAUUGACAGUACCACCCACUGAAGAUGGGUGGCAUCUGUAUUCAGGUGAGCAUUUGAAUAUGCAUCAGAUUUACAUUUGUGGUUACUCAUCCAGUAAGGGAUACUUAUGUAGAAGCCUGAUUCUGUGCACAGAUCUCCUUAUAUAUGCCAGGGCAAAGGAGUUACAUUUAUGGUGAGCCAAAAAAAACCCAGACCACCAGACCAAUGUCGUUUAAGACACACAGUGGCACCUCAGGUUACAGACACUUCAGGUUACAGAGGCUUCAGGUUACAGACUCCGCUAACCCAGAAAUAGUACCUCAGGUUAAGAACUUUGCUUCAGGGUGAGAACAGAAAUUGUGCGGUGGCGGCAUGGCGGCAGCGGGAGGCCUCAUUAGCUAAAGUGGCACCUCAUGUUAAGAACAGUUUCAGGUUAAGAACGGACCUCCAGAACGAAUUAAGUUCUUAACCCGAGGUACCACUGUACUGGCCAUAAAAUGAUAUUGCACAACAUACAAGCCAGUGAAGCAUGCCUGUAAUAAAUUUUUGUCAUACAAUGCCACAAUCACAAAUCCCUAUUGAAGUUCUAGUAAAUUCAGUUGUCCUAAUCCAAAAAGCUGUGGUUGUAUCUAAUGUUAGUCAAACUCAGAGACUCACUGAAAUUAAAUAAUGGAAUUAACUUAAAUGGUUCUUCUCUUAGUAGAAUUGAACAAUCCUAUAAGAGAGCAGUAGAAGGGCAAUAUGUCUGUACAUAAAUAGAUGCAGAAAAACAAUAAAAAAAUUCACUAUCACAAAAAGGAAGAAUCGAAGACCUUUGGGACAAUAACACAAUAUUCUCCAUGUUAAGCCCAGUAUUAAAAUCACAGAUAAUAAGUCUUCUCCACCAAACUACAAUAAAUGUAAAUAAAACCCAUUACAAAACUAAUUAGUCAAUGGAUAAAGAAGCAAUCUUCCAUCAGCAUUCCUGGAGAAAGUCCCUAACUUAGUAGUGGAUUACAUGCUUGCUUUGCAGGUACAAAGAGCUGUUCGAUAGUGGAACAGACUCCCUUGGGAAACUGGGAACUCUCCUUUAAAACAGAGGUUGGAUGGCCAUCUGUCAAUGAUGAUUUAGUUGAGAUUCCUGCACUGAAGGGGUUGGACUAGAUAAUCCUUGAGGGUCCCUUCUAACUCUAUGAUUUUGCAGGUAAAAUGGCCUAGCUUCAAUCCCUGGCAUCUCCAAAUAGUGCUCAGAAAGGCUCGUCUGAAAUCCUGCAGAGGUGCCCAUAAGGGUGCCCAUACUAAGAUGGACAAAUGUAGACAAUACUAGGUGACAUAACAGUUUGAUUUGCUGCAAGCCCUAUGUUCCUACUUCCUCAAAGUGUGCUUCAAUAAAAAUCCUUAUAUUUCUUCCCAAUUUGGUUUGAAUUAAGCUAGUCUUUCCUUGGCAACCUUUUCAUCAGAAGCAGCUAGGUUUUAAUGAGAAUGCCCAAUCCAUAAUGCCACUUUAAACAAAAUGCAAAUAACAAAGGUACGCAAGGUGUGUCCCAAGUAGUUAUGAAAACUUGACACAUGGAAAAUAAAGUAUCUCAUGGGCCCGAUGAUAUCUAUUGGACUCACAGGGAGAGACAUUAAUGCAGUGCUGGAUUUGCCAUUGCUUUCUACCCAAAGCUGAGCUUUGCACACCUAGUCCUGUAAACAGGCAGCAUUUACGAGAGAGAACAUAACAUUUGAUACUUUUUUUAAUUGACUUUUCACAACCUGCCCAGCCUAAUAGACAUGAAAUGCCUACAUUUUCAAGCACAACAUUUUUUCCACUUGUCAUCUGUAAUGCAGGACAGCACAAAUCUUUAAAAAGUUGGCAAAAUGGUAGUCUCUCUCCAUGCGCAUGCUUUCUGAAACAAGCCUUCUCCUGACUCCUGAAUUUGUGCUGAUUACACAUAAAAACACCCAUAGUAAUGAUUAGAUUAUGAAGAGGAUUUUGUGUUAUUGUUGUUGUUUAUUAAAUAUCUAUAUCACCCUUCAUCUGAGGAUCACAGCAUGGUUUACAAUAUAAAAACAAAGAAAUACAUACCAGUAAUAUAGUAGCAAUAAUAUAAUAAUAUUAUAGUAUACAAUAAUAUAGUAGCAAACAAUACCUUUUCCCGCCCCCUGCCCCAGUUUAAAAGACCAUAGAAUAGAUUGUUUAAUUAGCCAAAGGCUUGGGAGAUGAGAAAUGCACUCCAGAACUCUGGAUGACCCCACUCAGCAGUUUCAUGCUGAUGUUAAAGAGCAUGGGAGAUAAAAUCAAACCCUGAUGAACCCCACCUUGAAGGCUCCACAGAGCCCAGAGUAAUCCCAAACAUCCCCCUCUGGAAAUGAAAAUCCAAGUAGAAAUGGAACCACUGCAAAGCACCCUAACUCAGACAGCUAUUCCAGAAGGAUACUAUGUUCAAUGGUAUAGAAAAUCGCUUAGAGGUUAAGGAUAAUUAACAAGGACACUUUUCCCCCUCUCUCUCUCAAGAGAGGUCAUAAUACAGGGACACCAAAGAAGUUUCUGUGCCAAAACCAGGCCUAAACCAGGAUUGAAAUGGAUGUAGAAAAUCAGUUUCCUCAAAGAGCACCUGGAUCUGGUUCACAACCACCCGCUCAAGAACAGUGCCCAAGAAGGGAAAAUUGGAGUUAUAUAUGGAAAUUGCAGAAUGUACAAAAAAGUAUAUAUUUCCUACAAAAGGUACACAAAACUUUGAUUCUUGAGUAUGCUAAAGGCAGUAUUUUUUAAUCACAGGUUUUUAUGGGCAUUUCUUUCUAUAUAUUAUUUUACUUUCUAUACAUUAUUUUACUCCUCGCAUUCCCAAAGCCAAAACUGAGCCACCAAUCAAGGAACUAAACCUUCCUGGCGUGCUCUGGUCCAUGGGGUUACAAAGAGUCGGACACAACUAAACAACAACAACAACAACUGUUGUAUUGUUCACUAUCAACUUCAGUCUCAUACUCAGAGGAGUUUUCUGAGGCAGUUCCCUUCUGGCCAGUAAUUACUUAGAUUUUCUGAAUCAGGAAGGGUUUCCUGAGCAGUGGUUGCACCACUGCCUCCUUCAAGCAAGCAAGGACCACUCCAUUUUGCAAGGAGGAAUGAACCACCUCCCUGGCCUAGCUAGUUGUUUCCUCCCUGCUAGUUUUUAUCAGUCAAGAGGGGCAAGCACAAGCUGUUGCCAUGACCAAUCCAAGCACCUUGUCCACAUUCUCAUGCCUUGCAAACUGAAACACAUGCAACAUAACAGGACUAGACAAUGCUCUAGAUACUUCUCAAGAUUCAUCUACUCUAACAGUGGAGUCAAGGUCCCAGCAAAUGAAUGCAAGCAAUUCUAUCCUCAAAAUGCUUUGCAAACAAGUCACAGUGAACUACUGUCAGUUCUGUCACCUCUUUCGAACCAGAAUGUAAACUGUCCUGCACCACCUGGAAAAGCUCAAUGAGGAUGCAAUGGGGGCCGCAAAGUGUUGGCAAGCAACCCAAGCCUAUGCAUAUUUAAUCUGAAGUCUCACUAAGCUAUCGGGAGUAAACCCCACUGAAUAUAGUGGAAUCUACCUCCACAGAACUGGUCUGUAAAAGCAGCAGUGACUGCAGUAUGGCUUUCUUUCCCUCUCUCCCUUGUAUAUGUUCCUAGCAUCAGCCAUCCAGAUUUCCCAAUUAUUCAGAGCCUCAGCCUGGGCAAGAGCAAAGUCUCUCACCCAGCCAGAGGGUCUGAGGAAGAACCAGGAAUUCUGGAUGAUUCUAGAAAGUGAGACUUCUUAAGAAAGUGGAUGGGAAGAUAGAAAGACAAUCAUAGCAAGGUGGUGAAGAGGCAGAGGGAGAACCUGCCAGCGUGGAGGGUGACUAUGGUGUGGGGAGAAAAAUCCUGCUGCCCCUGGAAUGGGGCAGCUGCAUGGUCAGCAACAAGGAAUGCAAUUUGCUGUCGUUUGGGAGCUUUCCCUACCCCCCCCCCCCGCCCCGGCCUUUCCUGAUAGGCUGCUGGGGUGUUCAGUGGAAUUGUACCAAAUUAAAAUAAAAGUAAAAACAAAGCAAAUGUCCCCCAUUUCAUUUCUAAGGAUGUAUGACCCUGCUUUACAGUGUGGAUGAGUACUGUGGGGUUUAAUGUGAAAAACAGUGCUCUCUUUGGUGCCAUGUGGAAAUAUUAUUUUAACACCAACAAAUAAUGGAAAAGCAAUGUUUCAGCAGCAUUAAAUUGUUCUUAAUUCUUUUGGUUUUAACUUGGUUUUAACUUUCUAUUAUUUUACUGGAUGGUUUGUUUUAAUAUUGCUGUAAACCGCUAAUGUGUAUUUUUAUGAUGCAGCGGUAUAUGCCACAAAUAUUUUUAUACAAAAAUAAUUACAUAAAAACGUCCUAGUGUGGAAACAGCCUAUGUUCCAUUGCUUCUCCUGCUCUUGCAGGGCCCAGUCACAGUCAAUACAUUUUGGUCCUCCAAGCAAAGAUUCCAAAGGCACUGAAAACACAAAUUAAUUAAAAUGUUACUACUCUUUAAAGGCAUCCAAAUUUACCAUUUGGGGCGUACUGUACUUUUCCAUCCAUAAGAUGCCCCCUUGUAUAAGACACCCCUCCCCAUUUUGGGGGACUAAAUUUUAAGAAAAUGAGGGGAGAUGGCCCAAAGUUGUUGAGCCUCUCCCCCCACGUAGCUGCGGACAGGAAACACUCCCUAGAUUGUUUCCCCACACGCAGUGGCAUCAGGUGAAUUUGCACUUCCUCCAGCCAUCCAGUUUGCAGGAGUGCAACCUCCCCCGAUGCCGCCGUGCACGGGAAACGAUCCAGGGAGUGCUUCUCACACGCAACAACAUUGGGUGAAUUUGCACUCCCGUCAGGAGUGGCAGGCAGGAAACACCCCCCAGAUCACUCCCUGCGGCAUCAGGGGAAGCUGGACUCCCACCAACCAAAAGGCUGGUGGCAUGCCGCUCCCCCCCCCCACCCGCCAUGCCAUUAUCCGUAUUGGACGACCCGUAUUUUGACGUGAUUUUUGAGUCAAAAAACCUCGUCCAACACACAGAAAAAUACCGUAUUUUAAUGUGAUAUUAGGCUUAUGACAAACUUUAUCUGUAUAAGGUGCAAUCCUCUUGAUGUCAUGCAUGAAAUAAAAUGAGUCACUGAAAGAAUACCCUAUUGGCACACUAGUGCCAAAUACACCCAGCUACUUAGACCCGUGGCACGCUAAUAUUACAGACAAAUGCACAUCAGUGCAGUUUAAAUGUGAUGUCAAGGACAUUUGGUCCCACAUACAUGUGCUUAAGUUAGGUUUCUAUUGGUAGGUCUAUCUUGUCUCAUGGUAGGACCAUCCUAGAUUAUAAUUCAUGUCCACCCUCACACCUUAUCAGCAGAGCCUGUGUCUAGAGUGGAGUUCCAGCACCAUCUGAAAUGAGGCAAGGCAGAGUUGGGAGCUCCUUUGCAGUAUGCAGGAGAGAAGCCAGUGCAACCCCUGAGAUACUCAACCCCCAGUUGCUGAGCCACUGGCAGGUCAAGGAUUCUGGGGGAGUCACUCAGUCACAGAGAGGUGAGCAGUCAGAUCAAUGACAACAUGUUCUAAAGUUGGCACCCCAUCAUACUGAUGGGCACUCUAGUAGUAAUACAAUACAAUAAAAUAAAAAAAUCAAAUGCAAAGCCAAGUAAGCAUAAUCUUAUUCAAGCAUUUAAUUUCUACUGCUAAAAAUGGGCAAGAAUCCAAAAUCACAUUUAUUUGCCUUUUCCAAAAUAUCCUAAAAUAUGAUACUGGGGGAAGGAUGGGGAAGAGGAGAUUUGCUUUUCUAUUUUCCUGCAGAUCAAAUGCAUAAUAUCAGAGCCUGCCAAUGCAUCCUUAGAUUCAAAAGAGAAAUGACAUGUUCUUUCAAAAUAAUUUAUUUAGAAAAUGAUCUUAUUUUACACUCUUGAAAUACUCACUUGAUGUAUACACUCUUAAAACAUGAAAAAAUAACUUUGAAAGAAUUGGUUUAUGCUUGUAUAGUUCAUAGGAUAAACGAAAAGAUGUUAUUUAGUACCAUUUUCUGUUAUGUCAUCAAAACCUUCCUGGAGUAGGAAAUGCUCAGGGGUGGCAUGUCAACUGUCAAAUACUAAUACCACUGCAUAUUAACUAUCAAAUGCUGCAUUAGGUCUCUCGUGACCACUGCUAUUUUUAUAGAAAAAGAGGUGCCAGAACACACCAUGAAUGUCUCCCUUGCUCUCUUAUAAUGGCAAAAGCGCCCACCUGAAAGAUGCCGGAACUGAGCUCUGGUGAGUUCCGGCUGGGGAAAAAACAACUCUGGUUAAUGGCUAUUGAACAUCUGUGUCAAAUAUUGAAGCCCAAAGUCAAACAUUAUUAAUGCUGUGCAUCACAUUUUGAAUUUUGGCAUAAUAUUGAAUGAAAACUGCUGCCAGAGCCUUCUAGGAGGUAAAUUUCACUGCUCAGUUUGUUUUUGUUUCUGAAAGGAAAGCCUUUCAUCAUCCAUAGAGCCCAGCAGGUUGCAUCCACCAGUGGGGAUGAGAGAGAUGAACUAUCUUUUAAGCAUUCCAGGAUCAGCACAAACAACUAUAACACUGGGACUGAAUAUUUCAGAAUCUGACUCUUAAUUUUGAACAUAUUUAAAUUACAUUUUUGGCAUUUUACUCUGAGUGAUACUUUUAAAAAACACUCAUCUGAACUGUCAGUAAUUACUUUUAUGUACUGAAUAUACUUUCAUACCAAAUUCUCCCCUCCCAAAAUCCCUGCAUCCAAAAUAUAAAAAAUGGUCAAUGGGGUGUGUGUUCUUAAAUCAGGAUAAUAUUACUUGAGUUCUACUAACACUGGUUGAACUGUGGCAUGCCAACACACAACUGAGAGAACACCAUUUUGGAACAGAUGUGCUGUCGUGUCAGAAACAGAGUACCAUGCGUUGAAUGAACUGAUCCUAAGAUCCUGUCAUAUGACUAUUCUAGUUCACUGGUAUAAAUAGAGAUGCAAGAACAUAAAAGCCAAUCUUGACUCCCACAAAUUCACCAAGGGCUGCUGCUACACAGUCUCCAUUCAGUCUCAUUGGGACCUGUACAGAGAAGCUGCAACUCUAAAUUGAGAUGUUUGUUUUUUGAAGCGUGAAUUCUAGAAAAAGAAUUUAUACACUUUCGAAUUAUACUUUCAUUUAUACACUACUGCAGGUGCCUCCCAUAAAAUUUAUAGCAAUGAAUGCCUUAAAAGAAAAAGUUAUCUGGUAUCCUAUUUUGUAAACUACUAAAAAAAAAGUCCCAUUUUCUCAAUCUUUUAACAAUAACUUUAUCAUUAUUGUGCCAUUCACCAAGCACAUUUGGGAGGAGGCUCUAAACGAAUGAAUGAUUUCCCCCUCUCCGUCCUCGUGAGCAAACUGAAGUCAUGUUGCAGGAGACUGUGACUAAUCCAGUAUAUCAACAUUUUAUUCACUCUUUACAUGAAUAUUUAAACAGCAGACAUUUUCCCCCCUCCAUGCUGAAGACUAAAUAGAAAAGCUCUUAUCUGCAAUAGUAAAAGCUUCUGUUUCUCUCUCCUCCCACUCUUCUCCCAGAGAGGUUUUAAGAGACUGCACAGAUAGUUACACACACAUACUCAAAUGAGAGGGCACAGCAUAUACAUGUAAUUGGUUGCUUUUUCUUUGCCUCUGCAGUCUGUAAAAAAUGUGAAAAUGGUUCUUGUUUCAGACUAGCCAUUAAAAGACAGUAGUUGCCCCAUACUGUGAAUUGGGGAGCGGGAGGUGACAGAGAAGUGAAGAAAAUAGCCAGAACUGACUGAUAUCUGAUAAACAGUAACAGGAGUCAGUUUAUUGCACCAAUCGUUAAAUAAUGGUGUUGAUUAUAAGGCUGCUAACUACAGAUGCUGUAAUUGUCUGUCAUAUAUCUUAGUCAUUUGUGACAGGAGCACAAUGAAAGAGAGCAUCUGCUUGGGGGCAAAUGACUUUUGAUAAAUAUCAGCUCUGCUAAAAUGUACUUGGAUGUGUCUCAAUAUUUUGGAGAGCCAUUCAGGGUGCUUCUACAAAUGUGAAGUUAUUAUUGGUUUGUAUUGGUUUUGCCACUUCUCCCCCACCCUUUUUUUAAAGAGACAGUGUCAGAACGAGAGCAAGAGAGUGUAUGUAUCUCAAGACUGUAUAAUUUCUCAGCUCUUUAUCUGAUCUACUCAUUCUUCUUAAAUGCAUGUUUGAGGAAAGGAAAAGAACAAUAGCUGCCCUUCUUCCCCCACUUCCAGAAGACGGCUGUGGCACCUGGAACAACCAAUAUUCCAAUUUUACGACUAAAAAUGUUACAUACCUUGGUUUUCGAACAGCUUAGUUCUCGAACAUUUUGGCUCCUGAGCACUGCAAACCCAGAAGUGACUGUUUCAGUUUGUGAACUAUUUUUGGAAGCUGAACGUCCAACGGGGCUUCCACGGCUUCCAAUUGGCUAUAGGAGCUUCCUGCAGCCAAUCAGAAGCCAUGCUUUGGUCUCCGAUUUGGAAGUAAUUUGAAGUAAGAGCUAAGGUUAGAUUAUUUCACUAUGAGAAUCAAGUAGAAUUCCAAGAUGCAAAGCCCUGAUUUACAAAGGAGUAUUCACUUUCCCACAUGUUGCAAGAGCCCAACCAUAUAGGCAACUUACUCCCUCUCACAUAUUGCACACUUCUGAACAAUAAAUAGAAAAACAGUUAUGUUUCUUCGACACUAUGCUUACCGAUGAAUGCUUACUGACACUAUGCUUACCCAUAGAAUGUACAAAAUGCAGUUGAAACAUGCAGAUUCCCCAUGGCCUGCUGGAUAUUAUGUAUAUUGAUCAGGAAUUGUACACAAUUCCCUCUUCAUGCCAAGAGUGCAUGGAGACCAGAUGGCUUCAUGGUUAUCCCUGAAGCUGAGGGUGCUGAAACAAUCACUGAGACAGCUAGAGUGCCGGUGGUGAAAAACUCAUUCCAAAUUUGACCAAACACGGGUUAGAACUCAGCAUCAAGCCUAGCAAGUGGCAAUAGCGACAGUGAAAAUAACUUUCUUCACCACGUCUAUUGCAUCUGCAGAAAACUACUAGGAGACUCUUUCAGGUGGUUCAUAGUCUAACAGAACCACCUUAACUAUUGGGGACUGAUGAGGACCCCAAUAUAUCCUGAUUUAUUUAUUUAUUCAGCCAGUGCAUAGAUGGUCACUCUAUAUGUUAAAGCUAUUAUUGUCAUUGUCACUCAAAAGAAACUGGACCAUUUCUGCCAUGGUGUACCUUGCUUACUUGUGUGAACAAAGAUGUCAGAAAGUGAUCUCUUGCACCUCUAUGUAAGGAGCAGGCUAACAGAUAAUGAGCAAUGUCUCUUGUUGUUGUUGUUGUUUAGUCGUUUAGUCGUGUCCGACUCUUCGUGACCCCAUGGACCAGAGCACGCCAGGCACUUCUGUCCUCCACUGCCUCCCGCAGUUUGAUCAAACUCAUGCCGGUAGCUUCAAGAACACCAUCCAACCAUCUCAUUCUCUGUCGUCCCCUUCUCCUUGCGCCCUCUAUCUUUCCCAACAUCAGGGUUUUUUCCAGGGAAUCUUCUCUUCUCAUGAGGUGGCCAAAGUAUUGGAGCCUCAGCUUCAGGAUCUGUCCUUCCAGUGAGCACUCAGGGCUGAUUUCCUUCAGAAUGGAGAGGUUUGAUCUUCUUGCAGUCCAUGGGACUCUCAAGAGUCUCCUCCAGCACCAUAAUUCAAAAGCAUCAAUUCUUCGGCGAUCAGCCUUCUUUAUGGUCCAGCUCUCACUUCCAUACAUCACUACUGGGAAAACCAUGGCUUUUACUAUACGGACCUUUGUUGGCAAGGUGAUGUCUCUGCUUUUUAAGAUGUUGUCUAGGUUUGCCAUCGCCUUUCUCCCAAGGAGCAGGCGUCUUUUAAUUUCGUGACUGCUGUCACCAUCCGCAGUGAUCAUGGAGCCCAAGAAAGUAAAAUCUCUCACUGCCUCCAUUUCUUCCCCUUCUAUUUGCCAGGAGGUGAU